Molecule: long non-coding RNA, 146782 nt
Filed under: Citrus maxima (pomelo)
Lineage: Eukaryota; Viridiplantae; Streptophyta; Magnoliopsida; Sapindales; Rutaceae
Description: long non-coding RNA (CMAX_LNC000735)
Rfam family: Small nucleolar RNA Z247 (bases 42887-43025)
Source: RNAcentral
CUUGGAGUUUCUCUUCCAUGGACGGGGUAUUCAAUAAUGAAGGCCCUGGUGCUAGAUUAAUUGAGCUUGGCAAAAAGUUUCAGAAGGAAACCGAUCCAUUUUUGUCAAAUUCAGUUACAAAUACAGUUCCGUUUUCCAAUGAAAAUAUGUCAACAUCAAUGCAAACAGAAGCUGCUUCCAAUCCUUGGGUUGACCUGUUGUCUGGAGGGGACACAUUUUCUGAUCCUCUUUCAGAGCCGUUUUCUAGCCCUCUUUCCGAGCCGUUCUCUGAUCCUCUUUCUGAGCCGUUCUCUGAUCCUCUUUCUGAGCCAGUGACAAGAAAUGUUGCAUUUGGAGGGGCUGAUUUGCUUGAUUUCUUGGACCAGCCUAUAGUUGAAGAUCAUGGUGUGGAAACUUAUAAAAGAUCUUCAACACAGGAUGGCUGUUCUCUAGCUAGUGGUGCCCAGCAGUACAUAAGCUGUCUAAAAUCCCUUGCAGGGCCAUGCGAGGUAUAGUACUGCUCUCUUGUGUUUUUUGCAGCUCUACAUCUUAGCAACUUCAUCUUUUUAAAGGAGUAAAUUCUAGAAGUUCAACAAAUUUUGCUCUGCUAAAUGUAUAACUUAUUAAUCAGUGUCCUGUUAUUAUGGUUUGACACUACUGACAUAUUGUGUUGGUAUUUAUUUGUACUUCCCUUGGUUGAAUUAUUUGCUGUCUCCAUGCCAUUCGAUAUGGUGCUACUUGGUUUUUGAUCAUCCAUGACGCUAUAUAUAUGUAAAGGAUGAAUUGAUUGUUUUGGCUUGUAUUCUCACAUUUUAUGAUUGAUUGAUGGAAAGGUCUUCAUGUAUUAAAUUCAACCUCACAAGCGUAAGAUUGACAGAUUCUGGGCAAAUUUUCAGGAAAAGAAACUAGACUUCAUGGAAGCAAUGAAGCUUGAAAUUGAAUGUCCGCAGCUGAAUCUUUCUGCAGCUGAAAGGGAUAGAGCUUUAUUGUCAAUUGGAACUGAUCCUGCCUCUAUAAAUCCAAAUGUAUUGCUUGAUGAAUCUUACAUGGGAAGACUGUGUCGAGUAGCAACCACUCUUGCAUUACUUGGCCAAACUUCCCUAGAAGACAAAAUUGUUGGUGCAAUUGGCCUUGAGAAUAGUGAUGAUAGUGUUUUAGACUUCUGGAAUAUUACUAGAAUCGGAGAGAGUUGUUCUGGUGGCUGGUGGCGGGUGCAAGGUUCGUGCAGAAACUAAGGUGCCUGCUCUUGCUUCCUCAACUGCAACAUCUGUUGGAGCUUCACAAUCCCCUUUGUUGUGUUCUCAAUGUGAAAGAAAAGUUUGCAUAGUUUGUUGUGCAGGAAGAGGAGCUCUACUGUUUUCAAAUUAUAAAUCAAGGGAUGUGACCAACUACAAUGGCUUCUCAAGUCAGAGUGGAUCAAGCCAUGGAAGCCAAGUUGAUGUAUCUACCAGUCGUUCACUAACACUGGAUGGCGUUAUCUGUAAACACUGCUGCCAUGAGAUUGUGCUUGAUGCAUUGAUGUUGGACUAUGUUAGGGUCUUGAUUAGCUUGCGAAGAAGUUCCCGUGCAGACAACGCAGCAUACAAUGCUUUGAAUGAGGUUGUUGGAUCCUGCUUAAAGGAUAGUCUUUCUGAAAGGAUUCAGUCUUCCGAUAACGUGCAAGCUGCUGAAGUCCUUCACCAAUUAUGUGGUGGACAGGAAUCUCUUGCUGAAUUUCCAUUUGCUAGCGUUUUGCACUCGGUAUGUUCUUGGUUUGUAUUCAGUUCUCAUCAUGUUAUGUUUUCCUUUUAAAUUUCUUUUCUUGAUUAAAAUUUUUAGAAAUAUGUUUUAGUAUUUGUUCUUAUGAUAUAUGCCCAGAACAUUCAUCCCACUUAUCCAUGAGAAUCCUUGUCUGGUUUGAUUUUCAAUUGAGACAUUUUUGGGAACCCUGAGCAGGUUCCAUAUGCUAAUAAUCUUUGAGGUAAGGUGUUGUAGGAUGCCUUGAGAAGCUAAAAACCAAUUACAAGGAAAAGCUCUUGCAUUGUUUUGUGCAAUCUGUGUGCUAGCAAGUCAUGUCUCUAAUAAUUUCAUAGUUCGCUUGAUUGGAAUUUUUUAUUUUGAUAUGGAUUGUUUAUUCUAGAUUCCUUGCUGCCACUGUAGGUUGAAACAGCAAAAGAUUCAGCACCGAUUUUGUCACUGCUUGCUCCAUUAAAUUCUGGAUCAAGGCACUCAUAUUGGAGAGCUCCACCUAGUACUACUUCUGUUGAAUUUGUUAUUGUUCUCGGUUCUGUUUCUGAUGUCAGUGGGGUUAUCUUGCUUGUUAGUCCUUGCGGCUAUUCUGUGGCUGACACUCCGAUGGUAAGUGCCAUAUUUAUUCCCUUAUUUCCUUGUUGUUCAAUAAAUUUGGUGAUAAGCCAAGUGGCCUUAAUAAUGAAGCCCAGUACCAGGGGUGGUGGGUAAUCGAUAUUCAACUUGUGAAUAUUCCUAAGCAAACACUGAAUCAACAUAUACCUCGGCAAAAGUUCUCCAUGCUAUUAUAACAAAAGUCAUAUUUUGAAAUGAUUAAAACAGUCCCUGUGUAGUGCCAUUUCCAAAGAAAUUGCAGCUGGGGGUUUAGUUUCAUGUAGGUUAGUUUCCGAUAAUAAACUUUCCAUUUCAUUAAUUGCCGAUGGAAAAACCAAGUAAGAACAGUUUCGUUGCUCGUCAUUUAUGUAUAUUUUGGUAAACUGUAAUUUUAAAUUCUCAACGAUCUUCCCUUUGUAGGUAAGAAGAUGGUCCACUCACUUGAUAUUUAUGAUUGUAGAUCAGGUUUCUAUUGGUUUGCCUUUAUCAUUCGGAACCCAAGUUUGAUAUUAACAGAGAUCACGUCAAUAAUAUCCUAUUUGGGUAGAUGUGGGUGAGGAUUUAAAAUCAAAUUUGAAAUUGAGGGGAAAGAAGAGAAAAGGAACUACAAUAAUUAUUCUGAUGAGUUUUAAUCUCGAGAGGAGCAAUUUUCAAAUGCAAAUUUAACGGCUAGAGAAAUUGUAGCUUUUUGUCAUUAGUUAAGAGGAAAGAGAAUAAGAACUAUCCGGCCCUUUCCUUCAUGAAUGUGUGUUGAGGUUGCUGUAUUAUUUAGUCAGUAUUUGUAAUUUUCUUCCCUGCAGUGCUCUCUGCCUCCUGAAUUUGCUACUGAGUCCAUAUUUUUCUUUGAGCUGUUCCUUCCUAUUGCUGUUACAGUUACAAAUCUGGGCAAGCAAUAAGAUACACCGGGAGGAAAGGUCAUCAAGGGGAAAAUGGGAUGUCCAAUCCCUCAUCACAUCUUCUUCAGAUUUGUAUGGUCCAGAAAAGUCCGCUAGUGUUGAAAAAUUACCUAGGCAUGUACAAUUUACUUUUAAGAAUCCUGUUAGGUGCGCAUUGUUUGGAUCACAUUACGUCUUCAGAGACCUGGUUCGGCUUCAGUUAAUUUCGGGAAGGACUUCAGUCUUUUGUCUCUUGAUGAAGAUGAAAACCCCUUUGCACAAGUAGACAGACGUGCUUCAUUUGGAGGAGCAGUUGAAAAUGAACCAUGUAUUCAUGCCAAAAGAAUUCUUGUAGUCGGAAGCCAGUAAAAAGGGAGGGGCUUACCUCAUCACAGAGCUCUGAGCAGCUAAGUAUUAGAAACUGGUUGGAUAGAGCUCCACAAAUGAGUAGAUUCAAGGUAUUAGUUGCUUUCACUCUUUGUUCAUUCAUAAUUCCAGCUUUCUGCUUCACUGAUAAAACUCUUUUUUCUCUUCAGGUCCCAAUUGAGGCCGAGAGAUUGAUGGACUACGAUCUCGUCUUGGAACAGUAUCUACCUCCAGCAUCACCUUCGCUUGCCGGAUUCCGUCUAGACUCUUUCAGUGCAAUAAAACCUAGGGUUACCCAUUCACCUUCCUCAGAUUCAUUUACAUGAGAGAAAGAGUUUUGGGUUUGACUUUGAUUUUGAUUUGUAUUUGUUGUCAUUUCAUUGAAAUUUCUUUUUGUUGUAUAAAAAUCAGAAGGUAAAAGUAUUAAAUUCACUGAUGCGGUAAUAUCUGUGCUGGUUACAGGAUUUUAUGUUUAACUUGAAGUUAGUAAGCAAUGACUUAACAAUAGCACUUUGAAUUUAACGUGGAUCAUAUUGUAUUUGAAAUUAAAAAAUAAAGAGAGAGAAAUUAAUUGUUAAUUGAGUUGGACAAUUUUCCGUGGUUAAUUGCUCCCAGAAAAGAGAAGAAUGGGAUUGUGCUUCCUCACACGAAGAAAGACUCGAACGUCUUCGUGCUAAUUAAUCAAUGAAAGAUUUUGUCAAAUAUCUGGCCCUUUCUUUCUUGAAUGUCUGUGUACAAGUUGCUGUGUCAUUUAGUCAAUAUUUGCAAUUUUCUUCCCUGUAGUGCUCUCUGCUUCCUGAAUUUAUAUUAGUGAUCUGGUUUCUGAGUGCAUAUUUUUUCUUUCUCGUUGCUGCAGGUUUGUCGUUGUCAAACAGAAUCAAGUUAUAUUAUUAUUGUGAUCCUUAUGAGCUUGGAAAAUGGGCAAGCCUUUCUGGAGUUUGAUCGUUAUUUAUAUGUUAGAGAAAGAGUUCUGGGUUUGUUAAAACUCAUUAUUAUAAUUUGAAAUAUGUGUUAUUUCAGCUAAUGAUUAACACUAAAAAAAUUAUCACCCAUAUAAUUUUUUAAUUUGUGUAGGGUAAUAAUAAAAUUGAAAAUAAUUAAAAAAAUAGCACAAUAAUGAGUUUUAACAAUAAAACAAAUUAAAUGAAAAUUGAAAAUUUAGAAAAGUGUAUCUAAGAAAAUGGAUAUUUUCAGAAAUAAAAUGAAUAUAACUAAAAAUGGGGUUUUAUGAGGAGAUCAAAGGGGUGCCAAUAGUCCAACUCGUAAUUAAGAAUCUCCCAUUACAUUGUCAACCAAAAAGACACUUGCAUAAGAAAAAAAAUUUCUGUUUGAUUUUAUUUGUAGAUCCAACAUUUCUCAUAUCCUGGUCGCCUUUCCGUAUCAAAUUAAAAUAGUAUUAGCAAAAUCGUAGUGCAAAUUCAAUUAACCAACUAAUAGUCUAAGAAGCAAAGAGAGGAUUACAAGUUCACAACACCAUUACAAAGGAUUCAAAAUUCCCACACGAAAACAUCAAUGUACAGAUUAUAAACAAUCCGAAUUGGACACAAGAAAAACCCUUCAAUGGAUUGCUUGCCUUCCCAAUGCUAAAUACUGUGCAAACUGCGCAUUGGCCAAGAAAAUGUUUUCAAUUUAGUGUAUUUUCAAAAUGCUUAUUUUCUCAGAAUAUAAAAAAUGAAAAAAUAAAAAAAGAAUUCUUACAUGUUUCAUCAGCAUGAUUAAAAUCAAAGAAGAAAGCGAGACAUAAUGUCUCUGACAUAAUAAAAUUACAAAAAUUUCAAGAAAAAAAAAGGGUUAAAACAUGUAAUCUUCAGAAGCAUAUAAUAAAAGAAGACUUCCACAAGUUACUACAAUUACAUGCAGUAGAGAUUAACUGAUGCUUUGACUUAUUAGCAGGUUGCAAUGAAUUAUUAACUGAUGCUUUGACUUAUUAGUUCUGCAGCUAAGUUAAAUAAAAUAAGGUAUUUUCAAAAGCAAAAUGGAAUACAUAGACAAAACAUCAUCUUAAACAAAUCACAAUCUAGAAUUAGAGUGUUGAUUUGAGAUUCUAGAUUGUGAUUUGAUCGGCUCAUUUGUUAAGAAGUGUUGAUUUGAUCGGCUCUGCAAAUUCUCUUGGGACUCGGUUCCAAUUCCUCUUCAUCAAAACUGUAAUAUAAUUCCCCUUCAUCAGAACUCGAAUCAAAUUCACUUGCAGCAGUUCCACUCGCGCUUGGCAAAUCAUCUAAUUUCCAAACUUCGGUAGCAAAAUUGAGAGUAAAAGUGUUGGCUUUGAUCUCGCUGGGAUUUGCAUAUACUGGACAUACUCCGCAACGUUUUAUCUUCUGACCCUUUUGGACCUUUAGGUUUCGGCAACACUCAUUGAAGAACUUAAGUGAGACAGUUGUAUGAUGGUAACCAUCAGGAAAGCCAACAUUCAAGCAAGGUUUAAAACCAAGUAUGACAUGAUCUGAAUCAAUGAGGUCUUCAAUUGAGUGCGAAUCGAAACUCAGAUGAACAUGUUUGGUUUCAGAGAGAGUCUUUAUUUCUAAGUCGGAUCGACAGCCGACGUAAACAUUACGAAAACGAUCAGAAUAAAGUUGCUUAAAAUCAAGAACAGCACAAAAAGCAAACCCGAUUAAGUUUCUGCAAAAAGAGUGCGGUGGCAGUUGAAUACGUAUUGAAGAUCCUGAACUUUGAUUGCUGAACCAGUCAGGAAUUUUGCUCCCAGGUAAAACAAUUUGGGAUCGCCUGAGUUCAGAAAGUUUCUGUGAAACGACAUUUAAAAAAAGAAAAUUGUCAAAUGAAAACCAUGAUUUCAGAUAUAACAAAGAGGGACAGAGUAAACAAGAGAGGGAAUUUGAUACCUCGUCGAUUGUCUUUCCCCGUCUCAGUGAUGCUGCAAUUGCCAUACGUAGUGAAUCUGCCAAAAUCUUGUUGUUUGCUUUUCCAUCAAGUUUCAAGCAGUUAGUAAACCGAAAAUAAAUUGGUUGUGACAGUCGAUAUUCCGGAUGCCAUUCACAAAGGUCAGGAGAGGGUUUGGAUAGCUUUUCGAGUACGGAUGCAUCUAGUUCUUGUAGACAUGACGGAAUCUCUGGCAAAGAUUGAAGCCGGUUGCAGUUCGUUGCAUUUAGUGAAUGUAGACACAAUGGAAGUUCUGGUAAUGACCGAAGCAUGUUACAACCCGUCAAGUCAAGAGAUUCUAGACACAAUGGAAGUUCUGGUAAUGACUGAAGCAUCUUACAACCCUCCAAGUGAAGAGACCUCAGCUGCGACAGUUGCUUGAUACUUGCAGGUAAGCUCUCAAAGCUAUUUCCACUUAGAUUUAAUGUUGUCAGUGAGGAUAGACAGGCAAUCUCUUGUGGAAUUUCCAUUACAGCACAGUUCCUCAUAUCUAGAUGUCCCAAAUAAGCUAAACCUAAUAAAAACGAUCGAGGCAAUGAUACCAAACCUUUGCAGCGAGAGAAGUAAAGAACUCCAAGUCUGUUUGAAUAUGCAACAGAGGAUGAUGGUAGUUGACUAAUAGCUGAUCCAACUGCUGAGAUGAUAAACAAACAUUUUAAAUUGCCAAUGUUAUCCGGCAACUUAUCAAGCUUAGAGCAAUCUUCUACGAACAAUUCUUCAAGCCCCGGUAGAUUUUCAAAUGACGAUGGCAGCUCUGUAAUUGCCGUCUUGUUUAAAUUGAUGCGUUCUAAAUGUUCCAUUUUCUCCAAGAUUUCUGGGAAGCGCUCAAGGUUCACGCAGCCAUUAAGAAAAAGAUCAACCAAAGAUCUCAAUUUACAAAACCUAGUUGAAAUCCUCUUCAGCCGUUUGCAAUACUUCAAAUUCAACUUUUUAAGAUCAGUUAGGCACUCUAUUGAUGACGGAACUUCUUCUAUUGCAGACUUGCUCAAGUUUAGCGAUGUUACUUUCCCAGAAAUCAGUGGAAACUCUAUGAGAUUAACACAAUAGGAGAAAUUAAUAGUUACUGGACAAACAAAAUGAAGAUUGCUUGGAAAAGACCUAAGACUUUUGCAGCCCUCAAAAGACAACGCACUGAGAUACUUGAAAUUCUGGAUAGAUGAGGGAACACAAGCCAAGUUUGUAUAAUCCAAAAGAUAUGUUUCAACAUUUGGGGUUUCAAAUGGGCCUGGCAUCUUAAUGAAAUGUUGAGAAUGGCUGAGGUUAAUAGAUUUUAACUUGAAAGCUUCCUGCAAUAACAGAUAUAUAAAGACUAUAUUAAUUAAAAAGCAACAUUGAAUUCAACAAUUAAUUGCACGUAUAUUUAAAGAAAGAAAAAAUUAAUGUUUUAGUUUUAGUACAAAACUUACCUUUUCUCCUUCCCAAAGUUGCUCAACUUUACUACAACUCAAAUUCAGUGCAACAAGGUUCUUUGGCUUGAAAUUUGAUGGCAGUGUCCUUAAUGGAUAUGUGUCCCAAUGAAGAUAUCUCAAUUUUUUAGGAAGAUAAUCUAGGCCAUUUGGAAGCUGCACUUUAGAGUAUGAAAGAUGCUCUUCAAUGCUCAUACUUGGAAGCUUUUCAAUCCCAUAAAAUUUGAGCAAUCUCAUAUUAGACAUAUUUGUGAAGGCUCCGGGGUCUAAAUUGAUGCGUUUUAUUUUGGACAAAUCCAGAAAUAUGCCUUCAAUUGCAUCGGUCCCCUUAUUAAAAAAAAAAAAAAGAAUGAGUAAGCCUAAAACUCAAAAGAAACAUUCGUAAACUUUAUUAAUUAAGAGCUCCUUAAACAAAAAUAAAUUACGCAAUCUUUGAUUUUAUUUUUUUAAUAUAUUAAAUAUCUAUAUGCGAGAAAAGAAAAUUUUGGGGACCAUUGCAAAAUUAAACUAACUGAAAAAAAAUUCAAAAUUUCUCUAAUUUACAAACCUGUUAUCUUAAUAUCUAGAAGUUGAGAAGACAAGGCCUAUUUGAUUGGUAUAAGAUUUCGAUUUUUUUUUUUUUUAGUCCAUAGAAUCCAAAAUGUUAGUUCAAAAUUAGGGAAAAAGUCAUUUUUUUUCCACUAGCUGUAAUUGUAUCCAAGUCAAAUUGAGAUACGACCCUUUUCAAAAGGAUUUAACCAUCUUACAGCCUCCUUAAGGCACAUUUAAGCUAAAAGGAGUGAUUGGAGGCAGAACUAGGUGGGCCAAUCAGUCCAUUUUAUUAGUGACCGUUGCUUAAAAAAAAUUAUACUCUAAACCACACUUACUUUUUUGAAAAAAAAAUGUAAUUAUAUUGAAAUAAAAUCAGGUGGGCCAAUCCUCAUGGCACUCACUUUGUUCUAACACUCUUCACUAAAUUUGAAGAAAAAUAAAAUUAUACUCUUCACACUCGUAUUCAACAUUCCAAAAUUGAUAAAAUCGGGAGUUUUCUUUAAAAAUUUAAAAUUUGAAGACUUGUUCUCUUGACACCCUCAGUCAUUAAUUUUACCUAAUUAUGGUUUUUAUGAUUUUGGUUGUUUUGUUCAUAAAAAUGCUUUUACUAAAGGAUGUUCUGGUAAUAAUAAAAUUUAUAAAAAAAACAUGGGUGUGCUGAUAUAGUUGGAAAAAUAUGAGUGCAUAACUCCAAACAAAUAAAAGAUAUAUAUAUAUAUAUAUAAAUGGAGGAUUCUUACCUUAUUAUGCUUUAGUACGCGGCGGAUUUCCUUAGGAUCCCACAACCUGCUGCGUUUGCCUGGCUCUUUCUCAGAUUCUUGGCGAACAAUCUGUCGCCCCAUUUCUUGCAAUAUAUCAUGCAUCUGCAAGGAAUCACCUGAUAUUGAUAUGAGUGACUUAUCAAUAAGGACAUCCAGUCCAUCAGACUCAGAAUCAUCAAGAAUCCUUGCCAGAAAAUCUUUAUCCCCUCCCUCGAAGAAACACGCAAUAUCUAGAAAUAUGCUCUGCACCCUGGGCGUUAAUUCAUAAAAACUAAUCUUUAAUAUUUCAUAAAUAUUAUGAAUAUCAGAUUCACAAAUCCGAUUUAAGUCGUCCAAUACAUUUUCCCAAUGGCUUUUCCUCUUGAGAUACAGGGAGGAACCCAACACCUUAAGAACUAAUGGAUUGCCUUUGGCAUACUUUACAAACCUCCGUGAGUGCCGAUUGAGAUCUUCAGGACAAUGAUUUUCUUUAAAAGCGAAGUUACAAAAAUGCUCGAAAGCCUCAUCCAAUCUCAAUCCAUUGACCCUAUAUAUUUUCUCCACUCCAAAUUUUUCGAGGACUCGUUUAUCCCUGGUGGUUACAACAAUUCUACUUCCUGGACCAUAUUGAUCAAGCCCUCCAAUCAAACCCUCUAAUUGUUCAUCUUUAUUCACAUCAUCGAGUACAAUCAACACCUUCAUGCGUCGGACCCUCCCUUUAGUAAAUUGUGGAAUAUUGGGACCAGCUACUUCAAGUUUUUCACUUAAUAUUGUCGAAAGCAUUUCCUUUUGUAGGUCUUCUAGGCCACCCUCUGUUUCUGAUUUUCUCCUAACAUUUUUUGCAAAGUAUUUACCAUCAAACUCACCAGAGAAUUGAUCGAAAAUAGCUUCAGCAAGGGUAGUUUUGCCUAUACCACCCGUGCCCCAAAUUCCAACAAUUUGGACAGUAUCCCACAAAUCCAUACACAAAAAUGGUUUAAUCUGCUCAAUUCGUGAAUUUAAUCCAACUAGGCCGUUGGAUGAGUCCGUUGAGACUGUUAUUUUUUCCAACUUCUUCAAAACAUCUUCGACAAUUUUGUUUACAAGUUGCGCAUCAAGCCUAAUAUGAAGGUGCAAAGAUGCAAAAACAUUGAGUCAAAUCGGGCCAAGACAGAAACAGAGAAAAGAUGAAUUAGGAAAGAGAGUUACCUGAAUUUCGUGGAUUCAUGGCCGGCUAGAUGGGAUGUUUCUGUCAGUGCAUCCCUCCACUUCUGAACCAUUUCUGGUUUAUCUUUGAACUGUUUUUUGAGCUCAUCAAAACGGUCUCCAAAUGUUCCGUUUUGAUGCCGCACAUCAGAUGGACUUACUCCAUAGAAGACUGGAAUAAUAAUUUGGCCGUUUGUGUUCUUGCAUUCAAGAAUCUUGACAAGUUCAUUCAGGCACCAUUUUGAAGAAGCGUAGUCCUUUGAGAAAAUGACCACCGAAAUUUUUGAACCUUGGAUUGCGUACAAAAGGGCGGGUGAAAUCUCAUCUCCUCGCCUAAGCCCUUCAUCAUCAAUAAAUGUUUUGAUUUUCUUUCCUUCAUACAAUUUAUCAUAGAGAUAGCAAGUAAAGCUCUUACGAGUGUCCUCCCCUCUAAAGUUGAGGAAGACUUCAUAAUUGCCACAAGAAGAAGAGGAAGCCAUGAAGGAAAUUUUAGAAAAUUGGUGACAGAAACAGAGAAUUAAUCUUGAGAGUUGAGAGAGGAGAUGUAAGAAUGAACAUGUGUGAAGAUUCUUGCGAGUACAUAGUAAAUAAUUGAAUGGCUGGAGCUUUCUUAGUUUCCUGGAAAUUUCCUGGAGCUUUCGUAUACAUGAUUUGUCAAGUCAUGAAACAUAAUCAUGAUAAUGGGGCAGACCAAAAAGAAAAGCAACAAUUCAAAUAUUUGAUUCAACCAGUAUAAAAAGGAAGGAAAAGCAAAGAAAGGAAAUGUUGAAAGUAGAGUUAGGGAAUUAUAAAAAGCUGAAGGAAAUUGGAAUUUUGUACAAUUUCUCCAGCGAGGAACUUUCACAGUCGUUACCUCAUUGUUACAGUUUAGAUUAAGAUUUGAGGGUGCAAGCAUUUACCUAGAUUUUACCUCCGCACUAAAUUCUUAAGUUUGAAAAAUUAUGAGACCUUUAUAUUGGAAGAUAUUAUAAUCGAAUCAAAACUUAAAAUUUUAAUAUUGUUAAUCUUUAAUCUUUAAAAAAAAUUACCUUGCCGUUACAAUUUGGAUUAAGAUUUGAAUAAGCAUUUACCUAAAUUUUAUCUCCGCCUGUAAAUUCUUAUGUUUUAAAAAUUAUGAGACCUUUAUAUUGGGAGAUAUUAUAAUCGAAUCAAAAUUUUGAAUUUCAAUAUUAUUAUUCUUUUAAAAAAAUUUGAGAUAACAGAGUGAUUGAUAAUAGAGAACUUGUCUAGGCAAACACAUGCAUACACAAAAAUGUGAUGGAUUCAAAAAGAAAUUAAAGUGAUAAUGUACGUGGAUCCUUAAAACAAAAAGCGAAAUCGCUUGGUGGCCCAGUAAAAUUAAGACUGAAUAUUUUUUACACGAGAAGUCAAGCUCAUAAAUGGCAAAAGCCAUUUCAUUUCACUUUUACGCGUCAUUGACUUUUGUAACACGGUGUAUGCAUCGUCAAGUGGGGCAAAAGGGUUUCGAUUACAGUGGGAAAACAUGAACAAGAAUGCAUAAUGAAUAAUUCUUUCGAUAAAGCGAAAAUUAAACACAGAAUAAUCCUAAAAUUUAAACUCUAAUAUCUUAUAAUGUAUUGAUUAAAAAUAAUCCUAAGAGUUCCCAAUUGAAACUUUCAUAAGUAUUUUUAUUGUUUUGGAUAAACAAAUUGCACUAGGAAAACAAUUUGGCAAAUUCAGAGGAUAAUGAAAAAUAGCUAUGCUUCAAUAGGCCAAAGAUUAGAGAACAAAGAAGAAUUAGUUAUUGAUAUACGAAAGAGAAACACUCCAAAAUUUCAAGCAAAAUAUUUUCAUAUACCAUUUCGAUUUUGGAAGGGGUGUGGUUUUGAACUUCAAUAGUUUCCUCUAAAAUCAAAAGGCAGCAAUUAAGCUAGAAAGAGCAAAGAAGACUUUUUGGUACCUUAUUGAAGGUAAACAUUAUGGAACUUCCAAUGUCAUUACCUCACUGUUUAAUUUUUAUUGAGAUUUGUGCAAGCAUUUACCUAAAUCUUACCUCUGCCUGUAAAUUCAUAAGUUUUGAAAAUUAUGAGACCUUAUAUCGGGAGAUAUUAUAAUCGAACUAAAACUUAAAAUUUCUUUUCUUUUCUUUUUUUAUCAUAAAAGGGCUCUUAAGAGAGCUACGACAACACUAAGUGGGAGUGUGCAACCCCAUGAACAUCAUUAAUCAAUAUGUUUAGCGUAUUUGGAGGAAUAGAUUGAAAGCAAUGUAAACCCAAAGGAAACAAAAAGCUGUACGAAGUAAGGAAAUCUGCUGCUACAUUGGUUUCUCGGUAGAUAUGAUCCACUUUGAUCAGCCAAUCACGCCAAAGGAGUUCUUCGAUGGCCUGAAUGAGAAUAAAAUGCUCAUUGACGGGAGGGUUUUAGUUAGAGAUUAACUUCAUAACACACAUGCUGUCUACUUCCACGUAAAACUUAAAAUUUCAAUAUUAUUAUUCUUUAAAAAAAAAAUUGAGAUAUCAGAGUAAUAUCACAUAGAAAAACUUGCCCACGGACGGUAAGCCAAAUGUCUAGUCAACCACAUGCAUAAAGCUAAGUAGAACAAGAGAACAGAGAAACGCGUGGGUCCCUAAAGAAAAGGCAAGCACAUAAAUGAAAAAGCCAUUACAUUUCUAUUAACACGGUGUGGCAGCAUAUGCACAAUCAAGUGAGGCAAAAGGGAUUCGCUUAUCGUGGCAGAACAUGGACGAGGACGCGUGACGAAUAAUUCCUUCGAUAAAACGAAAAACAAACGCAGAGAAAAGAAUUUCUUAUAUGACAAGAAAUCAAAGAAAUGUGAAGGAACAUGAUGAAGAAAUUGCAGACUGAUCAAUUAUCCCCAUGGACUCCUAUAAAUUCAACCAAAAUAACAAUUCGAAUCUUACCAAAUUCUUGAGUUAAAUUUAUUCAAUGCUUUUAUUUUUUUAGAGAAAUUUUUUCCAUUGCUACUUUCCCUUUUUUGGGGAAAUUAGAACCGCGGCAUGUAUAGAAAACAUUGAGGUGUAAAGCAACAUUAAUUUCAUGGGAUAUGCGUUAUACGCAUAAUAUAUUUUCAGUCCAAAUUCAACUAUACAAAGAGGCUUGAGAACUUAAAAUUAAGCACAAACUAAACAGACGAAGUAAAUACAUGAUUAUGCAACAUAACAUUAAUUCUCUUAAUUUAUAACUGUUUUUGCCACAUGAAUCUUGCACAGUUAAUCCUAAUUGAAGACUAAAAAAGAGCAAUUGGAAGAAGGUUUUGGAAUAGAAUGGUAUACAAUCGAUAUGAUCCUUUUCCAGUAGUCAACGCUAAUUAACUGCAGUUUCUAGACUCCUAAUUAUACUAGCCAUAGAAAACUGGUGAUCAAAUUAGAUUUUGAAAGGAAAUAAUGUUCAUUUUCCCUUCGCUGCCUUUUUUUUUCUUUUCUUUUUAUAGCAAAGAAUUAUAUCAUGAAAAGAAUCAAUUUAAUCACCUUUUCCAGCAGCACAAUUUUUCUUUUAUAAAAUUUGACCACAGAGACAAAGAAGAAUUAUUCAUACCUUCAUCAGUGAGGAAAUACUUUUCGGUAUGGCUAGGGUGAGAAAAGGCUUUCCACAAACACUUGUACUUUGUAUUCCUGUAAAUUUUCUUUAAAGUCAAUAAAAACCAUAAGUUCUUUACAAUAACCACCUCUUUGAUAAAAAAGUGCCGUAUUCCUUUAGAAUUUAAAACCGGCAAAAUCGGAAUCAGUGUCUUUGAAGAGACAUAAUGGUCGUAAUUCUUUAAAUGAGUUGGCUAUGGAAAUCCUUAUCCAAGAUUCUUUUACGCCAUAUUCUUUCGUAAACCAAAAUUCAUUUUGGAAUACUCUGUUGAGAAUGUCAAAUAAAACGGCAUUGAAGGAAGUUUUCAAAGGUAGAAUCCGCACUUGUCAAAGGGAUGAUCUGCACUUGUCAAAGACACGAUCCGCGUCAAACGAAUCGACACAUUUCCUUUCGUAUUCGCAUAUGUAAUCUUUGAAAAAAUGUAGCUUCUGCAUCUAUAAAUAACGCUCAGUGUAUAAUGUUUUAUUCAAGAAAAAAAACAAGUUUCUUCAUACUCGUCGUCCGAACAUACAGAGACCGUCUCUCAUAACUUCAGCCGAAUACUUGUGAUGAUGAUCAUUUGUGAUUUCAUCAGGCAAAGGGUUGAUGGUGAAAAUUUUUGUAUGUGUGAAGAAUUGAGCUGUGGAUAUAGGGGACUUAAGUGUAAUCGAAAGAGAGUUAUUAGGUCAUAGUGCAGAUUGCAUUCAGUUUAUGGGUCGCUAUGCAGAUAAUUUGUUGACGUGGCGAAAUCUGUUAUGGUCGUUAGUAUUGUUUCUGGAAAUUUUCUAGAAACCUCAGCAUAAAAGGGGCUUUUGCAUAGCCUCUGGUGUGCGUGUGAUUUCUCUUUCGUUUCCUCAUCAAAUUCUGUAAUUCUUGCUUUGAUAAAAAGCUUGUAAUCUCUUCUGUAAUGUGUGAUCAGUGCGUAAUCAUUUUGAGCAAUAAACGCUUGUGGGUUUUUCCUUCAAACAGUGUCGUUUUGGUCAGUUUGUUAGUUUGAUCUGUUGGUGGAAUUUUCUUUGGUUAUUUGUUCUCAAAAUUCAACCGUAUAUAAAGUUUGAACUCUAAUGGCUUAUAAUGUAUUGAUUAAGAAUAAUCCUAAGAGUUCCCGAUUGAAAUUUUUAAUGACUAUUUUUAUUGUUUUGGAUAUACAAAUUGCAUUAAGAAAAAAUAUUGUCAAAUUCAGAGGAUAACGGGAAAUAAUUAUGCUUCAAAAGGCCAGAGAUUUGAGAACAAAGAAGCAUUCAUUACUGAUAUACAAAAGAGAAACACUCCAAAAUUGCAAGCAAACUAGUUUCAUAUACUGUUUGGAUUCUGGAAGGGGUGAAGUUUUGAACUUCAGUUGUUCCUCUAAAAUCAAAAGCAGCAAUUAAGCGUUCUCAAUUAGAAAUAGCAAAGAAGACUUAUUCGUACCUUACUGAAGCUAACAUUAUGGCACGGUUGUUCAUAUGUAAUGGCUGCUCUGUUAUGCUAUAUGCUCUGUUAUGCUAGCUUCUCUGUUUUUGCUUACAGUUUUGAACAUAAAUUCUUGCUCAAAUAACCCAUAAUUAAAUAACACUAAUAUGGCUCCUGAAAUCCCAUAAUAGCUAAUUACGCAACUUUCUCCUCCUCCUCAAUUAUGUCUUCCCCUGCUCGGACACUAACUUCAAAAUUCAAUGCCCCGAAAAACAACACAAGAAAUCUUUGAGUUAAAUCGUGACCAGUUUAUAUAUCGUAGCAAUUGAAAAAGAAAAAGAAGAAAAGAGUUAAUUAUUAUUCAGACCUUCACUUAUUAGGAAGUUUGUUCUGCUAUUGGGUGAGAUCAAGCUCUCAGCAUAUACUUCCACAUGAUACUUUCUAACAUUUUCUUGAAAGCCAUCAAUCAUAAAAUCUUCAUACUUUUUUCCAUCCUUUGGAUCAAUAAGUACAAAUUUCUCAUCUAAAACAGACAAAAUAAAAUCACUGUCCUUCAUGGAACAUAAUGGCUGCAAUGCCUGAACUGAAUUGGCUAAUGAAACAUAGUCUUCUUUUCUUUCUCGACAUGGAACAUAGUCUUCUUUUCUUUCUGGACAUAUGUCUCUGUACUUUUCUCUCUCUACUGAUCCACACUUUUUCAUACUUCUAACUAUCAUUUUGUUUUUUUUUUUGGUUAAGUUGUGAUUUAUUCAAUUAUUUUGUAUUUUUAAUGACAAUUAUUUAAUAUUUAGUUAGUUUUGAUAUUGAUUAGUGAUUGAAAGUGUAUUUUAGAAGACUUCCGGUCUCUUGGAAAAAGGAAAAAUGGAGACGAAGAAGAAGUGUUCUUGAUUUUUUUGUAGGCAUUAAAGUUAAACGGUUUGAAAUGAUAUUUUGUUUUAAUUUCACUCAUUAAUCUCAUUCAGGAUAAAAUUAUAAAUGCAAAUAAAUGGGGUUUCAUGAGUUUUUUUUAAUAGUGUUAAAAGGUCUACUCACUAAAUAAACAUGUUUUACCCAAACCAAUCCGAUUAAUAAAGUUAUUGGGUUGGGUUGAUCAGGUUAAAAAUCAAAAUUAAAAAUUAAAUAAAUAAAAAAGGCGUUAAAACUAUCUGUUACUUGAAAAUAAAAAGAAUUUCAAAUAGUUAGUUCUAAUGUCCCAUAUCCAAAACAUGCAUAUUAAAUAAAUAUUAUAAGUUAGAGAUAAAAUAUCCAAGAAAUAAUGAAUGAAUGAAAUACCAUAUUUUUGUUGAGAAUUAAGAGUGUGAUUUUAAUUUUGAUAUUGGAGUCUAAAGCAAUAGAUAGUACAAUGAAAUCAUGAAUGCCACAUUUAAAUAAUGUCUUUUAUAAAAUAAUAAAAAGAAGUUAAAAAUUAGGUUAGCCAUUUAGGCGUUUAGGGUUUAGCAGUUAAGGAUGAACAUAUUAUUAUUAUUGUUGUUGUUGUUGUUAUUAUAACAAUUAUUAUUUACAUAUUAAUUAAUCCAACCCAACCCAAUUAUUAACAAACUAGGAAAUAAAACCGCACUUCGUGCGGCUUUAAAAGAAAAUUAAUAUUAUUUUUUUAUUACUUUACAAUUGAUGAAACUAAUAAAAAAUAUGAAUUAUUUUUAAAAUGACGUAAUCUUAUAAAACUAAUGUUAUUUAUGAAAGUUAAUUAUUUUUUUGUUAACAUUAAAAAUAUAUAUUAAUGUGUAUAGUUAAGUGUACACAACUUUUUCAUCAAUAAAAAUUAUGUUCACAUUAAUCAACUCUCCAUUUUUCUUAGUAUUAACAGACUCUCACAUCUUACAAAGUCUGACCCUUAUUAUUCAACUAUCUUUAUCAUAGUUUAACUCAUGAAGAAAAUAGUACUCCAUGAAGCAUACAAUACUAAAAAUUUAAAUAAGUCAAAAAAUAAAAACACAAAAACAUUUCUAAAGAGAAUGUUGGUUAAAUAAUAAAAAAAACUCAAACAUAACAAAUCUUAAAUGCUUAAUAUUUAUAGAGCUUGAAGAAGCCAAAAGAUACUAAAUAAAAGGUUGCAUAAUUAAAUAUAGGAUUAUAACAUUAAAAUUAGGUCAUAAGGCAUUGGUGAGGGAAGAGGAAGGAACAUUCCUUCUUAUAUUAAUUAGUUGAUGUAUUUUAAACCACUAAAGUUUAUUUGUUGGCUUAAUAAAAUAAAUGAAUGUUUCAAAACUUAUAAUUAAUUUAUUAUUAAUGGUUAUAUAUUGUUGAAUUUAAAUAGAAAGAGAAAGAGACAUGUAAUCUUUUGUAAUCUAUUAAUUAUUUUAUAUUUUUAAUAUUUUGUAAUGUAAUUAUUUUUUAAUCUCAACCAAUAUGUUAGAUAAUAGAGAAUAUAAAAAGAUGAGAAAUAAUAAUGCCACAAAUCUUAACUACUUAAUAUUUAUAGAGUUUGAAGAAGUCAAAAGGUACUAAACAAAAGGUUGCAUAAUUAAAUAUGAGAUUAUAGCAUUAAAAUUAGACCCCACUGGCAUUAUUGAGAGAAGAUGAAGGAACAUUCCUUCCUAUAUUAAUUAAUUGAUAUAUUUAAGCUACUAAAAUUUAAUUGUUGGCAUAAUAAAAUAAAUAAAUGUUUCAAGAUUUAUAAUUAAUUAUUAUUAAUGGUUACAUAUUAUUGAAUUUAAAUAGAAAGAGGAAGAGACAUGUAAUCUUUUAUAAUCUAAUAAUUAUUUUUAUUUUUAAUAUUUUAUAAUGUAAUUAUUUUUUUAAUAUCAACUAAUUUAUUAGAUAAUAGAGAAUACAAGAAGAUGAGAAAUAGUGAUGUCACAUCACCUCCUCUAGUCCCAACUUUAUAUAUAUAUAUAUAUAUAUAUAUAAUAUUUUGUAAUGUAAUUAUUUUUUAAUCUCAGCCAAUAUAUUAGAUAAUAGAGAAUAAAAAAAGAUGAGAAAUAAUGAUACCACAAAUCUUAAAUAUUUAAUAUUUAUGGAGUUUGAAGAAGCCAAAAGGCACUAAACAAAAGAUUGAAUAAUUAAAUAUGAGAUUAUGACAUUAAAAUUAGACUCUAAUGGCAUUGUUGAGGGAAGAUGAAGGAACUUUCCUUCCUAUAUUAAUUAAUUAAUGUAUUUUAAGCCACUAAAAUUUAAUUGUUGGCAUAAUAAAAUAAAUGAAUGUUUCAAGACUUAUAAUUAAUUAUUAUUAAUGGUUACAUAUUGUUGAAUUUAAAUAGAAAGAGGAAAAGACAUGUAAUCAUUUAUAAUAUAAUAAUUAUUUUCUAUUUUCUAUUUUAAUAUUUUGUAAUGUAAUUAUUUUUUAAUUUCAACCAAUUUAUUAGAUAAUAGAGAAUAUGAAAUGAUGAGAAAUGGUGAUGCCACAUCACCUCUUGUAGUCUCAACUUUAUAUAUAUAUAUAUAUAUAUAUAUUAAUUCAUGUCUUUUAUACCACUAAAGUUUAAUUGCUAGCAUAAUAAAAUAAAUAAAUGUUUCAGAAGACUUAUAAUUAAUAUUAUUAAUGAUUACAUAUUGUUGAAUUUAAAUAGAAAGAGAAAAAAAUUACAAAGAAUAUCCACCAAUAUUUUAGAUAUUUUAGAUAAUAGAAAAUAUAAAAAGAUGAGGAAUGAUAUAUAUUAAUAAAGUUACUAUUUAUUAAAUGAGUUAAAUACAAUCAAAUUAAUUAUGAGAAGAUGAAAAGCCAAAUCUAAAAAAAAAAUCUCUAUUUAUUAGAUAAUAGAGAAUAUAUAAAGAAGUAAAAUGGUGAUGCCACAUCACCUACUCAAGUCCUAGCUUUAUAUAUACACUAGAAAAUAGAACCGCGUUUCACGCGGCUUUGAAAAAAAAUUUUAAUGUUAUCUUUUUUUUUUAUUUUGCACAUGAUGAAACUGAUAAAAAAUAUGAAUUGACUUUUUUUUAAGAUGAAGCAGCCUUAUUAAAAAAAAACUAUUAGCCAGCAAUACAAAUAAAGAAGUAAUGUAAGAUAAAAAAUAAAAUGAGAGAAUAUAUUAUAGAAUGAUUUUAUUCAUUCUAAUUGUGUGGUACAAAACAAAAAGAUGAGCUCUCAUUUUAUAGUUACAUAAUCACUCCAUGAAAUUAAUGAAAAAUUAUGGAUCAUAAUUCCUUGUGAGAUAGUGGGAGUUAUAGGGAAGCUAAAGGUUGCUAAUGGAAGAUAGUGGGGAGACUAAGAGAUAUAUGUUAUGAACAUCUACAUUUAUUUUAAUAAAUUCAUAACACUCCCCCUUUGAUGUUCAUUAUAAAAAAUAUGCCUCAUUAAAAUCUAUUAGCCAACAAUACAAAUAAAAAAGCCACACAAUAUAAAGAAUAAAAUGAGAGAAUAUAUUAUAGAGUGAUUUCAUUCAUUCCAAUUAUGUGUGUACAAAACAAAAAGAUGAGCUCUCCUUUUAUAGUUACAUAAUCACUCCAUGAAAUUAAUGAAAAAUUAUGGAUCAUAAUUCCUUGUGAGAUAGUAGAAGUUAUAGGAAAGCUAAAGGUUACUAAUGGGAGAUAGUGGAGAGAGUAAAAGAUAUAUGUUAUGAACAUCUACAUUUAUUUUAAUAAAUUCAUAACACUCCCCUUUGGAUGUUCAUUACAAAAAAUAUGUCUCAUUAAAACCUUUAUAUAAUUGUUAUUGUGUAAUAACAAUCAAAUUAAUUAUGAGAAGAUGAAAAGUCAAAUCUAAAAGAAAAUUUCUCUAUUUAUUAGAUAGAUAAUAGAGAAUAUACAAAGAUGAGAAAUAGUGAUGCCACAUCACUCUCUCAAGUCUCAACUUUAUAUAGAUAUAUAGAUUUGAAAUGAUUGACUCAAUUAAUCCACAAUAAUUCAUUCAACUCGUCUAAAUUAGAUUAUGUUGAAUUUGAUUUGCUACACCUACAUUGAGCAACAAACCUCAACGACAUUCUACGAGCUCUUUGAUUGUUUAUAAAAUUGAUUUAGAGUACAUAAAGUGUAUCGACAAUGAAAGUGCAAAACAAAUUAUUGUACAUAUUAAAAUGUGCAAAACAAUGAAUUAUAUGUACAAACGAGUGCAAACACAUUUUUCAAUAAGAAGUUAAAAGAUAUUUAUGCAUGAAAAAGCCUACGUUUGUAGUUAUUCUAAAUUUUAAAAACAAAAUUUACAUUUAGAUCCCUAAAAUUUACGUAUAAGUAUAAAAGUUUCAAAUAUUGUCUAUUAUUUUUUUAACAUGCCUAUUCCUUAUGGAUAAUUCUGUCUCAUCACUAAUGUUGUUUCUUGCUUAGAAAAAAUAAAUGUCAUCUCCUUUUACAAUUUUUAUAGCGUCUCGAAAUAGACAAUAGGGGAUUUUGAAUUUUUUAAGUCUCAAGAUAGUCUCUAAUCGUGUGAGAAAGAUUUUCUUUCAAUAAUUUGGAGCUAAACAUAACAUAUUUUUUAGACUAAAAUCUAACUCUGCUGGUUAGUAGUUGGUGGUAUCCUUUUCAAGACUUGAGUCUUUAGAUUCGAGUUUUAUAUAGUGUACAUGUGUAUUUAAUUAAUAAUUUUUUUCAAAAAAAAAAAUUACAUCAAAUACUAAUAUUCAUGACAUAAUUUAGUUCAUAAUUUUUUUAAAUACAUCGAAAAAUAUAAUUUUUUAACAACUUAUAGGCACGACAAAUUUCAAGAUAUAAAUAUCAGUCAAAAUAAAUGAAAGAAAUAAUGGUGUCAAUUCUAAUUUCUUAACUAAAUUAAUUAUUGCAUGAGCCCCGAAUACGACAUGAGAGUUUGAUGGGCUAACUUGGCACAAGAACGCGAAUAGUUAACUCAUUUAAGAAAUAAUUCAACAAAAAAUAUAAUUGAUAAGAAUUCAGUAUUGAAAUGAAUUUUUUACGAAACAUUGAAUUAAUGAUUAUUAAGCAAGAACAAUAAAAAAAUAAAAUAAAAAUAAAUAUUAACCAUUGAUAAGCUUCAACAAGAACUUAACACAACCCUCAAUCCUAAUUCAAAUCAUAAAUGUCAUUCAUAUAUUCAUUAUAAAUCAAUAACAAAGGUUAUAAAUGUUUAGAAAUUCUAGAGGGAAGGAAGCUAUCUCCGGGGAAUCAACAACUAAAUUUGAUGUAAUUGUGGCACACGAUGGAAUAUGGAAACUACACCAUAAUUUCAAAUGCCGCCAUAGACAUUGACUUAUCUACAAUAACAAUGAUCUAAUUAAAAUUAAAAUAAAGUUUAUGGGCAUUUAUUAUUUUGCCAUUUCUCAUUUGCAAACAGGGAUAUAAUUAUAAUUUUACUUAGUCAAAGCAAUCAGUAAUUUUCUUCAUUAUCGGAGUGAAGUAAAAACAUUUAGAUUUUAAUGAGUGUACGGAAAAUUUAUCUUUAAAAAUACUUUCUUAAUGUGUGUGUAUAUAUAUAUUGAAAUAUUAUGCUAUCAAAAGUUAAUUUUAGAAAUUCCAAAUCCAAUAGCUAACACAAUUCUUUAAAGAAAAAAAAAAAAAGGUUGAUAAUCAGCAAUUAGUAUUACUUUCUAAACUUACUUCAACUGGUCGUUAAUGAGGGGCCUUGGGCAAGAGUGAUGAAUGUUUAGUCGGUGCAUUUGAUUGAUAGAUAUAUAAAGGGCCGAAACUUGAGAUUAUAUUACUUUUACAAAUUUUAAUCCAAUCACAUAUUUACUGAAACACAAAAUGAGUUAGGAUACUUUAUUUAGAACCCACAUUUUAAUAAGGCUUCAUUUGAUGUAGUUUUUCAAACAGUGAUUAUUUGAGUAAAGUUUCCUCAAUAGAGUUUUUAUCAAAUAAAUUUUAUUUAUUUGGUUGUCGAUAAGAACUUUUAUUAAAAAUUAUAAAAUUAUUUAAAUAAACAUAUUUUUUUAAAAUUACAUUAUAAAAAGAAUUAAAUAAAGUUAUAAAAGUAAAAUAUAUUUUAGAUAUUUUAAUAUUUAAGAAAAAAAUUUUGAAUCUCUACUUUCAGAAGCUCAAAUUUUUAGUUUUUAGUUGUAGAGACAAAAUAUCUUAUUUAAUCUUUAAAAGUUCUGCUAAAAACAAUCAAAUAACUAUAAAAUUUUUAAUAAGAGUAUAUAAAAUUAAAUAAGCAUUUAUUAAUAAUCACUUUAGUGUACUUAUCUAAUGACCAUAAGUGUUUAUUUAAUCUCAUAAGUUCUUAUUUAAUCUCAUGAGCUCUUUUCAAUUUUUUUUGUUGUUUGCUUUUUUUAGUAGAGUUUUUGAAAAUUAAAUAAACUAUUUUGUCUCUAUUAGGAAAAACUCAAAUUUUAGGUUUUUGUGAGUAAAUGUUUAAAUUUUUUUAAAAAUAUUAAAAUAUUAAAGUAAAAGUUGUAGAGACAAAAUAUCUUAUUUAAUGUUUAAAAGUUCUGCUAAAAAUAAUCAAAUAACUACAAAAAUUUUAAUAAGAGCAUAUAAAAUUAAAUAAGCAUUUAUUAAUAGUCACUUUAGUAUACUUAUCUAAUGACCAUAAGUGUUUAUUUAAUCUAAUGAGCUCUUUUUAAUUUUGUUUGUUUGUUUUUUUAGUAGAGUUUUUGAAAAUUAAAUAAACUAUUUUGUCUCUAUUAGGAAAAACUUAAAAUUUAGGUUUUUGUGAGUAAAUGUUUAAAUUUUUUUUAAAAUAUUAAAAUAUCUUUUCUUUAUUUCAUAAUCUUAUUUCAUUCUUCACAACAUAACUUUAAAUAACUCACCUAUUAAAAUAAUUUCACAAUUUAUAAUAAAAAUUUUAAUUGACAAUCAAAUAACAAAUUUUUUUUUAUAAAAACUCUAAUAAUAAAAAUUCUACUUAAAUAAAUUAUAUUUGAAAAGGUAUACCAAACGAACCUAACAUAAAAACAAAAAUUUUUACAUCCACACAAUUAAGCUUAAAACAAUUUCAAAUGAAUUUUAGACUACUCAAAGUACAAUACGUACCAAGUUUGGUAACUUAUUGGGGUCCGCUUGUAAUACAGCUCAUGAGCUCUUUUUAAAAAAAUUUUGAAUCUCUACUUUCAGAAGCUCAAAUUUUUAGUUUUUAGUUAUAGAGACAAAAUAUCGUAUUUAAUGUUUAAAAGUUCUGCUAAAAACAAUCAAAUAAUUACAAAAAUUUUAACAAGAGCAUAUAAAAUUAAAUAAGCAUUUAUUAAUAAUCACUUUAGUGUACUUUAUCUAAUGACCAUAAGUGUUUAUUUAAUCUCAUGAGCUCUUUUUAAUUUUUUUGUUGUUUUUUUAGUAGAGUUUUUAAAAAUUAAAUAAAUUAUUUUGUCUCUACUAGGAAAAACUUAAAAUUUAGGUUUUUGUGAGUAAAUGUUUAAAUUUUUUUACAAAUAUUAAAAUAUUUUUUUCUUUAUUUCAUAAUCUUAUUUCAUUCUUCACAACAUAACUUUAAAUAACUCACCUAUUAAAAUAAUUUCACAAUUUAUAAUAAAAAUUCUAAUUGACAAUCAAAUAACAAUUUUUUUUUAAUAAAAAUUCUACUUAAAUAAAUUAUAUUUGAAAAAGUAUACUAAACAAACUUUUUUUAGACUAAUCAAAGUACAUCUUCUCAUAAAAUAAUUUCACAAUUUCUAAAAAAAACUCUAAUUGACAAUUAAGUAACAACUUUUUUUUUUUUGUAAAAACUUUAUUUAUAAAAAAUCUAAUAAUAAAAAUUCUAUUUAAAUAAAUUAUAUUUGAAAAUGUAUACUAAACCAACCUAACAUAAAAACAAAAAUUUUUACAUCCAGACAAUUAAGCUUAAAACAAUUUCAAAUGAAUUUUAGACUAAUCAAAGUACAAUACGUACCAAGUUUGGUAACUUAAUUGACAUCUUCUCAUAUAACCUUCGAUCAAGUCGAUUCUGACCUGACGACUAAUUGGUACAUCACCGUUGUUCUCUAUACUCGCAUGCAUCCGAUCACAAAUCUCACUCCAAUUGUCGUCUUUCUUCGGCGUUUUAGCGCAUCCUUCUUGAAUUUCCCGCAUUUCGUUCCCUCCUGUUACAAGUCUCCGGUCAGGUCAGUUCACUUGACGAUUAAUUCGGCAAAUCUCGAAUCUCUUCUCUAUCCCUCUCGUUUUCUCGUGUCUCCUUUCAGUUUAAGUGAUUGAAUCAAUUUUAUCGCAGUCUUAAGAGAAAUUAAGUAAUGCUCUUGGAUUUAAAAUUUUUUUGCUUUCGACUUUAGAUCUCGAAAGUCAAACUCUGCUACGAAUCCAUAGAUUCUCAAUGUUUAUAAUCUUAUUUGUGUUUGACCAGGUAACUGGAUCGUGAAAUUCGUCGUUUUGUAUCAAUUCAGGCUUUCGCGAGCUCAUGGAAUCACCUGGUGAGUUGUGGUGAAACGUUAUCGUUUCAAUUUUCGCUUAAUUCUUUAUUGCAUAUUUUUUCUCUAACAUUUCAGUUUAAUUUAGAAAAGAAAGAGGACCCAAAAAGAGAGAGAGAGAGAGAGACUCUACCAUACUCAAUUCCUUGCUCAUUCUGAUUUGGCCUGAAUGUUGGCAUUGACUAUUAUUUGUUUUCAUUUCGAUUUAAUUCUCAUUUAGACAGUCUUUACUAACGGUCAAUAAUAGUUUAAGGAAAAUGAUAAUAGGGAUUCUGCAAUAAUCUUUCUGCAUUGUUCAAGUUAGUAGACGAUGAAUAGGAUGUUUAUGUUUACCUCAUUUUGAACCCUGAGGGCUUCGUUGAGUAGUUGAUUCAACAUAUCCAGCAACGGUUGAUGUGAGAACAGGAUGCCACUUAGAUAGGCUUAAACUGAUUUUGGAGGUUUGUAUUGGUUCUAUUGUACGUCUUGCUUACAAAUUUUUUAUUUUUUAUUUUUAAUUUUGUAUAAUAUGCUCUUUGUUGGUAAAUCUCAUUUGACUUAGAAGAGAUAGUUUUAUCCCAACAGUGGGAUAAAUCAUUGAGAUGCAUGGCAGUGUGAAUAUAGUAGACAAAAUCAUUGAGACACAUGGUGGUGUGAACAUAGUAAACUUCAUGGAAGCAAUGAAGCUUGAAAUUGAACGUCUGCAGCUGAAUCUUUCUGCAGCUGAAAGGGAUAGAGCUUUAUUGUCAAUCGGAACUGAUCGUGCCUCUAUAAAUCCAAAUGUAUUGCUUGAUGAAUCUUACAUGGGAAGACUGUGUCGAGUAGCAACCACUCUUGCAUUACUUGGCCAAACUUCCCUAGAAGACAAAAUUGUUGGUGCAAUUGGCCUUGAGAAUAGUGAUGAUAGUGUUUUAGACUUCUGGAAUAUUACUAGAAUCGGAGAGAGUUGUUCUGGUGGCUGGUGGCGGGUGCAAGGUUCGUGCAGAAACUAAGGUGCCUGCUCUUGCUUCCUCAACUGCAACAUCUGUUGGAGCUUCACAAUCCCCUUUGUUGUGUUCUCAAUGUGAAAGAAAAGUUUGCAAAGUUUGUUGUGCAGGAAGAGGAGCUCUACUGUUUUCAAAUUAUAAAUCAAGGGAUGUGACCAACUACAAUGGCUUCUCAAGUCAGAGUGGAUCAAGCCAUGGAAGCCAAGUUGAUGUACCUACCAGUCGUUCACUAACACUGGAUGGCGUUGUCUGUAAACACUGCUGCCAUGAGAUUGUGCUUGAUGCAUUGAUGUUGGACCAUGUUAGGGUCUUGAUUAGCUUGCGAAGAAGUUCCCGUGCAGACAACACAGCAUACAAUGCUUUGAAUGAGGUUGUUGGAUCCUGCUUAAAGGAUAGUCUUUCUGAAAGGAUUCAGUCUUCCGAUAACGUGCAAGCUGCUGAAGUCCUUCACCAAUUAUGUGGUGGACAGGAAUCAGUUGCUGAAUUUCCAUUUGCUAGCUUUUUGCACUAGGUAUGUUCUUGGUUUGUAUUCAGUUCUCAUCAUGUUAUGUUUUCCUUUUAAAUUUCUUUUCUUGAUUAAAAUUUUUAGAAAUAUGUUUUAGUAUUUGUUCUUAUGAUAUAUGCCCAGAACAUUCAUCCCACUUAUCCAUGAGAAUCCUUGUCUGGUUUGAUUUUCAAUUGAGACAUUUUUGGGAACCCUGAGCAGGUUCCAUAUGCUAAUAAUCUUUGAGGUAAGGUGUUGUAGGAUGCCUUGAGAAGCUAAAAACCAAUUACAAGGAAAAGCUCUUGCAUUGUUUUGUGCAAUCUGUGUGCUAGCAAGUCAUGUCUCUAAUAAUUUCAUAGUUCGCUUGAUUGGAAUUUUUUAUCUUGAUAUGGAUUGUUUAUUCUAGAUUCCUUGGUGCCACUGUAGGUUGAAACAGCAAAAGAUUCAGCACCGAUUUUGUCACUGCUUGCUCCAUUAAAUUCUGGAUCAAGGCACUCAUAUUGGAGAGCUCCACCUAGUACUACUUCUGUUGAAUUUGUUAUUGUUCUCGGUUCUGUUUCUGAUGUCAGUGGGGUUAUCUUGCUUGUUAGUCCUUGCGGCUAUCUGUGGCUGACACUCCGAUGGUAAGUGCCAUAUUUAUUCCCUUAUUUCCUUGUUGUUCAAUAAAUUUGGUGAUAAGCCAAGUGGCCUUAAUAAUGAAGCCCAGUACCAGGGGUGGUGGGUAAUCGAUAUUCAACUUGUGAAUAUUCCUAAGCAAGCACGGAAUCAACAUAGACGUCGGCAAAAAUUCUCCAUGCUAUUAUAACGAAAGUCAUAUUUUGAAAUGAUUAAAAGAGUCCCUUUGUAGUGCCAUUGCCAAAGAAAUUGCAGCUGGGGGUUUAGUUUCAUGUAGGUUAGUUUCCGAUAAUAAACUUUCCAUUUCAUUAAUUGCUGAUGAAAAAACCAAGUAAGAACAGUUUCGUUGCUCGUCAUUUAUGUAUAUUUUGGUAAACUGUAAUUUUAAAUUCUCAACGAUCUUCCCUUGGUAGGUAAGAAGAUGGUCCACUCACUUUAUAUUUAUGAUUGUAGAUCAGGUUUCUAUUGGUUUGCCUUUAUCAUUGGGAACCCAAGUUUGAUAUUAACAGAGAUCACGUCAAUAAUAUCCUAUUUGGGUAGAUGUGGGUGAGGAUUUAAAAUCAAAUUUGAAAUUGGGGGAAAGAAGAGAAAAGGAACCACAAUAAUUAAACAAAAUAUUAGGAACUAUUCUGAUGAGUUUUAAUCUCGAGAGGAACAAUUUUCAAAUGCAAAUUUAACUGCUAGAGAAAUUGUAGCUUUUUGUCAUUAGUUAAGAGGAAAGAGAAUAAGAACUAUCCAGCCCUUUCCUUCAUGAAUGUGUGUUGAGGUUGCUGUAUUAUUUAGUCAGUAUUUGUAAUUUUCUUCCCUGCAGUGCUCUCUGCCUCCUGAAUUUGCUACUGAGUCCAUAUUUUUCUUUGAGCUGUUGCUUCCUAUUGCUGUUACAAGUACAAAUCUGGGCAAGCAAUAAGAUACACCGGGAGGAAAGGUCAUCAAUGGGAAAAUGGGAUGUCCAAUCCCUCAUCACAUCUUCUUCAGACUUGUAUGGUCCAGAAAAGACAGCUAGUGUUGAAAAAUUACCUAGGCAUGUAAAAUUUACUUUUAAGAAUCCUGUUAGGUGCCGCAUUGUUUGGAUCACAUUACGUCUUCAGAGACCUGGUUCGGCUUCAGUUAAUUUCGGGAAGGACUUCAGUCUUUUGUCUCUUGAUGAAGAUGAAAACCCCUUUGCGCAAGUAGACAGACGUGCUUCAUUUGGAGGAGCAGUUGAAAAUGAACCAUGUAUUCAUGCCAAAAGAAUUCUUGUAGUCGGAAGCCCAGUAAAAAGGGAGGGGCUUACCUCAUCACAGAGCUCUGAGCAGCUAAGUAUUAGAAACUGGUUGGAUAGAGCUCCACAAAUGAGUAGAUUCAAGGUAUUAGUUGCUUUCACUCUUUGUUCAUUCAUAAUUCCAGCUUUCUGCUUGAUGCCCUGCCUCUGAUAAACCUCUUUUUUUCUCUUCAGGUCCCAAUUGAGGCCAAGAGAUUGAUGGACUACGAUCUCGUCUUGGAACAAUAUCUACCUCCAGCGUCACCUUUGCUUGCCGGAUUCCAUCUAGACGCUUUCAGUGCAAUAAAACCUAGGGUUACCCAUUCACCUUCCUCAGAUUCAGAUAUCUGGGACAAAUCAGUAACAUUUUUAGAAGACAGGUACAUCUCUCAAGCUGUGUUGUAUUUACAAGUAUCCGCACUCCAGGAACCACAUAACAUGGUAACUAUUGCGGAAUAUCGACUGCCGGAGGCUAGAGCCGGAACGCCAAUGUACUUUGAUUUCCCAUGACCGAUACAGUCCCGACGAGUUUCAUUCAAGCUUCUUGGAGAUGUUACAGCAUUUGCAGAUGAACCUUCAGAACAAGAUGAUUCAGGAUUGAGAGCUCCACUUGUGGCCACAGGUUUGUCUUUGUCAAACAGAAUCAAGUUAUAUUAUUAUUGUGAUCCUUAUGAGCUCGGAAAAUGGGCAAGCCUUUCUGGAGUUUGAUCGUUAUUUAUAUGUCAGAGAAAGGGUUUUGGGUUUGAUUUUGAUUUUGAUUUGUAAUUUUUGUCAGUUUAUUGAAAUUUUUUGUUGUAUAAAAGCAGAAUGUAAAGGUAUAAAAAUUCAUUGAUGCUGCAAUGUCUGUGCUUUUGAGAAAGAAGAAUUAAUUGUCUUUUCUAUGCCAUUGGAGUUUCCCACUGCUUGUAUACUUGGGCUGUCGAAUGCUCUGUGAACCUUAAGGGCUAUAAAGUAAUUUUCAAGACUGAAGGAUUUAUUAAUCGAGUUCAAAAGAUUGUAAGUUGGUGACUGGUGAGCGUUGGCAUUUAAAAAUCAAUUGUUAUUCUCUCAAUAAUCUCUCUCUUCUCCUCGUGAAGUGUUUUCUUUUUCGAGUGAAGGUGGUUUUCCACUUGCAUACGUCGGGGGUCUUAUGAUAUGUAAUGUGUGAAAUUUCUUUCUCAUUUUACCAUAAAGAAAAAUGUUGUAAUAAUCUAAAGCUCGAGUCUUAAAUUAUCUUAAAUUUAUAUUUAGAGUGGAGCUAUUCGCAACCCUAUAUUAAAAUUACAAUUAAAAACAAUUGAAAAUUAAACACUUAUAGAUUCUUUUUACAGCAAAUUACUUAAUUCAUAAUCAAUCCUUUAAAAAAAAAAUACAUAUGUUAUUUCUUAUCUAACUAAAAUAAAUUGUACAAAUUUAGAAUAAUCUAUUGUUCUCUUUUGAUUUCUUAUUAUUUAAAUAUUUUUAUACAUAAAGUUACUUUGAAAUUAUAAUUUGAAAUAUGUGUUAUUUCAGCCAAUGAUUAACACUAAAAAAUUUAUCACCCAUAUAACUUUUUAAUUUGUGUGUAGGGUAAUAAUAAAAUCGAAAAUAAUUAAAAAAAUAGUACAAUAAUGAUUUUUAACAAUAAAACAAAUCAAAUGAAAAUUGAAAAUUUAGAAAAGUGUAUCUAAAAAAAGGAACGUUUUCAAAAAUAAAAUGAAUAUAACUAAAAAGAGAUUUUAUGAGGAGAUCACUGGGGUGCCAAUAGUCCAACUUGUAAUUAAGAAUCUCCCAUUAUAUUGUCAACCAAAAAGACACUUGAAUAAGAAGAAGAAUUUAUCAGUUUGAUUUUAUUUGUAGAUCCAACAUUUCUCAUAUCCUGAACGCCUUUUCGUAUCAAAUUAAAACAGUAGUAGCAAAAUCGUAGUAUUAAAAUCGUAGUGCACAUUCAAUUAACCAACUAAUAGUCUUUGGUAUAAGAUUUUAUAUUAGGUAGCCAAGUAGGUUGUCCAUCCCACUCAGACAUGCACGAAAGCUAAAUUCAUCAAAUGAAUUACUUAAGAAGUAUUUGAUAAUUUUGAAAUUAUCAAAAGGUGUUAUACUAUUAAAUAUUUUUAUACUUAAAAUUGUUUUGAAAUUAUAAGUUCAAAUUAAAAUAAUAGUAGCAAAAUCGUAGUGCACAUUCAAUUAACCAACUAAUAGUCUAAGAAGCAAAGAGAGGAUUACAAGUUCACAACACCAUUACAAAGGAUUCAAAAUUCCCACACGAAUACAUCAAUGUACAGAUUAUAAACAAUCCGAAUUGGACACAAGAAAAACCCUUCAAUAGAUUGCUUGCCUUCCCAAUGCUAUAUACUGUGCAAACUGCGCAUUGGCCAAGAAAAUGUUUUCAAUUUAGUGUAUUUUCAAAAUGCUUAUUUUCUCAUAGUAUAAAAAAUAAAAAAAAUAAGAAAGAAUUCUCACAUGUUUCAUCAGCAUGAUUAAAAUCAAAGAAGAAAGCGAGACAUAAUGUCUCUGACAUAAUAAAAUUACAAAAAUUUCAAGGAAAAAAAAAGGUUAAAACAUGUAAUCUUCAGAAGCAUAUAAUAAAAGAACACUUCCACAAAUUACUACAAUUUCAUGCAGUAGAGAUUGAAGAGUUGAAUUCCACUAAUUUUAAUAAUGAAAACAACAACAGAGGAUUAACUGAUGCUUUGACUUAUUAGUUCUGCAGAGCAUCUCCAAAAGCCUAUAUAAAUUUUACUCUUCAAAUACUUAUUUGCUUACCUAUGUGGCAAAUAAAAGGGUGAAAAAAUAUGAUAUUCUCCAAAAGACUCUUCAAAUAGAAAAAAGUUAAUAUUAUUUUAAUCAUAUAAUUAAUUUUUUAAAGAAAAAGUCAAUAGCAAUUAAAGCACUUCUCUCUCUUUCUUCAAUGAAAAGUAAUAAAAUAUAAAUUGAAGAGGGAGAAAUUAACUCUCCAAAUUUGAAGAGAGAGAAUUAAUUCUUAUUUAAAGAAUCUUAAUUGAAGUGUCUUUUGGAGCUUUAAAUAUUGAUGUGGCUCUUCAAAUAAGUAAUAAAAUCUUAUUUGAAGAGCCUUUAAAUAAGGUGCUUUCAAAAGCAAAAUGGAAUACAUAGAUAAAAACAUCAUCUUAAACAAAUCACAAUCUAGAAUUAGAGCAUUUUCGACAUACCUAAGGAAAACGAAUACGUGAAAACGGGUGAUUCAUUUGUUAAGGAGUGUUGAUUUGGUCGUCUCUGCAAAUUCUUUAGGGACUCGGUUCCAAUUCCUCAUCAUCAAAACUGUAAUAUAAUUCCCCUUCAUCAGAACUCGAAUCGAUGCAAUAUAAUUCCCCUUCAUCAGAACUCGAAUCAAAUUCACUUGCAGCAGUUCCACUCGCGCUUGGCAAAUCAUCCAAUUUCCAAACUUCGGUAGCAAAAUUGAGAGUAAAAGUGUUGGCUUUGAUCUCGCUGGGAUUUGCAUAUACUGGACAUACUCCGCAACGUUUUAUCUUCUGACCCUUUUGGACCUUUAUUAUGUUUCGGUAACGCUCAUUGAAGAACUUAAGUGAGACAGUUGUAUGAUGGUAACCAUCAGGAAAGCCAACAUUCAAGCAAGGUUUAAAACCAAGUAUGACAUGAUCUGAAUCAUGGGGGUCUUUAAUAGAGUCCCAAUAGAAACUCAGAUCAACAUGUUUGGUUUCAGAGAGAGUCUUUAUUUCUAAGUCGGAUCGACAGUAAACGUAAAAAUAACGAGAACGAUCAGAAUAAAGUUGCUUAAAAUCAAGAACAGCACAAAAAGCAAACCCGAUUAAGUUUCUGCAAAAAGAGUGCGGUGGCAGUUGAAUACGUAUCGAAGAUCCUGAACUUUGAUUGCUGAACCAGUCAGGAAUUUCGCUCCCAGGUAAAACAAUUUGGGAUUCCCUGAGUUCAGAAAGUUUCUGUGAAACGACAUUUAAAAAAAGAAAAUUGUAAAAUGAAAACCAUGAUUUCAGAUAUAACAAAGAGGGACAGAGUAAACAAGAGAGGGAAUUUGAUACCUCGUUGUAUGCAUUUUCAUAGCCCAGUCUCAGUGAUGCUGCAAUUGCCAUACGUAGUGAAUCUGCCAAAAUCUUGUUGUUUGCUUUUCCAUCAAGUUUCAAGCAGUUAGUAAACCCAAAAUAAAUUGGUUGUGGCGUCACAUAUUCCGGAUGCCAUUGACGAAGGUCAGGAGAGGGUUUGGAUAGCUUUUCGAGUACGGAUGCAUCUAGUUCUUGUACACAUGACGGAAUCUCUGGCAAAGAUUGAAGCCGGUUGCAGUUCAUUGCAAUUAGUGACUGUAGACACAAUGGAAGUUCAGGUAAUGACCGAAGCAUGUUACAAUCCUCCAAGUGAAGAGUUUCUAAACCCAAUGGAAGUGCUGGUAAUGACUGAAGCAUGUUACAACGCCACAAGUGAAGAGUUUCUAGACCCAAUGGAAGUUCUGGUAAUGACUGAAGUAUCUUACAAUCCCUCAAUUCAAGAAAUUUUAGGCCCAAUGGAAGUUCUGGUAAUGACUGAAGCAUAUUACAAUCCUCCAAGUAAAGAUAACUUAGCCACGACAGUUGCUUGAUACUUGCAGGUAAACUCUCAAAGUUAUUUCCAUUUAAAUUGCCAAUGUUAUCCGGCAACUUAUCAAGUACAGAGCAACCACUUACGGACAAAAGUACAAGCCCCGUUUGCAAUGCCUCAAAUCCAACUUUUCAAGAUCAGUUAGGCACUCUACUGAUGAUGGAACUUCUUCUAUUGCAGUCUGGCCCAAGUUUAGCGAUGUUACUUUCCCAGAAAUCUGUGGAAACUCUAUGAGAUUAACACAAUAGGAGAAAUCAAUAGUUACUGGACAAACAAAAUGAAGAUUGCUAGGAAAAGACCUAAGACUUUUGCAGCCCAUAAAAUCCAACCUACUGAGAUACUUGAAAUUCUGGAUAUAUGAGGGAACACAAGCCAAGUUUGUAUAAUCCAAAAGAUAUGUUUCAACAUUUGGGGUUUCUAAUGGGCCUGGCAUCUUAAUGAAAUGUCGAGAAUGGCUGAGGUUAAUAGAUUUUAACUUGAAAGCUUCCUGCAAUAACAGAUAUAUAAAGACUAUAUUAAUUAAAAAGCAACAUUGAAUUCAACAAUUAAUUGCACGUAUAUUUAAAGAAAGAAAAAAUUAAUGUUUUAGUUUUAGUACAGAACUUACCUUUUCUCCUUCCCAAAGUUGCUCAACUUUACUAAAACGCAAAUUCAGUUCAACAAGGUUCUUUGGCUUGAAAUUUGAUGGCAGUGUCCUUAAGGGAUAUGUGUCCCAAUGAAGAUAUCUCAAUUUUUUAGGAAGAUAAUCUAGGCCAUUUGGAAGCUGCACUUUAGAGUAUGAAAGUUGCUCUUCAAUGCUCAUACUUAGAAACUUUUCAAUCUCAGGUACAUAAAAUUUGAGCAAUCUUAGAUUAGACAUUUUUGUGAAGGCUCCAGGGUCUAAAUUGAUGCCUUUUAUUUUGGACAAAUCCAGAAAUAUGCCUUCAAUUGCAUCGGUCCCCUUAUUAAAAAAAAAAACAAAGAAUGAGUAACCCUAAAACAGAAAAGAAACAUUCGCAAACUUUAUUAACUAAGAACUCCUUAAACAAAAACAAAUUCUGCAAUCUUUGAUUUUAUUUUUUAAAAAUAUUAAAUAUCUAUAUAUGAGAAAAGAAAAUUUUGGGGACCAUUGCAAAAUUAAACUAACCAAAAAAAAAAUUCAAAAUUUCUCUAAUUUACAAACCUGUUAUCUUAAUAUCUAGAAGUUGAGAAGACAAGGCGUAUUUGAUUGGUAUAAGAUUUCGAUUUUUUUUUUAGUCCAUAGAAUCCAAAAUGUUUGUUCAAAAUCAGGGAAAAAAACGAAAGUUAUUUUUUUUUCCACUAGCUGUAAUUGUAUCCAAGUCAAAUUGAGAUACGACCCUUUUCGAAAGGAUUUAAUCAUCUUAUAGCCUCCUUAAGAUACAUUUAAGCUAAAAGGAGUGAUUGGAGGCAGAACUUAGUGGGCCAAUCAGUUCAUUUUAUUAGCGACUGUUGCUUAAAAAAAAUUAUACUCUAAAACACACUUACUUUUUUGAAAAAAAAUAUAAUUAUAUUUAAGUAGAACCAGGUGGGCCAAUCCUCAUGGCACUCACUUUGUUCUGACACUCUUCACUAAAUUUGAAGAAAAAUAAAAUUAUACUCUUCACACUCUUAUUCAACAUUCCAAAAUUGAUAAAAUCUGGAGUUUUCUUUAAAAUUUUAAAAUUUGAAGACUUGUUCUCUUGACACCCUCAGUCAUUAAUUUUACCUAAUUAUGGUUUUGGUUGUUUUGUUCAUAAAAAUGCUUUUACUAAAGGAUGUUCUGGUAAUGAAAAAAUUUAUAAAAAAACAAACAUGGGUGUGCUGAUAUAGUUGGAAAAAUAUGAGUGCAUAACUCCAAACAAAUAAAAGAUACAUAAAAAAAAAAAAGGAGGAUUCUUACCAUAUUAUGCUUUAGUACGCGGCGGAUUUCCUUAGGAUCCCACAACCUACUGCGUCUGCCUGGCUCUUCCUCAGAUUCUUGGCGAACAAUCUCUCGGCCCAUUUCUUGCAAUAAAUCAUGCAUUUGCAAGCAGUUAUCUGACACUGUUAUAAGUGACUUGUCCACGAGGACAUCCAGUCUGUGAGACCCAGAAUCAUCAAGUAUCCUUAACACAAAAUCUUUAUCCUCUCCCUCAAGGAAACACGCAAUAUCUAGAAACAUACUCUUCACCCUGGGCGUUAAUUCUUUAAAACUAAUCUUUAAUGUAUCAUAAAUACCAUGAAUAUCAGAUUCACAAAUCCGAUUUAAGUCGUCCAAUACAUUUUCCCAAUGGCUUUUCCCCUUGAGAUACAGGGAGGAACCCAACACUUUAAGAACUAAUGGAUUGCCAUCGGCAUACCAUACAACCCUCCAUGAGUGCCGGUAGAGAUCUUCAGGACAAUGAUUUUCUUUAACAGCGAAGUUACAAAAAUGCUCGAAAGCCUCAUCAAAUUUCAAUCCAUUGACCCUAUAUAUUUUCUCCACUCCAAAUUUUUCGAGGACUCGUUUAUCCCUGGUGGUUACAACAAUUCUACUUCCUGGACCAUAUUGAUCAAGCCCUCCAAUCAAACCCUCUAAUUGUUCAUCUUUAUUCACAUCAUCGAGUACAAUCAACACCUUCAUGCGUCGGACCCUCCCUUUAGUAAAUUGUGGAAUAUUGGGACCAGCUACUUCAAGUUUUUCACUUAAUAUUGUCGAAAGCAUUUCCUUUUGUAGGUCUUCUAGGCCACCCUCUGUUUCUGAUUUUCUCCUAACAUUUUUUGCAAAGUAUUUACCAUCAAACUCACCAGAGAAUUGAUCGAAAAUAGCUUCAGCAAGGGUAGUUUUGCCUAUACCACCCGUGCCCCAAAUUCCAACAAUAUGGACAGUAUCCCACAAAUCCAUACACAGAAAUGGUUUAAUCUGCUCAAUUCGUGAAUUUAAUCCAACUAGGCCAUUGGAUGAGUCCGUUGAGACUGUUAUUUUUUCCAACUUCUUCAAAACAUCAUCGACAAUUUUGUUUACAAGUUCCGCAUCGUGCCUAAUAUAAAGGUGCAAAGAUGCAAAAACAUUGAGUCAAAUCGGGCCAAGACAGAAACAGAGAAAAGAUGAAUUAGGAAAGAGAGUUACCUGAAUUUCGUGGAUUCAUGGCCGGCUAGAUGGGAUGUUUCUGUCAGUGCAUCCCUCCACUUCUGAACCAUUUCUGGUUUAUCUUCGAACUGUUUUUUGAGCUCAUCAAAACGGUCUCCAAAUGUUCCGUUUUGAUGCCGCACAUCAGAUGGACUUACUCCAUAGAAGACUGGAAUAAUAAUUUGGCCGUUUGUGUUCUUGCAUUCAAGAAUCUUGACAAGUUCAUUCAGGCACCAUUUUGAAGAAGCGUAGUCCUUUGAGAAAAUGACCACCGAAAUUUUUGAACCUUGGAUUGCGUUCAAAAGGGCGGGUGAAAUCUCAUCUCCUCGCCUAAGCUCUUCAUCAUCAAUAAAUGUUUUGAUUUUUUUUCCUUCAUACAAUUUAUCAUAAAGAUAGCAAGUAAAGCUCUUACGAGUGUCCUCCCCUCUAAAGUUGAGGAAGACUUCAUAAUUGCAAGAAGAAGAAGAGGAAGCCAUGAAGGAAAUUCUAGAAAUUUGAAAGUAGAUUUAGGGAAUUAUAAAAAGCUGAAGGAAAUUGGAAUUUUGUACAGUUUCUCCAGCGAGGAACUUUCACCUCCGCACUAGAUUCUUAAGUUUUGAAAAUUAUGAGACCUUUAUAUUGGAAGAUAUUAUAAUCGAAUCAAAACUUAAAAUUUUAAUAUUGUUAAUCUUUAAUCUUUAAAAAAAAAUUACCUCGCCGUUACAGUUUGGAUUAAGAUUUGAGCAAGCAUUUACCUAAAUUUUAUCUCCGCCUGUAAAUUCUUAUGUUUUAAAAAUUAUGAGACCUUUAUAUUGGGAGAUAUUAUAAUCGAAUCAAAAUUUUGAAUUUCAAUAUUAUUAUUCUUUUAAAAAAAAAAUUGAGAUAACAGAGUGAUUGAUAAUAUAGGAGAACUUGUCUAGGCAAGCACAUGCAUACACAGAAAUGUGAUGGAUUCAAAAAGAAAUUAAAGUGAUAAUGUACGUGGAUCCUUAAAAUAAAAAGCGAAAUCGCUUGGUGGCCCAGUAAAAUUAGAGAACAAAGAAGAAUUAGUUAUUGAUAUACAAAAGAGAAACACUCCAAAAUUUCAAGCAAAAAUAGUUUCAUAUACCAUUUCAAUUUUGUAAGGGGUGAGGUUUUGAAUUUCAAUAGUUUCCUCUAAAAUCAAAAGGCAACAAUUAAGUUAGAAAGAGCAAAGAAGACUUAUUAGUACCUUAUUAAAGGUAACAUUAUGGAACUUUCAAUUUCAUUACCUCACUCUUCAAUUUUUAUUGAGAUUUGUGCAAGAAUUUACCUAAAUAUUACCUAAAAUUGAGAUAUCAGAGUAAUAUCAAAUAGAAAAACUUGCCACGGUAAGCCAAAAGUCUAGUCAACCACAUGCAUAAAGCUAAAUAGAACAACUAACAAGAGAACAGAGAAACGCGUGGGUCCCUAAAAGAAAAGGCAAGCACAUAGAUGAAAAAGCCAUUACAUUUCGAUUUUACAUGUCAUUAAUUUCUGUAACACGGUGUGUGGCAGCAUAUGCACAAUCAAGUGAGGCAAAAGGGAUUCGAUUAUCGUGGCAGAACAUGAACGAGGACGCGUGAUGAAUAAUUCCUUCGAUAAAACGAAAAACAAACGCAGAGAAAAGAAUUUCUUAUAUGACAAGAAAUCAAAGAAAUCAAAGUAAUGUUUCAUUUUCCCUUCCCUACCUUUUUUUUGUUUUAUUUUUAUAGCAAAGAAUUAUAUCAUGAAAAGAAUCAAUUUAAUCACCUUUUCUAGCAGCACAAUUUUUCUUUUAUAAAAUUUGACCAGGGAGACAAAGAAUAAUUAUUCAUACCUUCAUCACUAAGGAAAUACUUUUCGGUAUGGCUAAGGUGAGAAAAGGCUUUCCACAAAAACUUGUACUUUGUAUUCCUGUAAAUUUUCUUUAAAGUCAAUAAAAACCAUAAGUUCUUUACAAUAACCAUCUCUUUGAUAAAAAAGUGCCGUAUUCCUUUAGAAUUUAAAACCGGCAAAACUGAAUCAGUGUCUUUGAAGAGACAUAAUGGUCGUAAUUCUUUAAAUGAGUUGGCUAUGGAAAUCGUUAUCCAAGAUUCUUUUACGCCAUAUUCUUUCGUAAACCAAAAUUCAUUUUGGAAUACUCUGUUGAGAAUGUCAAAUAAAACGGCAUUGAAGGAAGUUUUCAAAGGCAGAAUCUGCACUUGUCAGAUGGAUGAUCUGCACUUGUCAAAGACACAAUCCGCGUCGAACGAAUCGACACAUUUCCUUUCGUAUUCACAUAUGCAAUUUUUGAAAAAAUGUAGCUUUUACAUCUAUAAAUAACACUCAGUGUAUAAUGUUUUAUUCAAGAAAAGAAAACAAGUUUCUUCAUGGUAUCAGAGCCAUGAAUACGCUCAAGUUUCUUCAAGUUUCGCUGCUCUGUUUGUAACAAAAACAGAGAAAACCAAAAUCUUCCCACAACCAUUUUUUCCACCAUUUUCUUCCUUAAAAUCAUUCCUACCAUUAUAGAAAUCCAUGCCGAUCAAAAAACAAGCCACCCAUACGUAAAAAACUUGAGUUUACAAAUUUAUCAACAAUCUCAUAAAUUAGAUACAAAACAACGUGAUGUUAAAUCUCCAGAACUGCAGCAGUCUUAAAACGACAUGUCGUUUCUAUUCCAUCAGAACCGACAUAUCAUUUCUUUAAGCAGAGGCCAAACGACUUGUCGUUUUUUUUUUUAUCUAAAAAAGUUAUUUUUUCUUAUUUCAAUCUAGACGCCAAAAAAAAAACAAAAAAAUGGAGAAAACUCCAACUGAAUCUGAUCCUGUUGUCAUUCAAUCUGUUCAAUCUGAUGAGUAUUUAAUGUUGGAAUUAUCUUCACUGAGACAAACUACGAUAUUUGGUCUUAAAUAAUGGAGUUGCAUCUCGCAGAAAGAGAAAAACUCUCAUAUAUUUGUAGCAACACAAAGUCAUCUGAGGAAUCUUCAAAGGAAUAUGAGAAAUGGUAUAGUGAGAAUGAAAAGGUAAAAAAAUGGUUACUCAUAUCCAUGUCUCUGGAUAUCAUGAAGUGAUAUUUACGAAUUCCUACAGCCUACGAAAUAUGGGAUGCAUUAUCAAAAGCCUUCUAUGAUGGAAUCGAUGAAUUACAAGUUUUCACUCUAAACCAGAAGGCGUCUCUACCAAGAAAAAUUGACAGCCACUAUCUAAAUUCUACGGAGAAUUGAUCGAAAUAUUUUGAGAACUUGAUCACCGAGAUAAAGUGAUCAUGAAGGAUCCAGAAGAUGUUGUAAUAUACAAAAGGUCUGUUGAAAGAUUGAGAGUUCACAUUUUUCUUGUUGGGCUAGAUGAAGAAUUUAACCAAGUUCGUGGAGAAAUUCUAUGAAAAGAUAUUAUCCCAGACUUAGAAGAAUGUUAUUCUUUGAUCUGAAGAGAAGAUGUACGGCAAAACAAACUAAACAAGAAGGUCGACUCAGAAACGUUUGCUAUGAUAGCACGACAACAGCCUCAAAGGAAGCUUGUUGACAAGUCAUCACUCCAUUGCACUCAUUGUAGGAAGAAGGGUCAUAUGAAAGCACAAUAUUUUGAAAUCAUUUGAUAUCCUGACUGGUGGGAUACUUGAAAGAAAAACAUCAAGCAGGGAUAAAAAACUGCAGUAGCUGAAUCCACAUCCACUACAGAUCUUAGAAAAGAAUCUUCAGUGCAAAUCGCAACCUCUGUUAGUCCAGGUAAGGCCCUUAAAACUCUUAUACUUGUUAUUAAUAGUACAUGGAUAAUUGAUUCUGGGGCAACUGAUCAUAUGACUUUUGAUUCUCGACAAGUUUCUCAAUUGAUACCAUCUUCACAAAAACAUGUUUCCACUCCAAAUGGAACCACAACCUUAGUUAUUGGGGAAGGAUCUUUACGACUCACAUAUAAAUUAAAUUUAGACUCUGUGUUAAUUGUUCCAUCUUUAGAUUAUAAUCUUUUAUCUGUGUCUCAAUUAACCACUUACUUAUCAUGUGUUGUAAUUUUUUGGCCUGAUCAUUGUGUGUUUAAAGACAUCCAAACGAAGCAAACGAUUGGUUAUGGUAUUAGACGGGGCCACUUGUACUAUUUGGAGAUGACAUCAACAAACACUGGAAAGCUAAGCCCUGCACUAGUCGCAGAUAGUUCCAUAAAAAAAAGGAAAUCAGAAAUUUGGUUAUGGCAUAGACGUUUAGGGCAUGUGUCAUUUGGUUACUUAAAAAAAUUAUUUCCUAGUUUAUUUCUGAAAUUUGAUAUUUGUAACUUUAAAUGUGAUGUUUGUGAACUUUUAAAAAGUCAUCGAACUACUUUUCCAUUGUCCUUAAAUAAGAAUCAAGUUCCUUUUAUGGUAGUACAUUCUGAUGUAUGGGGGCCAUCGAAAGUUUCUACAAUUGGAGGUGCUCGUUGGUUUGUUACAUUUAUUGAUGAUUGUAGCAGAAUGACAUAGAUUUUUCUGAUGAAAUCGAAAGACGAAGUAAACUCUUUAUUUUAAAGAUUUCAUAAGAUGGUGACGACUCAAUUUCAGACACAAAUUCGAGUUCUACAUACUGAUAAUGGAGGCGAGUAUAUGAGCACAACAAUUCAACAGUUUCUGAAAUCACAAGGAACUGUCCAUCAAACCACUUGUGUGGGGACACCCCAACAAAAUGGCAUUGUUGAACGAAAAAACAGACAUUUACUAGAAGUUGUUCGAGCAUCACUAAUCCAGGCCCACAUGCCACUAUCUUAUUAGGGAGAAGCACUGGCAUCCGCAGCAUACUUGAUCAAUCGAACACCUUCAAGCUCCCUUGGAUUCCAGACUCUUUUCCAGGUUCUAAAUGAUGCAAUUAUGUCACCAAAUGUGCCGAAUUUACCCCCACAUGUGUUUGGCUGUGUUGCCUUCGUUCAUUUGCCGCAACAAGACAAAUUAUCUCCUCGAGCACUACGUUGUGUGUUUGUAGGGUAUGCCUUACAGCAAAAGGGAUACCGAUGAUAUGAUCCACCAUCAAGAAAAAUAUACAUCACCAUGGAUGUCGUCUUUCAUGAAGAUAUCAUAUACUACUUGUCAAAGCCUGAAUUUCAGGGGGAGUAUAAUGAAGAGGAAAUUCAUAAUCUUAUAUAUCUUCCACCUAAAGAAGAUCAAUCUUCCAUUGAGGUUGUAAACCUUCAAGAUACUGGAAAAGAAAAUGGUGGUGAUUCUCAGGCUGAGAUAAGUGAAGACACAUUUGGGGAGCAAAAUAACUUAGACACAACUGCAAUCGAGAAUGAGUCACAUGAAGAAAUACCUAACUAAUCGUCUGCAGAGGAUGUUCCUACCACAAGUCCUAGUCUAGUCAGAAGAAUUCUUCCUCAGCGUCAAAAUAGAGGUAUCCCUAAACCCACAUAUGAGCCCGACCUUUCUAGUAGAGUCAAAUACCCUAUGAUUUAUUUUGUGUCUAACCAUCGCUUGUCAGAAUCAAAUCAGUCAUUUGUGAAUCAAUUAUCUACUGUAUCUAUUCCUAAUAGUGUGCAGGAAGCCUUAAAAGACCCAAAGUGGAAAGCGACUAUGAAUGACGAAAUGUGAUCUCUUCAAAAAAAUCAAACAUGGGAACUAGUUGAUCUUCCACCUGGAAAGAAACCAGUGGGUUUCCGAUGGAUCUACACUAUAAAGUACAAAGCAGAUGGCUCUAUUGAACGAUACAAAGCAAGGCUCGUAGCUAAGGGUUACACCCAAACCUACGGGAUAGAUUAUGCCAAUAUGUUUGCACCGGUAGCAAAAAUUAAUACUAUUCGUAUCUUAUUAUCAUUAGCAGUCAACUUGGAUUGGCCAGUGUAACAGUUCGAUGUAAAGAAUGCUUUCCUCCAUGGAGACCUGUCUGAAAAAAUUUAUAUGGAUAUGCCACCAGGAUGUAGUGGACCAGAACGACUCAAUCAGAAAGUAUGCAAAUUGAAGAAAUCAUUGUAUGGGUUGAAGCAACCCCUAAGAGCAUGGUUCGGGAAAUUCACAAAGGCUAUGGUUCUUUUUGGGUAUAACCAAAGCAAUUCAGAUCAUACCUUGUUCAUUAAAAAAUGACAAGGUAAAAUCACUGCCCUCAUUUUCUAUGUGGAUGAUAUGGUAGUCAUAGGUAACGACGGGGAAGCAAGAGAGGCUCUUCAGAAGUACUUGUCGAGAGAGUUUGAGAUGAAGGAUUUAUGAGCCUUAAAAUACUUUCUUGGAAUUGAGGUUUCUCGAUCUAAGGGAGGAAUUUUCCUGUCUCAAAGGAAAUAUGCUUUAGAUCUAUUAAACGAAACGUGAAUGACAGCUUGUCAGCCUAUUGACACCCCAAUAGAAGAAGGACUGAAGUUUUGUAUUACCUCAGACUAAGUUCCAGUAGACAAAGGAAGAUAUCAAAGGCUGAUUGGAAGAUUGAUGUACUUGUCCCACACAAGGCCAGCUCUUGCUUAUGCAUUGAGUGUUGUAAGUCAGCUUAUUCAUAAUCCCGGAGAACAACACAUGAAAGCAGUAAUGCGGAUCCUAAGGUACCUGAAGUCAAAUCCAGGAAAAGGAAUCCUAUGUUCCAAAAAUGGAGAUUACAGCAACAUAGAAGUUUAUACUGAUGCAGAUUGGGCCCGGUCAGUUAGUGAUAGACGCUCUACCUCAGGAUACUUUACCUUAGUGGGAGGCAACCUUGUCACAUGCUGCUUCACUUGCUGCCAAUCCAGUUCAUCAUUCAAGAACAAAACAUAUAGAGAUUGAUGUUCACUUUGUGAGAGAUAUAAUUUCCAACGGCGGAGUGGAAGUAAGAUAUGUCCCUACUGAAUAUCAGCCUGCAAACAUCUUCACAAAAGCUCUUCCUGCUGAUAUGUUUCAACAGUUGCGAGACAAGCUACAUAUUCUUCCUAGAACAUUGCGCUUGAGGGGGCAUUAUGAAAAUAUUGUAGCAGAGCUACCAAACUUGAGUAAUACGAAUUCAAAGUUGUUAGAUGACAUGGCAGCACACUUGGCAUUCAUUGGUGUUUUGGAAAGUUAAAGUGAUCAACCUUAUCUCUUAGCUUAUCAUUAAUUCAAGCUGCACUUUUGUAUUUAUCAAGAUCAAGAUAAAGAUAACAAUUGUGCUAGGCUUGAUCUUAUUCUUGGCAUUAUCGUGUUUCCUGUAGAGCAUUAUAAAUGUAAUGAUUAUGAGAUGAAUAAAAUAACGAAAAUGUGUUUUGUUUCUUCUUUAAGCUCAUCUUUAUAAUUUAAGUUGGUAUCAGAGCAUGGCGAGCUCCAAUUCUGCGAAAUUAGUCAAUAUGAAUACUGUAAACCAAACACCACAAAUUUCUAAUUUUUUGACUCCUGUCAAAUUGGAUAGGCAAAAUUUUAUGAUAUGGAAGUCUCAAGUGCUACCUUCCAUUCGUGGUAACAAUCUUGAAAGCUUGAUCAAUGGAGCAAAACUUGUACCCACUAAAUUCUUGGUGCAAGUAGAAGAGGAUCAAACAGUAACGACUGUGGAAAAUCCAGAAUAUAUACAAUGGCUGAGACAAGAUCAGCUUUUACUUAGUUGGCUUUUGUCCACUAUGACUGAAUCAGUUUUAAGCAUAGUGGUGCAGUAUACAACCUCUUUUGAGGUUUGGAAUGCCUUGAAGACAUUGUUUGCAUCUCAGUCAAAGGCUAGAAUUUUGUAGCUCAAGAUGCAACUCCAAACCACGAAAAAGAAUGCUAUGACCAUGAGUGACUAUGUCAACAAAAUGAAAAAUUUAGCUAAUAGCCUGGCAAUGGCUGGAAAAUAUGUUACUGAAGAUGAUUUAAUUUCUUAUAUUCUUGCAGGUUUAGGAACUAAAUACGACCCUGUGGUUGUAAAUAUUACAGCAAGAACAAAUGAUUUAUCUCUGCCUGAAGUAUCCUCUCUUUUGCUCAAUCAUGAAAGUCGAAUGGAACAACUCUCAGCUGCUGCAAAUCUUGAGUCUAAAGGCAGUUUUAAUGCAAAUUUUGCAGGAGCUUCUUUUCACAAAAGGAAAGUUAUAAGAAAAGGCUUUAUGUCAGGAAGUUUAUGAGGCAAUGAACGUGGUAGAGGCAAAGGAAGAACCAAUUUUAGCCGUGGUGGAAAUAGGCCAACCUGUCAGAUAUGUGGCAAAUAUGGACAUUCAGGAUAUCAAUGUUUCUUCCGCUUUGAUCGGGGGUUCUCUGCAAGACAAGAGGCAACACAAGCAGGUCAAGCCUCUGCCUAUAUGGCACUCCCUGCUGAAGAAAUAGAUAAUGGAUGGUAUUUGGACAGCGGAGCAACACACCAUGUUACAAAUGAUUUAAACAAUCUGCAGAUUAAGUUAGAAUUUAAGGGAGGUGAGAAGCUGGUAGUAGGUAAUGGUAAAACUUUAGCAAUAUCUCACAUUGGCAGUGCACUUAUUUAUAUUCCAAACCAUGAACCAUUGUUGCUUAAUGACAUUUUAUAUGUGCCCAAAAUCACCAAGAACUUAAUUAGCAUUUCAAAAUUACUUUCUGAUAAUAAACUAAUGCUUGAUUUCUGUGACAAUGUUUGUACUCUUAAGGACAAAGUUCUGGGGAAGAAGCUGCUGCAGCGAAAAAUUGAAAGAGGCUUAUAUCGGCUACCAGUGCUUUCAAGACAAGCCAUUCUAUCUGAUUCAAAAAUUAUUUCCAAUAAAUCUUAUUAGUCUUCUCUUCCAUUUAGCUGUUUCAAUUCUAGCUCAACAAUAAGUUCUGUAAAUGAACAAGAAUUUAUUUCCAAUUCCAAGCCUAGCAGUUUUAUAAAUCUUUUGCACAGAAGGAUGAGACAUCAUCAUCUUGCUGUACUAAAACAAAUUCUACCUUUGUGUAACAAAACAAGUCAGUUAAAUAAAAAUCUCAUUCCUCAAUUCUGUGAUGCAUGUCAACAAGGAAAAAGUCAUAGGCAAACUAUCAAAGCAUCAAAUAGUAGAGCUUCAGAACCUUUAGAAUUAUUGCAUCUUGACUUGUGGGGGCCUGCACCUUUAAUGUCUAGAAAUGGCUACAAAUAUUAUUUGAGUAUUGUAGAUGACAACACACGUUUUACAUGGAUAUUUCCACUUAAAGUUAAAUUACAAGCGUUUGAAGCUUUUAAGUAUUUCAAAGUUCAAGCCGAAAAACAAUUAGGAAAGAAAAUCAAAAGUUUACAAACUGACGGUGGAGGAGAGUUUCAAGCAUUUACAAUUUUUUAAAAGAACAGGGUAUUAUUCACUGACUUUCUUGCCCACACACGCAUCAUCAAAAUGGUAGAGUGGAGCGAAAACACCAACAAAUUGUAGACACUGGUUUAACACUUUUGGCAUAGGCUGGCAUGCCACUCACUUUUUGGUGGGAUGCUUUUCAAACAUCUGUUUAUUUAAUUAAUAGAAUGCCUACUUCCAUCUUAGAAAACAAAUCACCAUUUCAAAUACUUUAUGAUGAAGAAUAGGAAUCAAUAUUAUACUAGGAUUAGUUUCCUUAUUAACUAAAGUUUAAGACUUUUAAAUUCCUUUCUAAUUUAGAAUUUUGUUUCCCUUUCAAUUUAGGAUUUUGUUUUACUUCAUGAAUUAGGAUAAUUAUUACUACUAUAAAUAGCUCCCUCUUGUAGCCUUUAAAGGCAGAGAAUUUUGAGUUUAAUAAUAUUUCAAUUUUCAAAUCUCUUUGUGAGUAUUUGAACAGUUAAUUCUCGGUAUUCUGCGAAAUCAACGAGUCUUAAAUCCCUAAGUUCGCGGUAUUCUUUUGAAUCAACAUGAAUUUAGUUGUUCUUUUAUUCUGGUAUUCUCUAGAAUCAACGGAAUAUUUUGAAUAUUAAACUUCCACUGCAUCACUUUACAAGAAAAUACCUGAUUAUUCUUUUCUAAAAGUUUUUGGAUGUGCUGUAUUUCCUCAUCUUCGAGAUUACAACAAACAUAAAUUAGAUUUUUGAUCAGAUAAAUGUAUAUUUUUAGGCUAUAGUACAGCUCAUAACGGGUAUAAGUGUCUCCACAAGUCAGGAAAAAUUUUUGUAAUGCGACAUGUUGUCUUUAAUGAAUAUGAUUUUCCUUUUAAAAGUGAUCCCUCCUUCAAAAUCUCAAAGAGUUAUCCAAAUCAUGAUUCUAGUACUCUCUUUCAGUCUCCUAUGUUUGCAGGUUUUGAAAGUCCUAGAGCCUAUAAGACUCUCUCGGUUAUUCAUGCAACAGACUCUCUACUAGAGUUGGUUCAUAACACAAUAGUUAUAGAUCAGGCAUCAAGUCAAGAUGAGGAAACCAAUUUUGAAUCCAACACCAAAAGCCCACCUGGAAAAGCCAACCUUGAAUCAAGCACUGAAAUCCAAGCAACUGAAAACACCACACAAUCUUUAUCUAUCCCCGCGUUUAUCAAUCAAGAAGCCGAUCACACAAUCUCUCAACCACCUAGUUCAACUCCUCAUUCUCAACAGCCAACACAUACACAAUCCACUCAUCCAAUGAUCACUCGUGCCAAGGCCGGCAUCUUUAAACCCAAACCUAGACUUUACCUAACAACCUCUCAUACCAAAAUAAGUGUACAUGCCAGUGUUAGUGAAGCUUUGGAAGAUCACAAUUGGCGUAAUGCUAUGACAGAAGAAAUGAAUGCUUUGGCUAGGAAUAACACACGGUGUUUAGUUCAACCUACUUCUGACAUGAAGAUUGUGGGAAAUAAAUGGGUUUUUCGGAUAAAACAAAAGGCUGAUGGUUAGAUAGAGCGAUAUAAGGCUCGGUUGGUUGCAAAAGGAUUUCAUCAGACCCCAGGAAUCGAUUUCAACGAGACUUUUAGUCCUGUUGUUAAAGUUGCAACAAUUCGAUUGGUGUUAAGUAUUGCUGUGAUGAAAAAUUAGGGUGUAAUACAACUGGAUGUGAACAACGCCUUUUUAAAUGGAGACUUAGUAGAAGAUGUUUACAUGAUGCAGCCUGAAGGCUUUAUCAACAAAGCACAACCAAAUCAUGUGUGUAAAUUGAGAAAAGCAUUGUAUGGGCUUAAGCAGGCUCCAAGAGCUUGGUUUGAAAAACUCAAGAGAGCAUUGAGUGACUGGGGUUUCACAAAUUCUAAAUUAGACACAUCACUAUUUAUUUUGCAGCAAGGAAGGGAUAUAAUAUUUGUCCUUAUUUAUGUGGACGAUAUUUUAAUAACAGGAAGUAAAGAAAGUUUGGUGCAAGAAGUUAUUGAACGACUUAAUUGUCAGUUUGCUUUAAAAGUGCUCGGACCAUUAAGCUAUUUCCUUGGUCUUGAAGCUCAUCGCACAGAGAAUGGCCUACAUCUUAGCCAACACAAAUAUAUUUGUGAUCUCUUGAAGCGCACAGAUAUGGAUGGCUGCAAGGAAACAUCUACUCCUAUGAGUGUAGUACCGAAACUUUCAGCUGAAGGUGGUAAGCAAUUUUCUGAUCCUACACUUUAUCGUAGCAUCGUUGGAGCCUUAUUAUACGUAACUAUUACUCGGCCUGAAAUUUCUUAUGCUGUUCAUCGUUUAAGUCAGUAUAUGCAAAAUCCUUUACAGCCGCAUUGGCUUGGGUGUAAAAGAAUCCUUAGAUAUUUACAAGGAACAGCUGAUUAUGGAAUUUAUUAUACUACCAAAGGAAGAAUGACGCUCACAGGCUAUACAGAUGCAGAUUGGGCAAACAAUAUUGAUGAUAGAAAAUCAACUGGAGGCUACUGUAUUUAUCUUGGCAAUAACUUAAUCUCAUGGAGUUCAAAGAAACAAAAUGCAGUAGCAAGGUCUUCAACUGAGUCAGAGUAUCAAGCACUUGCAAAUACCACAGCAGAAAUUUUAUGGCUUCAAUCUGUGCUUAAAGAGUUGCAGGUGCCACUAACUGAAAUUCCAAUUAUUUGGUGUGACAACACUGAAGCUGCUUCACUUGCUGCCAAUCCAGUUCAUCAUUCAAGAACAAAACAUAUAGAGAUUGAUGUUCACUUUGUGAGAGAUAUAAUUUCCAAAGGUGGAGUGGAAGUGAGAUAUGUCCCUACUGAAUAUCAGCCUGCAGACAUCUUCACAAAAGCUCUUCCUGGUGAUAGGUUUCAACAGUUGCGAGACAAGCUACAUAUUCUUCCCAGAACAUUGCGCUUGAGGGGGCAUCAUGAAAAUAUUGUAGUAGAGCUACCAAACUUGAGUAAUACGAAUUCAAAGUUGUUAGAUGACAUGGCAGUACACUUGGUAUUCAUUGGUGUUUUGGAAAGUUAAAGUGAUCAACCUUAUCUCUUAGCUUAUCAUUAAUUCAAGCUGCACUUUUGUAUUUAUCAAGAUCAAGAUAAAGAUUACAAUUGUGCUAGGCUUGAUCUUAUUCUUGGCAUUAUCGUGUUUCCUGUAGAGCACUAUAAAUGUAAUGAUUAUGAGAUGAAUAAAAUAACGAAAAGGUGUUUUGUUUCUUCUUUAAGCUCAUCUUUAUAAUUUAAGUAAAGGGACUUUUGCAUAGCCUCUGGUGUGUGUGUGAUUUCUCUUUCGUUUCCUCAUCAAAUUCUGUAAUUCUUGCUUCGAUAAAAAGCUUUUAAUCUCUUCUGUAGUGUGUGAUCAGUGCGUAAUCAUUUUGAGCAAUAACAGCUUGUGGGUUUUUCCUUCAAACAGUGUCGUUUUGGUCAGUUUGUUAGUUUCUGUGUUCGUCUGAUUCCAUUGCUCUUGUUCUCUGUUCUUGAUCUGUUCGUGGAAUUUUUCUUUGGUUAUUUGUUCUCAAAUUUCAACUGUAUAUAAAGUUUGAACUCUGAUUGCUUAUAAUGUAUUGAUUAAGAAUAAUCCUAAGAGUUCCCGAUUGAAAUUUUUAAUGACUAUUUUUAUUGUUUUGGAUAUACAAAUUGAAUUAAGAAAAAAUAUUGUCAAAUUCAGAGGAUAAGGGGAAAUAAUUAUGCUUCAAAAGGCCAGAGAUUAGAGAAUAAAGAAGCAUUCAUUACUCUAUCAAAAAAAAAAAAAAAAAAAAAGCAUUCAUUACUGAUAUACAAACUGCUUUUAUUUGGAUUUUGGAAGGGGUGAAGUUUUGAACUUCAGUUGUUCCUCUAAAAUCAAAAGCAGCAAUUAAGCGUUCUCAAUUAGAAAGAGCUAAGAAGACUUAUUGGUACCUUACUGAAGCUAACAUUAUGGCACAGUUGUUCAUAUAUAAUGGCUGCUCUGUUAUGCUAGCUUCUCUGUUUUUGCUUCUAUUUUUGCUUACAGUUUUGAACAUAAAUUCUUGCUCAAAUAACCCAUAAUUAAAUAACACUAAUAUGGCUCGUGAAAUCCCAUAAUAGCUAAUUACGCAACUUUCUCCUCCUCCUCAAUUCUGUCUUCCCCUGCUCGUACACUAAAUUCAAAAUUCAAUGCCCCGAAAAACAACACAAGAAAUCUUUGAGUUAAUUCGCGACCAGUUUAUAUAUAGUAGCAAUUGAAAAAGGAAAAAGAAUAAAAGAGUUCAUUAUUAUUCAGACCUUCACUUAUUAGGAAGUUUGUUCUGCUGUUGGGUGAGAUCAAGCUCUCAGCAUAUACUUCCACAUUAUACUUUCUAACAUUUUCUUGAAAGCCAUCAAUCAUAAAAUCUUCAUACUUUUUUCCAUCCUUUGGAUCAAUAAGUACAAAUUUCUCAUCUAAAACAGACAAAAUAAAAUCACUGUCCUUCAUGGAACAUAAUGGCUGCAAUGCCUGAACUGAAUUGGCUAAUGAAAUUUGAGUCCAGGAUUCUCUCAGCCCAUAUUCUUUCAUAAUCCAAAAUUCUUUUCUUUCUCGACAUGGAACAUAGUCUUCUUUUCUUUCUGGACAUAUGUCUCUGUACUUUUCUCUCUCUACUGAUCCACACUUUUUCAUACUUCUAACUAUCAUUUUGUUUUUUUUUUGUUAAGUUGUGAUUUAUUCAAUUAUUUUGUAUUUUUAAUGAAAAUUAUUUAAUAUUUAGUUAGUUUUGAUAUUGAUUAGUGAUUGAAAGUGUAUUUUAGAAGACUUCCGGUCUCUUGGAAAAAGGAAAAAUGGAGACGAAGAAGAAGUGUUCUUGAUUUUUUUGUAGGCAUUAAAGUUAAACGGUUUGAAAUGAUAUUUUGUUUUAAUUUCACUCAUUAAUCUCAUUCAGGAUAAAAUUAUAAAUGCAAAUAAAUGGGGUUUCAUGAGUUUUUUUUAAUAGUGUUAAAAGGUCUACUCACUAAAUAAAUAUGUUUAACCCAAACCAAUGCGAUUAGUAAGUUAUUGGGUUGGGUUGAUCAGGUUAAAAAUUAAAAUUAAAAAUUAAAUAAUUAAAAAAGGCAUAAAAACUAUCUGUUACUUGAAAAUAAAAAGAAUUUCUAAUAGUUAGUUCUAAUGUCCCAUAUCCAAAACAUCCAUAUUAAAUAAAUAUUAUAAGUUAGAAAUACAAUAUCCAAGAAAGAAUGAAUGAAAUACCAUAUUUUUGUUGAGAAUUAAGAGUGUGAUUUUAAUUUUGAUAUUGGAGUCUAAAGUGCCACGUUUAAAUAAUCUCUUUUAUAAAAUAAUAAAAAGAGAUUAAAAAUUAGGUUAGCCAUUUAGGCAUUCAGGGUUUAGCAAUUAAGGAUGAACAUAUUAUUGUUGUUGUUUUUUGUUGUUGUUGUUGUUGUUGUUGUUGUUAUUAUUAUUAUUUAUAUGUUUACUAAUCCAAUUUACGUAUAAGUACAAAAGUUUCAAAUAUUGUCUAUUAUUUUUUUAACAUGCCUAUUCCUUGUGGAUAAUUCUGUCUCAUCACUAAUGUUGUUUCUUGCUUACAAUUUGUAUAGCGUCUCAAAAUAGACAAUAGGGGGAUUUUGAAUUUUUUAAGUCUCAAUAUAGUCUCUUAUCUUGUGAGACAGAUUUUCUUUCAAUAAUUUGGAGGUAAACAUAACAUAACUUUUUGGACUAAAGCCUAGCUCUGCUAAUUAGUAAUUGGUGGUAUCCUUUUCAAGACCUGAGUCUUUAAAUUCGAGUUUUAUAUAGUGCGCAUGUGUAUUUAAUUAAUAUUUUUUUAAAAAAAUUACAUCAAAUACUAAUAUUCAUGACAUAAUUUAGUUCAUAAUGUUUUUUUAAAUACAUCGAAAAUAUAAUUUUUUAACAACUUAUAGGCAUGACAAAUUUCAAGAUAUAAAUAUCAGUCAAAAUAAGUGAAAGAAAUAAUGGUGCCAAUUCUAAUUUCUUAACUAAAUUAAUUACUGCAUGAGCCCCCAAUACGGCACGAGAGUUUGAUGGGCUAACUUGGCACAAGAACAAUAGUUAAUUGAUUUAAGAAAUAAUUCAAUGAAAAAUAUAAUUGAUAAGAAUUUAGUAUUGAAAUGAGUUUUUUUCGAAACACUGAAUUAAUGAUUAUUAAGCAAGAACAAUAAAAAAAAUAAAAUAAAAAAUAAAGAUUAACCAUUGAUAAGCUUCAACAAGAACUUAACACAACCCUCAAUCCUAAUUCAAAUUAUAAAUGUCAUUCAUAUAUUCAUUAUAAAUCAAUAACAAAGGUUAUAAAUGUUUAGAAAUUCUAGAGGGAAGGAAGCUAUCGCCGGGCAAUCAACAACUAAAUUUGAUGUAAUUGUGGCACAAGAUGGAAUAUGAAAACUACACCAUAAUUUCAAAUGCCGCCAUAGACAUUGACUUAUCUACAGUAACAAUGAUCUAAUUAAAAUUAAAAUAAAGUUUAUGGGCAUUUAUUAUAUUUGCCAUUCCUCAUUUGCAAAUAGGGAUAUAAUUAUAAUUUUACUUAGUCAAAGCAAUCAGUAAUUUUUAGGGGUGUUCAAAAUUCAAUCCGAUCCGCUCAAUCCGUCUGAUCCGUAGAAAUCCGAUCCGUAAAAAUCUGAUCUGUGGAUUGGUAGAUUGGAUUGAAUUGAAAAUUUGAUAAUCCGCAAUCGGUGGAUUGGGUAUGGAUCUACUUCUGUAAAUUCGUAAAAAUCCGUGAAUCGGCAAAAAAUAAAAAGUAUUUAUUUAUUAAAAAAUAAAACUUGUAAAUAUGGCAAUAGUACUUACUAGUAAAUAAAUAAGUUAAAAUAUAGUUACAUUAACACUAUAUUAUAUCUUAUCCGAUAAUAAUAAAAAAUAAAAAAUAAUUAAAUAAACAAAUAUAACUUUCUAAAUAGUUAAUUUUCAUGUACUGAUCUAAACGAAUGAGAUUUUUUUUUUUUCAUUUUGGUGUGUUAUGUUUUGAACUUUAAAUGUAAUUUUUAGUUUUAUUUAAACAAGUAAUUUAUUUAAAUCUUAUUUAAUUUUAAAUUUGAUCGGCAAUAAAAUUAUUUAUAUUAAUUUUUUUUUAUUUAGUUAGUUCGUAGAUUGGACAGUAUUAAAAAUUUUCAGUCCGUAAACCAAUUCGCAAAAUGGUGGAUUGGAUAUGGAUUGGGUCAAAUCCGCAUCCAAUCCGCAGAUGUAUGAAUUGAAUUUCACCAAUCCAUGAAUUGGAUUGGAUUAAAAAUUUAUAAUCCGCAAAAUCGUGGAUCAGAUAUGGAUUGAGGUCCAAUCCGUAAAAUUUGAUCCGGAAACACCCCUAGUAAUUUUCUUCAUUAUAGGAGUGAAGUAAAAACAUUUAGAUUUUAAUGUAUGUACGGAAAAAUUUAUCUUUAAAAAUACUUUCUUAAUGUGUGUAUAUAUAUUGAAAUACUCAAACCAAUUUUGGUUAUUAUAUAAUUAAACAAAUUUUAAAAUAUGAAAAAUAUAAUGUAGUUAUAGUGGAUAAACAAUAAGUGAGCGCAAUAUAAUUAAUCAAAUAUCAUGCCAUCAAAAGUUAAUUUUAGAAAUUCCAAAUCCAACAGCCAACACAAUUCUUUUAAAAAAAAGCUGACACAAUUAAUAAAAUUAGUGACAUGAAUUUCACACCAUUGAUAAUAAGCAAUUAGUAUUACUUUCUAAACUUGCUUCAACUGGUCGUUGAUGUCCGGGGUCACCAAAAGUAUAAGCAAUAAUAAGGGGCAUUGGGCAAGAGUGAUGAAUGUUUAGUCGGUGCAUUUGAUUGCUAGAUAUAUAAAGGGCCGAAACUUGAGAUUAUAUUACUUUUACAAAUUUUAAUCCAAUCACAUAUUUAAUGAAAACAAAAUGAGUUAGGAUACUUUAUUUAGAACCCACAUUUUAAUAAGGCUUCAUUUGAUGUAGUUUUUUAAACAGUGAUUAUUUAAGUAAAUUUUCCUCAAUAGAGUUUUUAUCAAACAAAUUUAUUUAUUUAGUUGUCGAUAAGAGUUUUUAUUAAAAAUUAUAAAAUUAUUUAAAUAAACAUGUUUUUUAAAAUUACAUUAUAAAAAUAAUUAAAUAAAAUUAUAAAAGUAAAAUAUAUUUUAGAUAUUUUAAUAUUUAAGAAAAAUUUUCAAUCUCUACUUUCAAAAGCUCAAAUUUUUAGCUUUUAGUUGUAGAGACAAAAUAUUUUAUUUAAUCUUUAAAAGUUAUGCUAAAAACAAUCAAAUAACUACAAAAAUUUUAAUAAGAGUAUAUAAAAUUAAAUGGUAAUUUUUAAAAACCUCCCCUGAGGUUUGGGCUUGUUGCAAGUAGAUGGCGAGAAUCCAUUUAUUUGUAACAAACCCCCUACCGUCAGUUAAUUUUUGCAUUAACCGUUAGUUGACUGUGCAAAGACAAUAUUGUCCCUAAUGACAGUUUGUAGACUGACAUAGCUAAAAAAAAUGCUGAGAUUGUCGGCACGAAAAUCACAAAUAAUUUUUUUUUGACAAUUUUGUCCUUGUUAAUUCCAAGAUUUACAAUGUCAUAAGUAAGGAUUAUGACUAUUUUACCCUCUUAAAAUUAUUGAUAAUUCCUUAAAAUUUCUACAAAAAAGAUAAAAUUAAAAACUUGAAGAAAAAUAAAGUUCUCAAGCCGGCUAACCAAACACAUAGAAUAAAAAAUCCAUCGUUUGACAACAAAAACAACUUUCCAUAAACCCAAACAAAAAUAAACAAGUCCCCAUUACUCUAAUUGGCUUUGCUUGGAGCUGUUACUAUUGUGCAUACAUUUCUAGGCAAAGCAAAAUGACCCCAUGAUAUAAACCUUAUAAAACAUGCCUCCACUAUUCUUAAUUUUGGUAUAAUAAUAAUAAUAAUCACAAAAAAUUAAUUGAAAACUUGACUAAUUAUCUUUGGUGGAGAAUUUUAAACCGAAACCGAUUCAGGAACCUUAAAUUGAUCAAAAGGAAGCUAAUAAUGACAAAAAAGUAACCGAUCAAAAAUCAUUAAGCAUAAAAAAAUAUUGAAUUUAAAUAACUAAAAAUGCCAUCGGAAAUUGAAAUUAAUUAUUUAACAUAUAGCAUGAAAACAAAUCUUCACUAUUGGUGCUAGGCGGCUGUCGUUUAGCUUGGUUCUAAGAGGUGGCAGUCAGUCAACUUCGAGACGGUGCGUUCGAAGUCAACUAAGCUGCAGCAGAGGUUGCAGGGGGCAGAUUGCAGCGAAGUCGCGGUGGAGCAGAGGUCGCGUCGCGGUGGAGAAGAGGUCGCGUUGCGCUGGCUUGGCUUCACGGUGGUGGGAUGGCUGGGCGGGCUGGCCAGCUGUGUGCGCAUUGUAUAUGAUUGUUUUUCACUUUUUUAAUAUUUUCUUGUGCAUUAGUUCAGAUUAGAUUAGUGAGUUUGUGUGUGUGUUUGCAGUUGAUUUGGUUAAGAUAUUUAGGUUAAAAUAAUUUUUUUUAAUAAAUUUUUUUUUUCAAAAUGUCAACAAUGCCCACAACUACCCAAAUGGCAACUAAGCAGAGUAAAAACGUAGGGGUUUUUUUUUAUAAAUAAAUAGAUUCUCGUCAUCUAUUUGCAACAAACUCAAAUCUCGGGGGAGGUUUUUAAAAAUUACCCUAAAAUUAAAUAAGCAUUUAUUAAUAAUCACUUUGGUAUACUUAUCUAAUGACCAUAAGUGUUUAUUUAAUCUCAUAAGUUCUUAUUUAAUCUCAUGAGCUCUUUUCAAUUUUUUUUGUUGUUUGUUUUUUAGUAGAGUUUUUGAAAAUUAAAUAAACUAUUUUGUCUCUACUAGAAAAAACUCAAAUUUUAGAUUUUUGUGAGUAAAUGUUUAAUUUUUUAAAAAAAUAUUAAAAUAUCUAAGAUAUCUUUCCUUUAUUUCAUAAUCUUAUUUCAUUUUUUCAUAACAUAACUUUCAAUAACUUACCUAUUAAAAUAAUUUCACAAUUUCUAAUAAAAACUCUAAUUGACAAUUAACAAUUUUUUUUUGUUUGUAAAAACUCUAUUUAUAAAAAAUCUAAUAAAAAUUCUAUUUAAAUAAAUUAUAUUUGAAAAGGUGUACUAAACCAACCUAAGAUAAAAACAAAAAUUUUUACAUCCAGACAAUUAAGCUUAAAACAAUUUCAAAUGAAUUUUAGACUAAUCAAAGUACAAUACGUACCAAGUUUGGUAACUUAUUGACAUCUUCUCAUAUAACCUUCGAUCAAGUCGAUUCUCACCUGACGACUAAUUGGUACAUCACCGUUGUUCUCUAUACUCGCAUGCAUCCGAUCACAAAUCUCACUCCAAUUGUCGUCUUUCUUCGGCGUUUUAGCACAUCCUUCUUGAAUUUCCCGCAUUUCGUUCCCUCCUGUUACAAGUCUCCGGUCAGGUCAGUUCUCUUGACGAUUAAUUCGGCAAAUCUCGAAUCUCUUCUCGCGUCGUUUCACUUCAAUUUUUUGUGUCUCCUUUCAGUUUUAGUGAUUGAAUCAAUUUUAUUGCAGUCUGAGAGAAAUUAAGUAAUGCUCUUGGAUUUAAAUUUUUUUUGCUUUCGACUUUAGAUCUCGAAAGUCAAACUCUGCUACGAAUCCUUAGAUUCUCAAUGUUUAUAAUCUUAUUUGUGUUUGACCAGGUAACUGGAUCGUGAAAUUCGUCGUUUUGUAUCAAUUCAAGCUUUCGCGAGCUCAUGGAAUCACCUGGUGAGUUGUGGUGAAACGUUAUCGUUUCAAUUUUCGCUUAAUUCUUUAUUGCAUAUUUUUUCUCUAACAUUUCAGUUUAAUUUAGAAAAGAAAGAGGACCCAAAAAGAGAGAGAGAGAGAGAGACUCUACCAUACUCAAUUCCUUGCUCAUUCUGAUUUGGCCUGAAUGUUGGCAUUGACUAUUAUUUGUUUUCAUUUCGAUUUAAUUCUCAUUUAGACAGUCUUUACUAACGGUCAAUAAUAGUUUAAGGAAAAUGAUAAUAGGGAUUCUGCAAUAAUCUUUUUAAGGAAAAUGAUAAUAGGGAUUCUGCAAUAAUCUUUUUAAGGGAUGUAUAACUUAUUAAUCAGAGUCCUGUUAUUAUGGUUUGACACUACUGACAUAUUGUGUUGGUAUUUAUUUGUACUUCCCUUGGUUGAAUUAUUUGCUGUCCCCAUGCCAUUCGAUAUGGUGCUACUUGGUUUUUGAUCAUCCAUGACGCUAUAUAUAUGUAAAGGAUGAAUUGAUUGUUUUGGCUUGUAUUCUCACAUUUUAUGAUUGAUCGAUGGAAAGGUCUUCAUGUAUUAAAUUCAACCUCACAAGCGUAAGAUUGACAGAUUCUGGGCAAAUUUUCAGGAAAAGAAACUAGACUUCAUGGAAGCAAUGAAGCUUGAAAUUGAACGUCUGCAGCUGAAAGGGAUAGAGCUUUAUUGUCAAUUGGAACUGAUCCUGCCUCUAUAAAUCCAAAUGUAUUGCUUGAUGAAUCUUACAUGGGAAGACUGUCGAGUAGCAACCACUCUUGCAUUACUUGGCCAAACUUCCCUAGAAGACAAAAUUGUUGGUGCAAUGGCCUUGAGAAUAGUGAUGAUAGUGUUUUAGACUUCUGGAAUAUUACUAGAAUCGGAGAGAGUUGUUCUGGUGGCGCGUGCAAGGUUCGUGCAGAAACUAAGGUGCCUGCUCUUGCUUCCUCAACUGCAGCAUCUGUUGGAGCUUCACAAUCCCCUUUGUUGUGUUCUCUGUUGUGUUCUCUGUUGUGUUCUCAAUGUGAAAGAAAAGUUUGCAAAGUUUGUUGUGCAGGAAGAGGAGCUCUACUGUUUUCAAAUUAUAAAUCAAGGGAUGUGACCAACUACAAUGGCUUCUCAAGUCAGAGUGGAUCAAGCCAUGGAAGCCAAGUUGAUGUAUCUACCAGUCGUUCACUAACACUGGAUGGCGUUAUCUGUAAACACUGCUGCCAUGAGAUUGUGCUUGAUACAAGUUCACAACACCAUUACAAAGGAUUCAAAAUUCCCACACGAAAACAUCAAUGUACAGAUUAUAAACAAUCCGAAUUGGACACAAGAAAAACCCUUCAAUGGAUUGCUUGCCUUCCCAAUGCUAUAUACUGUGCAAACUGCGCACUGUCCAAGAAAAUGUUUUCAAUUUAGUGUAUUUUCAAAAUGCUUAUUUUCUCAGAAUAUAUAAAAAAAAAAAAAGAAUUCUUACAUGUUUCAUCAGCAUGAUUAAAAUCAAAGAAGAAAGCGAGACAUAAUGUCUCUGACAUAAUAAAAUUACAAAAAUUUAAAAAAAAAAAAGUUAAAACAUGUAAUCUUCAUAAGCAUAUAAUAAAAUAACACUUCCACAAAUUACUACAAUUUCAUGCAGUAGAGAUUGAAGAGUUGAAUUCCACUUAUAGACACCGACCUCUUAUUUUGUCUAAUGUUAACAAUGAAAAUAACAACAGUAAUGAAAACAACAACAGAAUACAACAACAGAAAACAACAAUCCGCUCUGCAAAUUCUCUUGGGACUUGGUUCCAAUUCCUCUUCAUCCGAAGUUCCACUCGAAUCAAAUUCACUUGCAGCAGUUCCACUCGCGCUUGGCAAAUCAUCCAAUUUCCAAACUUCGGUAGCAAAAUUGAGAGUAAAAGUGUUGGCUUUGGUCUCGCUGGGAUUUGCAUAUACUGGACAUACUCCGUAACGUUUUACCUUGUGACCCUUUUGGUUUUGGUAACAAUUAUUGAAGAACUUAAGUGAGACAGUUGUAUGAUGGUAACCAUCAGGAAAGCCAACAUUCAAGCAAGGUUUAAAACCAAGUAUGACAUGAUCUGAAUCAAGGGAGUAUUUAUUUCUAACACUUGUGGUUGCGGGCCCACUGAAACCUAGAUCAACAUGUUUGGUUUCAGAGAGAGUCUUUAUUUCUAAGUCGAGUUGAGAGCGGCCGAAAACAUUGCAGCAAUAACAAGAACCAACUUUCUUAAAAUUAAGAACCGCACAAAAAGCAAACCCGAUUAAGUUUCUGCAAGAAGAGUGCGGUGGCAGUUGAAUACCUAUCGAAGAUCCUGAACUUUGAUUGUUGAACCAGUCAGGAAUUUCGCUCCCAGGUAAAACAAUUAGGGAUGUCCUGAGUUCAGAAAGUUUCUGUGAAAUGACAUUUAAAAAAAGAAAAUUGUAAAAUGAAAACCAUGAUUUCAGAUAUAACAAAGAGGGACAGAGUAAACAAGAGAGGGAACUUGAUGCGUUCUAAAUGUUCCAUUUUCUCCAAGAUUUCUGGGAAACGCUCAAGGUUCAAGCAGCCAUGAAGAAAAAGCUCAACCAAAGAUUUCAAUUUACAAAACCUAGUUGAAAUCCUCUUCAGCCGUUCGCAAUCCCUCAAAUCCAACUUUUCAAGAUCAGUUAGGCACUCUAUUGAUGAUGGAACUUCUUCUAUUGCAGACUGGCUUAAGUAUAGCCGUGUAAUUUUCCCAGAAAUCUGUGGAAACUCUACGAGAUUAACACAAUAGGAGAAAUUAAUAGUUACUGGACAAACAAAAUGAAGAUUGCUUGGAAAAGACCUAAGACUUUUGCAGCCCACAAAAUCCAACCUACUGAGAUACUUGAAAUUCUGGAUAGAUGAGGGAACACAAGCCAUUUCUCCUUCCCAAAUUUGCUCAACUUUACUAAAACGCAAAUUCAGUCCAACAAGGUUCUUUGGCUUGAAAUUUGAUGGCAGUGUCCUUAAUGGAUAUGUGUCCCAAUGAAGAUAUCUCAAUUUUUUAGGAAGAUAAUCUAGGCCAUUUGGAAGCUGCACUUUAGAGUACGAAAGUUGCUCUUCAAUGCUCAUACUUAGAAGCUUUUCAAUCUCAUACUUAGGUACAUAAAAUUUGAGCAAUCUCAGAUUAGACAUAUUUGUGAAGGCUCCGGGGUCUAAAUUGAUGCCUUUUAUUUUGGACAAAUCCAAAAAUAUGCCUUCAAUUGCAUCGGUCCCCUUAUUAAAAAAAAAAAAAAAACAAAGAAUGGGUAAGCCUAAAACAGAAAAGAAACAUUCGUAAACUUUAUUAACUAAGAGCUCCUAAAACAAAACAAAUUCUACGAUCUUUGAUCUUAUUUUUUUAAUAUAUUAAAUAUCUAUAUGCGAGAAAAGAAAAUUUUGGGAACCAUUGCAAAAUUAAACUAACCGAAAAAAAAAAUCAAAAUUUCUCUAAUUUACAAACCUGUUAUCUUACUAUCUAGAAGUUGAGAAGACAGGGCCUAUUUGAUUGGUAUAAGAUUUCGAUUUUUUUUUUAGUCCAUAGAAUCCAAAAUGUUAGUUCAAAAUUAGGGAAAAAAAUGAAAGUUAUUUUUUUUCCACUAGUUGUAAUUGUAUCCAAGUCAAAUUGAGAUAUGACCCUUUUCGAAAGGAUUUAAUCAUCUUAUAGCCUCCUUAAAGGAGUGAUUGGAGGCCUAACUAGGUAGGCCAAUCAGUCCAUUUUAUUAGCGACUAUUGCUUAAAAACAUUUAUACUCUAAAACACACUUACUUUUUUGAAAAAAAAAUAUAAUUAUAUUGAAGUAGAACCAGGUGGGCCAAUCCUCAUGGCACUCACUUUGUUCUGACACUCUUCACUAAAUUUGAAAAAAAAUAAAAUUAUACUCUUCACACUCUUAUUCAACAUUCCAAAAUUGAUAAAAUCUGGAGUUUUCAUUAAAAAUUUAAAAUUUGAAGACUUGUUCUCUUGACACCCUCAGUCAUUAAUUUUACCUAAUUAUGGUUUUUAUGAUUUUGGUUGUUUUGUUCAUAAAAAUGAUUUUACUAAAGGAUGUUCUGGUAAUAAUAAAAUUUAUAAAAAAAAACAUGGUUGUGCUGGUAUGAUUGGAAAAAUAUGAGUGCAUAACUCCAAACAAAUAAAAGAUAUAUAAAAAAAAAUGGAGGAUUCUUACCAUAUUAUGCUUUAGUACGCGGCGGAUUUCCUUAGGAUCCCACAACCUCUUGCGUUUGCCUGGCUCUUUCUCAGAUUCUUGGCGUCGCCCCAUUUCUUGCAAUAUAUCAUGCAUUUGCAAGCGGUUAUAUGACACUGUUAUGAGUGACUUAUCAACAAGGACAUCCAGUCCAACAGACUCAGAAUCAUCAAGAAUCCUUGCCACAAAAUCUUUAUCCUCUCCCUCAAAGAAACACGCAAUAUCUAGAAAUAUGCUCUGCACCCUGGGCGUUAAUUCAUCAAAACUAAUCUUUAAUUUCUUAUAAAUAGCAUGAAUAUCAGAUUCACAAAUCCGAUUUAAGUCGUGCAAUACUUUUCCCCAAUGGCUUUUCCCCUUGAGGGAGGAACCCAACACUUUAAGAACUAAUGGAUUGCCAUCAGCAUACUUUACAACUCUCCGUGAGUCAGGUUUGAAAUCUUCAGGACAAUGCUUUUCUUUAAAAGCGAAGUUACAAAAAUGCUCGAAAGCCUCAUGAAAAUCCAUUCCAUUAACCCUAUAUAUUUUCUUCUCCUCCACUCCAAAUUUUUCGAGGACUCCUUUAUCCCUAGUGGUUACAACAAUUCUACUUCCUGGAACAAAUUGAUCAAGCUCUCCAAUCAGACCCUCUAAUUGUCCAACUUCAUUCACAUCAUCGAGUACUAUCAACACCUUCAUACGCCGGACCCUCUCUUUAGUAAAAUGUGGAAUAUUGGCACCAGCUACUUCAAGUUUUUCGCUUAAUAUUGUUGAAAGCAUUUCCUUUUGUAGGUCUUCUAGGCCACCCUCUGUUUCUGAUUUUCUCCUAACAUUUUUUGCAAAGUAUUUACCAUCAAACUCACCAGAGAAUUGAUUGAAAAUAGCUUCAGCAAGGGUGGUUUUGCCGAUACCACCCAUGCCCCAAAUUCCAACAAUUUGGACAGUAUCCGACAAAUCCAUACACAAAAAUGGUUUAAUCUGCUCAAUUCGUGAAUUUAAUCCAACUAGGCCGUUGGAUGAGUCCGUUGAGACUGUUAUUUUUUCCAACUUCUUCAAAACAUCUUCGACAAUUUUGUUUACAAGUUCCGCAUCGUGCCUAAUAUAAAGGUGCAAAGAUGCAAAAACAUUGAGUCAAAUCGGGCCAACACAGAAACAGAGAUAAGAUGAAUUAGGAAAGAGAGUUACCUGAAUUUCGUGGAUUCGUGGCCAGCAAGACCGGAUGUUUCUCUCAGUGCAUCCCUCCACCUCUGAACCAUUUCUGGCUUCUCUUUGAACUGUUGUUCGAGCUUACCAAAGCCGACCCCAAAAAUCCCAGUUUGAUGCCGCACAUCGGACGGACUUACGCCAUAGAAAACCGGAAUAAUGAUUUGGCCGUUUGUGUGCUUGCAUUCAAGAAUCUCGACAAGUUCAUACAGGCACCAUUUUGAAGAAGCGUAGUCCGUUGAGAAAAUGACCACCGAAAUUUUUGAACCUUGGAUUGCGUUCAAAAGGGCAGGUGAAAUCUCAUCUCCGCGCCUAAGCUCUUCAUCAUCAAUAAAUGUUCUGAUUUUCUUUCUUUUAGACAAAGCAUCAUAGAGAUGGCAAGUAAAGAUCGCACGAGUGUCCUCCCCUCUAAAAUUGAGGAAGACUUCAUAAAUGCAAGGAGAAGAAGCCAUGAAGGAAAUAUUAGAAAUUUGGUGACAGAAACAGAGAAUUAAUCUUGAGAGCUGAGAGAGGAGAUGUAAGAAUGAACAUGUGUGAAUAUUCUUGCGAGUACAUAGUAAAUAAUUGAAUGGCUCGAGCUUUCUUAGUUUCCUGGAAAUUUCCUGGAGCUUUCGUAUACAUGAUUUGUCAAGUCAAGAAACAUAGUCAUGAUAAUGGGGCAGACCAGGAAGAAAAGGAAAUUGGAAUUUUGUACAAUUUCUCCAGCGAGGAACUUUCACUGUCAUUACCUCACCGUUACAGUUUGGAUUAGGGUAAUUUUUACCCCGCACCCAAAUGUUUUGACAUACAGCACAACGCACCCAAUUCUUUUGCCCAUGAGCACCGCGCACCCAUUUCCGUUUAUUUUUCAGUUAACUGUAACAGAUCAGGGUAAAAUUGGAAUAACGCAUCAAAAUUUAAAAAUAAAAAAAUAGGUAAACUCGAUGUUUGCGCCAAAAUAAUUUCACAUCACUGUGCUUAUGUUCACUGCGUUUGCGUGUGAGACCAAGAAGCAUGGCCACACCUCCAUUGAUGCCAAAAUCGAGGAGGUGGGUGAAGAAGAAUUGGCGCCAAAAUCAUUCACAUAUGAUGUGCAAGGAAAUUAUUUCAGCCUUUAAAUACUUUUUUAUUACAGCAGCAUCAGCUAUUGCUCUGUUUCGAAGAUCUGCUCAAUUUCUAAGACAAUAGUUGGUUUGAGAGUUUAAGGGAAGUGAAUCCACUGAGCGUGCUAUUGAAGAAGUGGAGGUCAGUUUCAUUUCUUGCUCAAUUGUUUUAAUUUAUUCCAUUUUGUUUGCAUGUCAAUUAUUUACACAUUUUUAGCUGGAUUUUGCUUAUCUAUAAAACUUGAAUCAUUGUUAAUCAAAUCAGCUAUAAUUUACGCCUCAAUGUGGUUUGUAAGUUUAAGUUAUGUUGGAUUAUACCUGAAUAAUGUGGUGUUUGCGUUAUUGAUUUCAAUUUCUAUUGAUGAUUUUGAGUAUACAUAUUAGUGGAUGAAAGUUUUUAAUUAGGAUGAUUGGUCACGCAUAUAUGUCAUAGCAACUGUGUUUUUUUGGGUUAUGGUUGUACUGUAGAUCAGUAGUAGUAGUGAUUUGGAUAUAAACGCUAGUGCUUUUAUUGUAAAUGAUAGUGAUGAAGAUCCAGUGUUACAGAAUUUGAUGUAAAAGUUAUUGGUUUUUGGCUAAAUAUCUUAGAUAAAUAUGAUGCUCAUGCAAUCAAAUCCAAUGCUUAUGCAAUUUACACCAUGUUUAUGAUAAGUAAUUAAAAAAAUAAAUGACUAUUCCAGGUGAAAAUGGAUGAUGAUGAUAUUACAACUGUUCUUUGUACAUUCAAGGGCAAGACAUAUAAUGUUGGUGUAAUUGAUCCAGAUAAGUUUAGUAGAGUUUCUGUAAUUAACAAGGUUUUAGUUAGAGUCUAUGGAAGAAAGAUGAGGCCUGAUGAGAAGUUUACACUAAGUGUUUGGGUACCAUGGGUCUAUAAGGAAGUAGAGAUUAUGUCUGAUCAUGACUUAAUAUUCCAGCUGAGAGAGCAUAAUAAGAUGUUGUUCUACUGCAUGCAAUUGUAUAUUGAAGAAAUCCAUGUACCUCAUGAGUUUGUACCUAGAAGGGCUUUGUUUCAGCACUCAGCAGAAGAAAGCUUACAAGGGUAUGCUGAAACAAACUUUCCAGCCACUACUGACCUGCACAAACCUUAUACACAUGCUACAUCCACCAACACAAAUCCUUAUGAAAAUGACAGUAAUGACCAUUCGAACCAUGAACCCCCUGUCAAGAACUCCAGCAGCAUAAUGAUGCAUAAUGUUGCACUUGAUAGCAUCCAAUCACAGACCAAACCAGAUACCAACCCUGACCUAUAUCAAGACUUUUUGGAUACCUAUUUCAGAUCAUCACCACAACAGAAAACACCAUCAGCUGCCCAAACUAAUGCCGAAAAUAGUGAUAGUGAUAACACAUCUUCAUUUGGUACAAAUAAGACUCCUACUGAGCAGCUUCAACAAAACUUUGCCAUCUCUUCUGAGUUGUCCCCUUUAUUGCAGCAACAUGGACAUCAUGCAUCCCAAAAUGAACCUAUACCUUUUCACCAACCUGAGUUCUCAUCUCAACCAAUAACUCAAAACCCUCAGUCACAAGUUGUACAAGCAGAAAACUUCCAGCAACCAGAAGCCACUACACCAGCACUAGUAGAUUAUAACUCAGAUGAUAGCCAUUAUAGUGUAACUGAUAGUGAGGAAGAUCCAGAUCAUCCAUUAGGUGCUCCAAACAUUAAUAAUACUCCUAGGAAACCUUCUGUUAAUGUUGACUUAGGCUCUAUGCCUUCUGAUGAUAGUGAUGAAGAUUGUAUGCUAUCUGAUUGUGAGAGUGAUGACAAUGAGUUUGGGGAAGAAUCUGAUGAAGAGAUUGAUCAAGUGCUGGUCAGAAUGGAUGCUGUUAUGAGAGAGAACAUGUACAUUCCUAGUGAUACACCUGUUCAAUUCUUUAUUGGGCAGUGUUUUAGGAACUUCAGGCAGCUGGCAUGGGCAAUAAGGACUUAUGCUGUGGAAAACAAGUUCAAGGUUUAUAAGCACAAGUUUGAAAAAUCCAGAGUAACUGUUGGAUGUAAUUAUUUCAGGUGCCCAUGGUUUUUACAUGUUGCAAAAACUAGAUUUGGACAAACCUUUAUUGUUAGGAGGCUUCACAACGUACAUACAUGUCAGAGAGACUUAAAGAAUCCUGAAUGCACUGCAGAGUUCAUUGUUGCCAAGUUUGCUGCAACUAUAAUUGAGCAUCCAGAUACAAAGGUUGGGUGGAUUCAAAGUGAACUUAGAAGGAUGUAUGGAGCUAAGAUACACAAGUAUAAAAUUUAUAGAGCAAAGAAGAAGGUUUUACAGAGACAAUGAGCUGAUUAUGAGUCUAGUUACAUGUUGAUCAGAAAUUAUGCUCAGGCCAUACUUACUAAGAUGCCACAGGCCUUGGCAUUGGUUAAGGUUUUCAGGAUGCAUGGUCAACAACCUCAAACUCACUUUGACAGCACUGUUAUAUCUUUCCAUGCCCUCAGAGAUGGCUUCAACCAAGGUUGUAGACCCUUCAUUGGUAUUGAUGGAUGCCAUUUGAAGGGUCCAUAUAAGGGUGUUCUUUUAUCAGCAGUUGCUAUUGAUGCCAACAAUGGAAUCUUCCCACUUGCAUUUUGUGUAUGUAGUGUCGAGAGUACAACCAGCUGGACAUGGUUUCUAAGCCACUUUAGGGAAUUUUUACAAGAUACAAGACAACUGACCUUUAUGUGUGAUAGGCAGAAAGGAAUUCAGAAUGCUCUUGCCUUAGAGUUUCCUAAUGCACAUGUUAGAUUCUGUGCUAGACACAUCUUAGCAAAUAUUAAGUUAAAACAUCCUCAAUCUGACUUUAAAGCAUAUUUCUGGGCAGCAGCAAGAGCAUCAAACAGAAGGGCAUUUGAUGAUGCUAUGCAAAACAUAAGAGCAGCACAUGAGGGUGUAUAUGAGACUCUUAGGAGGAUACCACCAAAUUUCUGGUCAAGGCAUGCCUUUGACAAUAAUUGCAAGUCUGAUCAUUGCACUAACAACGUAACUGAAUCUUUUAAUGCAUGGAUUGGGAUUCAAAGAAAGUUGCCAAUAAUCUCAAUGCUGGAGUGGAUUAGGAAGAAGCUGAUGAAAAGAAUGAUUGGAAGAAGAAAUAAGGCAGAGUCUUGGGACAGUGAUAUACCAAGAAGAAUUUAUGCACAAAUGAUGAAGAAUUUACAGAUUGGCAGUGCAAACCCUAUCUGUAGAGCUAGUAAAUGGCUUUAUGAAGUGGAUGAAAAUACCAAGACUUAUAUCGUUGAUCUUGAACACCAUAUGUGUGACUGCGGACAAUGGCAAGUUAGUGGGAUUCCAUGUGUACAUGCAAUGCCUUGUAUUGUGAAUAGUCAAAAAGAUCAAGCUCAGUUCAUUAGCCAAUGGUUGAAGAAAGAUACUUACCUAAGGUGUUAUUCUGGAUUGAUUAAACCAAUUCCAGAUAGAACGUCAUGGGUAGAUGCUGGUGGUGAUGAAAUACUGCCCCCUUUAGUGAGAAGACCACCUGGACGACCUAAGAUGACAAGAAGAAGAGAAGCUGAUGAGGUACCAGCACAUAAUAAACGAUACAAGAUGCAAUGCACUAUUUGCAAGGGAUUUGGACACAACAGAAGGGGUUGUCCUGUUAACCCUCAUAAUGCUCACAAGACAACAAGACAAUAUAAGGUGAGUGUGUAUGCUUGUAAGAGAAUAUUCAAUUAUUUUUUGAACCAUGUUCCUCCCAUGUGAUGACAGCUAAUGUGCCUUGUUUGUUUGUGCUUUUUUAUAGAAUAACCUGAAGAAGCACGUGACAAGGACAAAUGGGGAGCAAAGUGAAGGUAUAAGAGUAAUUUACUAAGUUAUAUUACUAUAUUACUUUACAGCUGUAUUAGAUAAUUAUAUAGUUGUGUAUCACCAAACUAUAUUAAAUUAACUUAUUUAUUUAACGUUGCUUUAUUGGUAAUUUAUAAGGCCAAGUUCACGGAAUUACCUCAACUAUUUUGGAAAGCCAAGACAAUGACAUGGUCCAAGUAACUGUCUCAGGCCAAAACAUAACAAAGAACCAGCAGACUGCAUCUAACAAACGCAAGAUUGGCAAUCAAGCAGGGCCAUCAAAAGCAAAUGAAGUCAUUGGCAAGAGCAUGAAUGGGGUCAUAUCUGUAGCUCCAUGGGUAGGUGAACAGGGAAGAAAAGUAAUGUCAGCCGCUGGAUUAACCUUCAGCAAAGAGGAUGAAGUCGGCAACUAUACUGAAAUGAAGCAUUUGGACAAAGGGAAGGCACCAGCCUUCCCUUCGUAAAGGGUAAAACCAUAGUUUUCUAUUGAUAUAAAUUAAUAUUGGUUUUGGAAAUGAUAUUUAUAAUUUGUAACUUGUUUUGUAGUGAUUCUUUGGCUAUGAUGGAGACAUUGGCAGCAAACUUAUUAACAAACAGUGGAGGCAACAUUAUCAUUUUUUGACACCUUCCACAAUGCCACAUCAACCCACCAGGCACAAGGUUAAGGUUAUCUGGAUGCUGAUUUCAUUAGGAUCAAGUGGCCAAGUAAUGACCAGGCAUGUCAUUGUUUUCUUUUUCUUUUUUAUUUUGGAGCUGAAAUUGGUGGAAGUUGUUGGACAUUAAGCUUAAGCAUUAUAGAGCUGGAAGCUGUGAUGACCUACUAUAAGUAUGAUUGGAAGGGUUUAUGGCAUUUUGAAAGUUUUUGGGAUUAAGAUACAUAUAGGACUGAUAUCAACCAAACCAACACUUUUUUUUUUUGUUUUUUGGUCACAUGUAUGUAAACACCAGAUUGGAUGUGACUAACAUUGUAAGUUGCUGCCAAUAUGCAUUUAUAGAUAAAAUAACUUAUUGCUAUUAUUGAUAUCAUAUUUGAUUAAAUGGUAUAUGUCAAGAAACGAAUGCAUUUUAUUGAUCAUAAGAUUUCAUUUUACACAUUGUUCUAGCAUUCCUUACAGUACAAUACAAGCAAUACAAGUAUAGUUAUCACUAUAAUCGUGAUUUGAUACUUCUUAUUUUUAUGAAGUAAACCUUCAAUAUUGAUGAACCUGUUGUGGAAGUCCUCAAUGUUAAAUUGUUGAAUCUCACUUGCCCUGUCUGCAGCUUCUUCUUCAAACCUUUGUAACGCUGCUUCAAUUUCUAUAGCCUCACCUGUAGAUGGUUUCCACCAUCUAAAGAAACCACAAGAUGGGUCAUUAGGGCAUGUGUAAUAUAGUUUGUUGGGGUUUGUUUUUGAUUCUGACACUUUGAUUUCUGCCCUUCUUCGACAGUAGCAUACUGUGUUAUAGAACUUGAUGAUGCCCCCAUUGAUUUUAGGUAAAUCCCUUCUUCUGUUAUAAGUUGAUGAACUUGAUGCAUUCCUUGAAGUGGACAUUUUCUUCAAAUUUCCAAUGUCGUGUCUGUUAUAUUCUUUUUGAAAUACAGCACAACGUAUCUGAACUUCAAGUUGUUGUGCUUGUUUUGUGUGUGAAUGAAGCUGCUGUUGAAGUUGUAUUGUUUCGGUGGGUAAAACCAAAUGUUGUACUACUGUAAGUUGUUGCUGAGUAAAAAAAAUGGUGGAGUUUCCAGGUGAGUCAAUGAAAAUCACUGAGGUGUGAAGAGGGUAGGAAUUUAUAUGUGUUAAACAUCACAGCUUGUGGUGAUGCAUCAGCUCAAAUUUAUCAAUUUCUUUUACUGUUCUUGUAACCAUAUAGCCGUUAUUACUGUUGCUCAGAUUUUAUAGCCGUUGGAUUUUUGAUGCGCAUGGUAAUAAACCAAUAUGCUAAGGGCAAUAUAGUCAAUAUAAUUUAACAGUUAUAGUUGGUCUUCGUGUGUAAAUACACCUUUAAAUAAUGGCCAGUGGUAAAUUCCUUAGUUCAAUGACUCACCUGGAUGCAUUUGAAUUCAACGCAAGGGUAUAUUUGUCAUUUAAUCAAAAUAUAGACUGAUCCGUUACAAUUAACUAAAAAAUAAACAGAAAUGGGUGCGCGGUGCUCAUAGGCAAAAGAAUUGGGUGCGUUGUGCUGUAUGUCAAAACAUUUGGGUGCGGGGUAAAAAUUACCCUUUGGAUUAUGAUUUGAGGGUGCAAGUAUUUACCUAGAGUUUACCUCCGCACUAAAUUCUUAAGUUUUGAAAAUUAUGAGACCUUUAUAUUGGGAGAUAUUGUAAUCGAAUCAAAACUUAAAUUUUUUAUAAUGUUAAUAUUUAAUCUUUUAAAAAACAAUAACCUCGCCGUUACAGUUUGGAUUAAGAUUUGAGUAAGUAUUUACCUAAAUUUUACCUCCGUCUGUAAAUUCUUAAGUUUUGAAAAUUAUGAGACCUUUAUAAUCGAAUCAAAAUUUUGAAUUUCAAUAUUAUUAUUCUUUAAAAAAAAUUUUGAGAUAACAGAGUGAUUGAUAAUAUAGGAGAACUUGUCUAGGCAAGCACAUGUAUACACAGAAACGUGAUGGAUUCAAAAAGAAAUUAAAGUGAUAAUGCGAAAUCGCUUGGUGGCCCAGUAAAAUUACGACUGAAUUUUUUUUUUUUUUUUUACAAAAUUCAAGCUCAUAAAUGACAAAUUUCAUUUCCCUUUCACACGUCAUUAACUUUUGUAACAUGGUGUGUGCAUCGUCAAGUGAGGCAAAAGGGUUUCAAUUACAGUUGGAAAACAUGAACAAGAAUGCAUAAUGAAUAAUUCCUUCGAUAAACCGAAAAUUAAGCACAGAAUAAUCCUAAAAUUUAAACUCUAAUAUCUUAUAAUGUAUUGAUUAAAAAUAAUCCUAAGAGCUCCCAAUUGAAACUUUCAUAAGUAUUUUAAUUGUUUUGGAUAAACAAAUUGCACUAGGAUAAAAAUUUGGCAAAUUCAGAGGAUAAUGGAAAAUAGUUAUGCUUCAAUAGGCCAAAGAUUAGAGAACAAAUAAGAAUUAUUUAUUGAUAUACAAAAGAGAAACACUCCAAAAUUUCAAGCAAAAAUAGUUUCAUAUAUCAUUUCGAUUUUGAAAGGGAUGAGAUUUUGAACUUCAAUAGUUUCCUCUAAAAUUAAAAGGUAGCAAUUAAGCUAAAAAGAGCAAUGAAGACUUAUUGGUACCUUAUUAAAGGUAAACAUUAUGGAACUUUCAAUGUCAUUAUCUCACUGUUCAAUUUUUAUUGAGAUUUGUGUAAGCAUUUACCUAAAUCUUACCUCCGCCUUUAAAUUCAUAAGUUUUGAUUAAUUAUGAGACCUUAUAUUGGGAGAUAUUAUAAUCAAACUAAAACUUAAAAUUUCAAUAUCAUUAUUCUUUAAAAAGAAAUUGAGAUAUCAGAGUAAUAUCACAUAGAAAAACUUGCCCACGGACGGUAAGCCAAAAGUCUAGUCAACCACACGCAUAAAGCUAACUAGAACAAGAGAACAGAGAAACGCGUGGGUCCCUAAAAGAAAAGGCAAGCACAUAAAUAACUUUCAAAAUGCCCAAGCAAAUACCGAUGAAAAUCACUGUUUAAGAAUAAUUUAUUAUGUGGUUGAAGCUUUCUUUUUAUCAAUCUUCUUUCUACCCAUUAAUUUUCCCACGACUUUCCCGUUUCAUUUCUUGAAUCUCCAUGGAUUAACUUUCAAUAAACCAUAAAAUAAACUAAGGAAUCAUUUUCUCGAAUACAGCUAUGAUUUUAAUAAAUGGGCGGACCAUCUAGAAUAGUAUAUAUAAUUCUGUUUAAUUAAUAAGUUGAAAAAACCAUCAAGAGAAAUUCUAAUAUUAUGAGCUUGACACGAAUUCUUCACUAAUUCCAAAACAAGGAGCUGUUUUAUAAGAACUGUGGUUGGAUUAUUAAGUUUUACAAUUUGAAUAUAAAUAAGAAAAUAAAAUCAGUCGCGUUGAUGUUUUCGAUACAUUUCGCUGCUAACUUUUUUUUUUUUUUUAUUACAUGAGACUAUUGCUCAAAUUACAACUCAUAUUACAUGAGAAUAUAACUGAUAUUUACAAAUCAGACUAUAACUGGGACCAAUAUACAUCAAUACUAAUGGAGCGCUGCCCAGAUUUUAACCCUCUCAAAUAUUCAAGGGAUGUCUACACCUCACACUUGGGUAAGGAAACAGACUGUCUUCACUUAAAUUUACUUGAGGAAUGAAGACCCCCACAAUACAUUGUGGGGGUUCACCACUCGACCAAAGGCCGAGUGGCUCAUUUCGCUGCUAACUUAAUUAAUUACUUUACUUCAACUUUAUUUCCUUAGGGGCACUUUAUGGUGGGUCCAAGAUGGGACCUACAAUAAUCAAUCCUAAAAUUUAGUAUGGUUACCAAAUAGCUAGUAGCUAGUGUUAUUUUGUGUUUGGUGGAAGAGAUUGAAUAUUUAGUUUUAACUUAACCAUUCAACUAAUUAGAAAAUAAAUAAAAUUAAAUGAAAUGUUUAGAUAUCAAUUUAAAUAUUAAUAUCGGGGAUAUAAAUUAGUUAUAAUAUAGUUCAUUACAUAAAAUUGAUUAAAUUAAUAAUUACCCGUGAACAUAGAUGUAUAUGCUUUCCAAUUUCCAAAGUGCUCAAAGCACUUUUCUCACCAAACUUUCCUCUGAAUUUCCCGUAGCUGACUCCUUUGUUUGCGUUUUGUGAAAUUUCUAGGAACUUUUUUCGAUUUAGAAUAUUGUACAUUUUUCUUUUCAGCUGAGAUUAAUUUAACUUAUAGAAAAUCUUAUCCUUUUUUAAUAUUAUUUAAAUAAAAUUUGUCUAUCUUUUAUUUUAUUAGUCUACUUUUUACCCAUUAAUUAAGACUUUUCAAUUUCUUUUUUACCUGAGGUUUUCAGUGACUAUCUUUCAAUAAACCAUAAAAAUUACUUAGUCAUUUAUCGAACAAUUAGAUGACCAUAUUUCAAAAUAUCAACUAGAAGUUGUCCUGAAAUAUUUAAUUAAUAGUUGAAGAAUUGUGAUUAGUGUGGGCAUCUACAUAAAAAUUAUAUUAAAACACCGCUAAAAGAUAAAAAUAAAAUAAAAUAGUACAAACAUACACCCAUAGGUUAAAACAAAGAAAAAACACGAACCAAUACACUAAAAUGUUUUAGCUGUAGUUAGUUUUCAGUUUCAUUACUUAAGUCCCACGUGCAUGUCACGUGACUGAGGUCAAAAAAUGAUUGUCACAUUAAAGUUCAAAAUACGGAGCAGGGUAAUUAAGGAGUGGAGCUAUUGGCACCCCUCCAUUAUUCUUACAAAACUCCACUUUAAAUCAAAAUAUAAUUAAGAAUAAUUGAAAAUUAAACACUUAUAGAUUUCUUUACAACAUGUUGAGUGAUAAAAAAGCACCAGUCGGGCAUGUCCCCAUUUCUUACCCGGUGCCGAAUCUCCACGGUCGAAUGGUAUGAGUAGACUCUUGGUGAUGUCUUCUAUGUGGAGCACGUAACAACAGACCAGGAACUAGUACCAACCAAAAACGAGUACUGAUCGAAACAAGCAUGACCAGAAACGCAUACCGACCAGAGACUUGUGGGUCCGUAAAAGAAAAGGCAAGCACACAAAUGAAAAAGCCAUUACAUUUCUAUUUUACAUGUCAUUCCUAAUUUUUGUAACACGAUGUGGCAGCAUAUGCACAAUCAAAUGAGGCAAAAGGGAUUCGACUAUCGUGGCAGAACAUGGACGAGGACGCGUGAUGAAUAAUUCCUUCGAUAAAACGAAAAACAAACGCAGAGAAAAGAAUUUCUUAUAUGACAAGAAAUUAAAGUAAUGUGACGGAACAUGAUGAAGAAAUUGCAGAUCGAUCAAUUAUCCCCAUGGACUCCUAUAAAUUCAACCAAAAUAACAAUUCCAAUAUUACCAAAUUCUUGAGUUAAAUUUAUUCAAUGCUUUUUUUUAAGAGAAAUUUUUUCCAAUGCUACUUUCCCUUUUUUGGGGAAAUUAGAACUGCGGCAUGUAUAGAAGACAUUGAGGUAUAAAGCAACAUUAAUUUCAUGGGUUAUGCGUUAUACGCAUAAUAUAUUUUCAGUCCAAAUUCAACUAUGCAAAGAGGCUUGAGAACUUAAAAUUAAGCACAAACUAAACAGACGAAGUAAAUACAUGAUUAUGCAACAUAACAUUAAUUCUCUUAAUUUAUAACCGUUUUGCCACAUGAAUCUUGCACAGUUAAUCCUAAUUGAAGACUAAAAAAGAACAAUUGGAACAAGGUUUUGAAAUAGAAUGAUAGACAAUCGAUAUGAUCCAUUUCCAGUCGUCAACGCUAAUUAACUGCAGUUUCUAGACUCCUAAUUAUACUAGCCAUAAGAAACUGUUUAGAAAACUGGUGAUCAGAUUAGAUUUUGAAAUGAAAUAAUGUUCAUUUUCCCUUCGUUACCCUUUUAUUUAUUUAUUAUUUUUAUACCAAAGAAUUCUAUCAUGAAACGAAUCAAUUUAAUCACCUUUUCCAGCAGCACAAUUUUUCUUUUAUAAAAUUUGACCACAGAGACAAAGAAGAAUUAUUCAUACCUUCAUCAGUAAGGAAAUACUUUUCGGUAUGGCUAGGGUGAGAAAAGGCUUUCCACAAACACUUGUACUUUGUAUUCCUGUAAAUUUUCUUUAAAGUCAAUAAAAAUCAUAAGUUCUUUACAAUAACCAUCUCUUUGAUAAAAAAAGUGCCGUAUUCCUUUAGAAUUUAAAACCGGCAAAAUCGAAUCAGUGUCUUUGAAGAGACAUAAUGGUCAUAAUUCUUUAAAGAGUUGGCUAUGGAAAUCCUUAUCCAAGAUUCUUUUACGCCAUAUUCUUUCGUAAACCAAAAUUCAUUUUGGAAUACUCUGUUGAGAAUGUCAAAUAAAACGGUAUUGAAGGAAGUUUUCAAAGGCAGAAUCCGCACUUGUCAAAGGGAUGAUCUGCAUUUGUCAGAGACACAAUCUGCGUCGAAUGAAUCGACACAUUUCCUUUUGUAUUCGCAUAUGUAAUUUUUGAAAAAAUGUAGCUUCUGCAUCUAUAAAUAACGCUCAGUGUAUAAUGUUUUAUUCAAAAAAAGAAAACAAGUUUCUUCAUACUCGUCGUCCGAACAUACAGAGACCGUCUCUCAUAACUUCAGCCGAAUACUUAUGAUGAUGAUCAUUUGUGAUUUCAUCAGGCAUAGGGUUGAUGGUGAAAAAUUUUGUAUGUGUGAAGAAUUGAGCUGUGGAUAUAGGGGACUUAAGUGUAAUCGAAAGAGAGUUAUUAGGCCAUAGUGUAGAUUGCAUUCAGUUUAUGAGUCGAUAUGCAAAUAAUUUGUUGACGUGGCGAAAUUUGUUAUGGUCGUUACUAUUGUUUCUGGAAAUUUUCUAGAAACCUCAGCAUAAAAGGGGCUUUUGGAUAGCCUCUGGUGUGCGUGUGAUUUCUCUUUCGUUUCCUCAUCAAAUUCUGUAAUUCUUGCUUUGAUAAAAAGCUUGUAAUCUCUUCUGUAAUUGUGAUCAGUGCGUAAUCAUUUUGAGCGAUAAAAGCUUGUAGGUUUUUCCUUCAAACAAUGUCGUUUUGGUCAGUUUGUUAGUUUGAUCUGUUGGUGGAAUUUUCUUUGGUUAUUUGUUCUCAAAUUUCAACCUUAUAUAAAGUUUGAACUCUAAUGGCUUAUAAUGUAUUGAUUAAGAAUAAUCCUAAGAGUUUCCGAUUGAAAUUUUUAAUGACUAUUUUUAUUGUUUUGGAUGCACAAAUUGCAUUAAGAAAAAAUAUUGUCAAAUUCAGAGGAUAACGGGAAAUAAUUAUGCUUCAAAAGGCCAGAGAUUAGAGAAUAAAGAAGCAUUCAUUACUGAUAUAAAAACUGCUUCUAUUUGGAUUUUGAAAGGGGUGAAGUUUUGAACUUCAGUUGUUCCUCUAAAAUCAAAAGCAAUAAUUAAGCAUUCUCAAUUAGAAAGAGCAAAGAAGACUUAUUGGUACCUUACUGAAGCUAACAUUAUGGCACGGUUGUUCAUAUGUAAUGGCUGCUCUGUUAUGCUAGCUUCUCUGUUUUUGCUUCUAUUUUUGCUUACAGUUUUGAAGAUAAAUUCUUGCUCAAAUAACACAUAAUUAAAUAACACUAAUAUGGCUCAUGAAAUCCUAUAAUAGCUAAUUACGCAACUUUCUCCUCCUCCUCAAUUCUGUCUUCCCCUGCUCGGACACUAACUUCAAAAUUCAAUGCCCCGAAAAACAACACAAGAAAUCUUUGAGUUAGUUCGUGACCAGUUUAUAUAUAGUAGCAAUUGAAAAAAGAAAAAGAAGAAAAGAGUUAAUUAUUUUUCAGACCUUCACUUAUUAGGAAGUUUGUUCUGCUAUUGGGUGAGAUCAAGCUCUCAGCAUAUACUUCCACAUGAUACUUUCUAACAUUUUCUUGAAAGCCAUCAAUCAUUAAAUCUUCAUACUUUUUUCCAUCCUUUGGAUCAAUAAGUACAAAUUUCUCAUCUAAAAAAGACAAAAUAAAAUCACUGUCCUUCAUGGAAUCAGAAUUGAGCUUACAAAAACCGAAGUGGACAGUUCCAUUCAGAUUGGUCGCCCGAGAACAAUGAUGAGAAGACUUAAAAUCAGUUUCAAAGGUUUUCCAAGUAUUGUUCCUCUAAACCACUUGUAUAUUUUACCAGAACUCUUGGUUAAGAAAAUCCUAGUCCAUGGAGUAUGAUAUAUCAAUCAUGCAACAAUGACCUACAACAUCUAUGUGGAUUGAUUUUUGCAAAAUAAAGAACAAUGCUGACUGAGGAAUAAGGUGCAUACCCGAUUAGCAAUAUCUCAGCAAGUAACCAACAAUUUUUUAUCUGAUAAGAAAAAAUUACAAUUUCUUGAAUAUACAUGAAACAUUUUGCAGAAAGAACCAUGUCAUAAUUAUUAGUCCAACUGAAGAAUUAUCAAUACUUAUCACAUGAAACGAAAGAUACCCGAGUUCACUUAAUGAAAUUCUCUUUUUUUUUUCUCUAACAUUGAGAUAAGCAAAAACUUUUAACUAAAGACAAUCAUCUAGUGAUCUCAAACAAAUGAGGUUAGUAUGAAACCAUCAUAAUUUGUUCGCUCAUUGCCUAAUUUUAUUAAUGCAAGAGCCUGGAAGCAACUCAAAAAGAAAAUAACCGACAUAGGAAGUGUCAUCUCAUAUCUCACCAAUGAAUGGGAACAGCUUGAUGUGGCUGAGCAAACUGGCAGAAUUGUCAUUUUAACACACGUUCAAGAAACUCAGCAAAUUCUCAUAUCUGUUUAAAUUCCACAGCAAAGAUAGUUACAAGAAAUCUAAUCAAAAUUUAAAAUGUCAGAAGGCAAAUCUUCCAAUUAGGAUCAAAAGAAGAUAAUUAUAAUUUGUCAUUUCAAUUCUGAAUGUACAAUUUUAUUUUUUUAUGUGUGCAUUAAUUAAGAUUCUACCUUCUCUGCAAAAUUGUGAUGGACUUGGUAAAUAAUGAAUUGUAUCGACUUGAAUUUUAUACAACUUAUUGAGAUAAUAAUACGCCAAAUUCAACACCGUCCAUCCCAAAUCACAACAAGAAACUCAAACUUUUAUCCCCUCAAGUGGGUUCUUGAAACUGAAGCUUUAGUGCCAGUACAAUUUUGAAAGAUUGUGAUCAAACUAAAACAUCAAAUAAAAUAAGACGUAACAAAAACACGUCUUCAGAAAAUUAGUAUAGGAAUAAGAUAAGCUACACAGACCUACUUCAAUGAAUUAGAAAAAUUAUGAUAAACUUGAUGCAUUUCGAAAAACAACAAACAAAUAUUCCCAGGAAAACAAAAAAAAGACAACUUUGUUUAAGCUUAGACAAAAAUAACUAAGGACAUAUGAAUGCAUCAUAAUAGUAUCUCUAUGGGUAAUUUUCAGAAAUCUCCCCUAAGGUAUGGUGUAUUCUUAGUUUGAUAGAAAAUAUCUAAGUAUUCUUAUAGACCUCCCCUACUGUUAGUAUUCCAUUUCGUAUAUGUUAGGUAGAUGAGGGUAAGAUCGUAAUUUGAAUAAGUUAAUGAUAAAAAAUCCAGAAAUUUUAAGAUUUUCACAUUGGCCUCUGGGCUUUAUUCAUCUCUUUCAUCCACCAAAACCAGAAAUACAACUCACCUCUCUCCUCCACCUAAAUCGAAGCAAGGUAGCUCAAAACUCAUUUCAAAAAAUUGAUCAAUUACUUGGGUCACAAACUAGAGACAAUGACGACGAAGUUGAUGACGCCAAUAUCGACGACGAAGCUGAUGACGCCAAUAUCGACGACGAAUGAUUCGCAACUGCCAGGUAAGAGAGUAUAGUAGGUUUCGCCAUCGAACGCCCAAUCAUCCAGUUGUUUUGGAGCCGCGUUAUUUUUAUUAGCUAAAAUUAGAAUUUUUAGUGAAAAAUUGAAAGUGGGUCUCAAAAUUUUUUGAGAGCGUAUAUGUUUCUCCUGAUUUUUCGAUCGAUUCGUGUUAGUUGCAGUUAAAUGAUUAAUCCAAUUCGUGUUGAAGAUAGAGCUAACUCGAAUAUCUCUAUAGUCCUGUAAUUGAUUGAAAAUGGGUCUUGAAAAUUGUUUUAGAUUUCAGCUGUGUGCUUCUGAUUUUUUCCAUGGAUUCAUGAUAGAUGAAAAUGGUUGAUGAAGAUUUGCUUGACAUGUAUAUAGAUGGUAUUUUGUUAAAGGGGUUUUAAUUUUUUCCUUUUUUGGUGGUUUCGAUUGUGGUAUUUACAUGCCUUAGGUUGAGAAAAACGAAAAUGGUUUGUUGCACUCUUUUGUGUUGGAUCAGUGAGUUUAGGCGAUUUGAAAUGGUUUGCGGCAUUCAAUUGAUUGUUUUAUUUAUGUGGUUUGAUAUGGGAAAAGUAUAAUAAAAUUCAAUUGUUCCAUAUGUCAAUUUGGAUGUUUUGAAAUUAUGAACUACAAAAAGUUAAAAUUAAUUUCUUAUUAUAUUUUCAAUUGAAAGUUACUAUUGUCUUCUUUUUAGUACUUAGUAUGCAUUUUUCCCCAUCUUCUAGUGGUGGUGUUGCACCCAUUUUGAAUUUGAUCGGCAUCUUCUUCUGUACAUGCAUGUUUCUUGGACUCCAAUUUUUGUUUCAUAUGAUGAAGCUAAUUUAAUUCCUCCUUUUUAAUAUCAACUUUGUUCAUCUAGGUUUGCGAUUUUGAUCUUUCUCAUUUGAAGGCAAACACAUUUAUGUCAUCAAAAUUUCCAAUAUUUUUUAUUUUAUAGUAUCCAAACUGCUUAUGGCAAUAUGAAAUUGAGAAUAUUUCUUUCAUCAUGUUAACCUAAGUGGAUGGUGGAUGAUGUUUGUGUAAGAGAUUUAAGUUAUUUGUAUUAUAGAAUAUGUCUUAUGUUUUGAUUUGCAAUUUCACCAUUAAAUUGGCUUUGUAAAUGAUUAGAAGCUAAAUGCAUAAAAUGAAAACAAUAGUAACAUUUCUGAGUGGGGUAUAAUCAGAUGCUAACAUGGCGAUCCAUGACUUGUAAUUUCUAUUGUCGUUAUAAUUGGACUAGAUCGAGGUAAACUGACUUUUCUUGUUCUGUUUUUUUUUUCAUUUCUUUGUUCUAGAUUUUUCUUUCUUUGUUUUACUUCUGGUUUCUUCUUCAGCAUAUUCAAUAACUAGCAUGAGCAAAUGGAGAGGAAAAGGGUAGAAUAUGCUUUUAAAAAAAAAGAAAAGAAAAAAAGAGAUAGCUCUAAUUCAAAAAUAAGGAGGAGAAAAGGGCAAUGAUUGAAGUUGUGGAGAAGAAAUUCUUAAUGCAUAGGAGAUGACAACAAAGUGUUGCAACUGGGAGCAGUUUUAAAGUGCUAUUCGAUUGCUUUUGUAAUCAAAUUGUCUUUUGUACCUAUUUAUACACACACAUAUUUGUAUUUGUAAUUUGAAUUUUACAUUUUCUCAAGACAACUAUGUUUAUUUUAAAAAAAAUCUAAAUGUAACUAAAAUAUUAAAGUUUUUGUACUUAUUACUCCAUUUGAUGAUUUUUUUUAUUUUUUUGCUGACGAAUAUUCCAUGUCAAUUUUUUUCCCUUCAGCUCGUUUAAGGUGUUUUAUUGUCUGAUGUGAUAUUUGGUGCUCGGGAGGAAGGGUGUUUUAAGUCUUUUUUGGUGUCAGGGGCAAUUUUGUCUUUACAUCAGUCAACAAAUAGUCAAUGGAUGGAAAUGCAAACAGCAGGGGAGGUGUCUGAUAAUACACGGAUACUUUCUAUCAAACUUAUAAUACACAAAAUCUCAGGGGAGGUUUUUGAAAAUUACCCAACUGUGCAAAAUUAUGAAAAAAAUGAGCUAAACAUAUAUAGCAUUUCAGAGGAGUGCUUACUUGACAAAUCACUAAUACAAAGCUGCGAAUGGGCAUUCGGAAUGUUUUGAGAGACUCGUAUGGAUAAAAUAUGUAGUUAUUUAAGUAAUGACAGAAGGAGAAUCGUGUGGCUUGUCAAAGCCGUUAGCUCCAUCUCAUUUGCCUCGUCCUCUCGUUUUGUUUCUGUGGGGACAUAUUUGAUAUUUUGGAUUUUGUCUAAAAUUCGUCAUGUUUUUGGAUACUAACAUCUGCGCCUCUAGACCAAUAGCCAUUUGAUUAAGUGGGAGAACCCUUACACUAGUGUAAGAAUUUGAACUUUUAUAAAAUUAUUUAUGAGAUUAUUUAUAAUUUUUUUUAAUUAUCAAAUAAUUGAGUAGAGUCAGUUUAAUCCUUACGAAAUAUUUACUAUUCAUAAAUAUCUUUUUUUUUCUCUAUCUUACAAUUGAAUAUUCUCUCUCUACUCCAACAUUAUGUAACCUAAAUAUUUAAUUUCACUCUUUUUUAAUUUAUUUUUUUGUCUUUUCUUAGUAUAUUAUAAUCUUUAUUUCAUGUUUUCUAUAUAUAAGAAUUUUUUUAUAUCUAUUAAAUUUUGUGUUUAGUGAAAAUUAAUUUCUUGAUAUUUUUAAUUUUUAUAAUUGAUAAAAAUAUAUCAAUGUUCAUUUUUAAAUGAUGGGUUUUGUUCAUUUUAGUUUGUUAUAUUAAUUUUUUGUAGGUAAAAGAAUAUAUUUGAAUGAAUUGAAGGAAAAUUGUGAAAUUGAGAAGAGAAAGAGAAGAAAAAGUUAAUUAAAUAAUUUUUUCAAAAAUUAUUUAAAUAAUAAAAUUCUUAAUUAAAAACAAAGAUGGAGAGAGAAAUUUAGUGGGUUCAAAAUACUUAUUUUAAAUCCAAAAAAGAACCAAUAAAAGAAAUCAAAAGAUGAUUCUUUUCUUUCUGACAUAUUUCUCUGUACUUUUCUCUCUCUACUGAUUCACAAUUUUUCAUACUUCUAACUAUCAUUUUAUUCAAGUAUUUUGUAUUUUUAAUGACAAUUAUUUAAUUUUUAGUUAGUUUUGAUAUUGAUUAGAGAUUUAAAGUGUAUUUUAGAAGACUUCCGGUCUCUUGAAAAAAGGAAAAAUGGAGAAGAAGAAGUGUUCUUGAUUUUUUGUAGGCGUUAAAGUUAAAUGGUUUGAAAUGAUAUUCUUUUUUAAUUUCACUCAUUAAUCUCAUUCAAGAUAAAAUUAUAAAUGCAAAUAAAUGGGGUUUCAUAAGUAUUUUUAAUAGUGUUAAAAGGUCUACUCACUAAAUAAACAUGUUUAACCCAAACCAAUGCGAUUAGUAAGUUAUUGGGUUGGGUUAAUCAGGUUAAAAAUCAAAAUUAAAAAUUAAAUAAAUAAAAAAGGUAUAAAAACUAUCUGUUACUUGAAAAUAAAAAGAAUUUCUAAUUGUUAGUUCUAAUGUCCCAUAUCCAAAACAUGCAUAUUAAAUAAAUAUUAUAAGUUAGAAAUACAAUAUCCAAGAAAGAAUGAAUGAAAUACCAUAUUUUUGUUGAGAAUUAAGAGUGUGAUUUUAAUUUUGAUAUUGGAGUCUAAAGUGCCACGUUUAAAUAUUCUCUUUUAUAAAAUAAUAAAAAGAGGUUAAAAAUUAGGUUAGCAAUUUAGCCAUUUAGGGUUUAGCAAUUAAGGAUGAACAUAUUAUUGUUGUUGUUGUUAUUAUUAUUAUUAUUUAUAUGUUUACUAAUCCAAUCCAAUCCAAUUAUUAACGAAUUUGAAAAAAUUGAUUCAAUCAAGCCAUAAUAAUUCAUUCAACUCGUCUAAAUUGGAUUAGGUUGAAUUUGGUUUGCCACCCUUGUUUUGAGCAACAAACCUCAAUGUGAUUCCAUGAGCUCUUUGAUUGUUUAUAAAAUUGUUUAUGAAAGUGCAAAAUAAAUUAUUGUAUACAUUAAAAUGUGCAAAACAAUGAAUUAUAUGUACGAACGAGUGCAAACACAUUUUUCAAUAAGAAGUUAAAAGAUAUUUAUGCAUGAAAAAGCCUACGUUUGUAGUUAUUCUAAAUUUUAAAAACAAAAUUUACAUUUAGAUCCCUAAAAUUUACGUAUAAGUACAAAAGUUUCAAAUAUUGUCUAUUAUUUUUUUAACAUGCCUAUUCCUUGUGGAUAAUUCUAUCUCAUCACUAAUGUUGUUUCUUGCUUACAAUUUGUAUAGUGUCUCAAAAUAGACAAUAGGGGGAUUUUGAAUUUUUUAAGUCUCAAUAUAGUCUCUAAUCUUGUGAGAAAGAUUUUCUUUCAAUAAUUUGGAGGUAAACAUAACAUAACUUUUUGGACUAAAGCCUAACUCUGCUGGUUAUGGUGGUAUCCUUUUCAAGACCUGCGUCUUUAGAUUCGAGUUUUAUAGUGUGCAUGCGUAUUUAAUUAAUAAUUUUUUAAAACAAUACAUCAAAUAUUAAUAUCCAUGACAUAAUUUAGUUCUUAAUUUUUUUUUUAAAUACAUCAAAAACAUAAUUUUUUUAACAACUUAUAGGCAUGACAAAUUUCAAGAUAUAAAUAUCAGUCAAAAUAAGUGAAAGAAAUAAUGGUGCCAAUUCUAAUUUCUUAACUAAAUUAAUUAGUGCAUGAGCCCCGAAUACGACACGAGAGUUUGAUGGGCUAACAUGGCACAAGAACCUGAAUAAAUAAUUGAUUUAAGAAAUAAUUCAAUGAAAAAUAUAAUUGAUAAGAAUUCAGUAUUGAAAUGAGUUUUUUAUGAAACACUGAAUUAAUGAUUAUUAAGCAAGAACAAUAAAAAAUAAAUAUUAAUCAUUGAUAAGUUUCAACAAAAGCUUAACACAAUCCUCAAUCCUAAUUCAAAUUAUAAAUGUCAUUCAUAUAUUCAUUAUAAUCAACAACAAAGGUUAUAAAUGUUUAGAAAUUCUAGAGGGAAGGAAGCUAUCGCUGGGCAAUCAACAACUAAAUUUGAUGUAAUUGUGGCACGAGAUGGAAUAUGGAAACUACACCAUAAUUUCAAAUGCCGCCAUAGACAUUGACUUAUCUACAAUAACAAUGAUCUAAUUAAAAUAAAAAUAGAGUUUAUGGGCAUUUAUUAAAAUAAAAAUAGGAGUGAAGUAAAAACAUUUAGAUUUUAAUGUAUGUACGGAAAAAUUUAUCUUUAAAAAUACUUUCUUAAUGUGUGUGUGCAUAUUGAAAUACUCAAACCAAUUUUGGUUAUAUAUAAUUCAACAAAAUUUAAAAUAUGAAAAAUAUAAUGUAGUUAUAGUGGAUAAGCAAUAAGUGAGCACAAUAUAAUUAAUCAAAUACUAUGCUAUCAAAAGUUAAUUUUAGAAAUUCCAAAUCCAAUAGCUAACACAAUUCUUUAAAGAAAUAACAAGGGGCAUUGGGCAAGAGUAAUGAAUGCUUAGUGGGUGCAUUUGAUUGAUAGAUAUAUAAAGGGCCGAAACUUGAUAUUAUAUUACUUUUACAAAAUUUAAUCCAAUCACAUAUUUAAUGAAAACAAAAUGAGUUAGGAUUGUUUAUUUAGAACCCACAUUUUAAUAAGGCUUCAUUUGAUGUAGUUUUUCAAACAUUGAUUAUUUGAGUAAUUACAAAGUACAAUACGUACCAAGUUUGGUAACUUAAUUGACAUCUUCUCAUAUAACCUUCGAUCAAGUCGAUUCUGACCUGACGACUAAUUGGUACAUCACCGUUGUUCUCUAUACUCGCAUGCAUCCGAUCACAAAUCUCACUCCAAUUGUCGUCUUUCUUCGGCGUUUUAGCGCAUCCUUCUUGAAUUUCCCGCAUUUCGUUCCCUCCUGUUACAAGUCUCCGGUCAGGUCAGUUCACUUGACGAUUAAUUCGGCAAAUCUCGAAUCUCUUCUCUAUCCCUCUCGUUUUCUCGUGUCUCCUUUCAGUUUAAGUGAUUGAAUCAAUUUUAUCGCAGUCUUAAGAGAAAUUAAGUAAUGCUCUUGGAUUUAAAAUUUUUUUGCUUUCGACUUUAGAUCUCGAAAGUCAAACUCUGCUACGAAUCCAUAGAUUCUCAAUGUUUAUAAUCUUAUUUGUGUUUGACCAGGUAACUGGAUCGUGAAAUUCGUCGUUUUGUAUCAAUUCAAGCUUUCGCGAGCUCAUGGAAUCCCCUGGUGAGUUGUGGUGAAACGUUAUCGUUUCAAUUUUCGCUUAAUUCUUUAUUGCAUAUUUUUUUCUCUCUAAUAUUUCAGUUUAAUUUAGAAAAGAAAGAGGACCCAAAAAGAGAGAGAGAGAGAGAGAGACUCUACCAUACUCAAUUCCUUGCUCAUUCUGAUUUGGCCUGAAUGUUGGCAUUGACUAUUAUUUGUUUUCAUUUCGAUUUAAUUCUCAUUUAGACAGUCUUUUUUAACUAGCAAUAAUCUUUUUAAGGAAAAUGAUAAUAGGGAUUCUGCAAUAAUCUUUUUAAGGAAAAUGAUAAUAGGGAUUCUGCAAUAAUCUUUCUGCAUUGUUCAAGUUAGUAGACAAUGAAUAGGGUGUUUAUGUUUACCUCAUUUUGAACCCUGAGGGCUUCGUUGAGUAGUUGAUCCAACAUAUCCAGCACCGGUUGAUGUGAGAACAGGAUGCCAUUUAGAUAGGCUUAAACUGAUUUUGGAGGUUUGUAUUCAUUCUAUUGUAUGUCUUGCUUACAAAUUUUUUAUUUUUUAUUUUUAAUUUUGUAUAAUAUGCUCUUUGUUGGUAAAUCUCAUUUGACUUAGAAGAGAUAGUUUUAUCCCAACAGUGGGAUAAAUCAUUGAGAUGCAUGGCAGUGUGAAUAUAGUAGACAAAAUCAUUGAGACAGAUGGUGGUGUGAACAUAGUAAACUUUGUCAAACACAGCUAAGAUAAACAAAUUGUUUCAUUAGCCUUUAUCUUAUCUGCUGUGAUGAUUCAAAUUAAUGCUGUUUGGUAGGUUGCAAAAAACGAAAUGAGCUGACUGUUCAUAUUAUUUAGUCAGAUCUAUUGCAAUAAGUUGAAGUUCACUGUCACAUGGGUUGGGAGUAGCGUGGGCUGUGAGUAGUAGAAUGGAUUUAUGGAGUUGAUACAAGUGCCCAUAAUCUAUCAUGUCAUUCUAGGAUUAAAUGGAUUGCACAUUACUGUAAAGAUGGAGGUUAAAUUUAUAUAAUUCGGAUUGAUUGUAAAAUGGGAGGCAGAGAUGAGUUAGAAAAAAAAUGACCUGUGUCCUUUUUGAGCUGUUUCUAAAUCUCCCUGGUGUGCUUCAUGCUUAACACGUGUCUGUCCAAAUAAUUUUGCUUAACCUGUGCUUGUCUACUUCUUGUGCUAUUCUGUGCCUGGUCCUGAGCUGUGUUGGUAGAUUGACAUAAUUUUGCUCUGCUAAAUGUAUAACUUAUUAAUCAGAGUCCUGUUAUUAUGGUUUGACACUACUGACAUGUUGUGUUGGUAUUUAUUUGUACUUCCCUUGGUUGAAUUAUUUGCUGUCUCCAUGCCAUUCGAUAUGGUGCUACUUGGUUUUUGAUCAUCCAUGACGCUAUAUAUAUGUAAAGGAUGAAUUGAUUGUUUUGGCUUGUAUUCUCACAUUUUAUGAUUGAUCGAUGGAAAGGUCUUCAUGUAUUAAAUUCAACCUCACAAGCGUAAGAUUGACAGAUUGUGGGAAAAUUUUCAGGAAAAGAAACUAGACUUCAUGGAAGCAAUGAAGCUUGAAAUUGAACGUCUGCAGCUGCAUCUUUCUGCAGCUGAAAGGGAUAGAGCUUUAUUGUCAAUUGAAACUGAUCCUGCCUCUAUAAAUCCAAAUGUAUUGCUUGAUGAAUCUUACAUGGGAAGACUGUCGAGUAGCAACCACUCUUGCAUUACUUGGCCAAACUUCCCUAGAAGACAAAAUUGUUGGUGCAAUUGGCCUUGAGAAUAGUGAUGAUAGUGUUUUAGACUUCUGGAAUAUUACUAGAAUCGGAGAGAGUUGUUCUGGUGGCGGGUGCAAGGUUUGUGCAGAAACUAAGGUGCCUGCUCUUGCUUCCUCAACUGCAACAUCUGUUGGAGCUUCACAAUCCCCUUUGUUGUGUUCUCAAUGUGAAAGAAAAGUUUGCAAAGUUUGUUGUGCAGGAAGAGGAGCUCUACUGUUUUCAAAUUAUAAAUCAAGGGAUGUGACCAACUACAAUGGCUUCUCAAGUCAGAGUGGAUGAAGCCAUGGAAGCCAAGUUGAUGUAUCUACCAGUCGUUCACUAACACUGGAUGGCGUUAUCUGUAAACACUGCUGCCAUGAGAUUGUGCCUGAUGCAUUGAUGUUGGACCAUGUUAGGGUCUUGAUUAGCUUGCGAAGAAGUUCCUGUGCAGACAACGCAGUCAUACAAUGCUUUGAAUGAGGUUGUUGGAUCCUGCUUAAAGGAUAGUGUUUCUGAAAGGAUUCAGUCUUCCGAUAACGUGCAAGCUGCUGAAGUCCUUCACCAAUUAUGUGGUGGACAGGAAUCACUUGCUGAAUUUCCAUUUGCUAGCUGUUUGCACUAGGUAUGUUCUUGGUUUGUAUUCAGUUCUCAUCAUGUUAUGUUUUCCUUUUAAAUUUCUUUUCUUGAUUAAAAUUUUUAGAAAUAUGUUUUAGUAUUUGUUCUUAUGAUAUAUGCCCAGAACAUUCAUCCCACUUAUCCAUGAGAAUCCUUGUCUGGUUUGAUUUUCAAUUGAGACAUUUUUGGGAACCCUGAGCAGGUUCCAUAUGCUAAUAAUCUUUGAGGUAAGGUGUUGUAGGAUGCCUUGAGAAGCUAAAAACCUAUUACAAGGAAAAGCUCUUGCAUUGUUUUGUGGAAUCUGUGUUGUGAAAAUAGGUAGAGAAAAAGUUUAUGGAAUAAUUCUCUUAUUUCAUAUGUUCAUGAGACUGUACACAGUCUUUAUAUAGGGAUACAAGAGACUAAGAAAGGAAAGAAAAAAUUAAAGCAGAAUAUUACACACUGAUUUCUAGGAAGCAAUAACUCUAUAUUUACACCAAAUAUACACCUAAAUAUAUAAGGAAAACCAAAUCAAUUUGAUUUGGUCAACCUUUCAACACUCCCCCUCAAGCUGGUCUAAAAAUGUCUUUCAUGGCCAGCUUGCAAACCAAUUUCUCAAAAUGUUUCUUAGGUAGUCCCUUGGUGAGUAUAUCAGCAAUCUGCUCAUUUGUAGGAAUGUAGGGCAUGCAGACCAAACCACUGUCCAGUUUUUCUUUUAUGAAAUGUUUGUCCACUUCAACAUGUUUAGUUCGGUUGUGGAGUACUGGAUUAUGUGCUAUUGCAAUGGCAGAUUUGUUGUCACAAUAUACUUUCAUAGGUAGAGAAUUAUUUGCCUUAAGUUCUUCAAGAACUUUUUUGAUCCAAAAAACCUCACAAAUUCCUAGAGCUACUGCUCUAUAUUCUGCCUCUGCACUACUUCUUGCUACCACAGUUUGUUUCUUGCUGCGCUAAGUGACCAAAUUUCCUCCGACAAAGGUGCAGUAACCCGAAGUGGAUCUUCUAUCGGUUACACUACCAGCCCAGUCAGCAUCAGUGUAGACUUCUACUUGUAGGUGCCCGUUUUUUCUAAACAAAAGACCUUUACCCGGAGAUCCUUUUAAGUAUCUAAGGAUUCUAUAUACAGUUUCAAAGUGUUCUGGUCCUGGAGCAUGCAUAAACUGGCUGACUAAGCUCACUGCAAAGGCUAUGUCCGGGCGUGUAUGUGAAAGGUAGAUUAAUCUACCUACAAGGCGUUGGUACCGAUCUAUGUUGGUCACAUCUUCAAUAUUAGCUGGCUGUAAUUUCAUAUUAGGAUCUAUGGGUGUCUCGGCUGCUUUACAUCCGAGUAAACCUGUCUCUUCAAGCAAAUCAAGAACAUACUUGCGUUGAGACACAACAAUCCCAUCUUUUGAUCUAGCAAACUCCAUGCCCAAAAAAUACUUCAGGUUGCCUAAGUCUUUGAUUUCAAAGUCACGUGCAAGCACUUUCUUUAAUCUGCAAAUCUCAACUAAGUCAUCACCAGUCAAAAUUAUAUCAUCUACAUAUACAAUUAACACGACUAAUUUCCCUUCAAUAGAAUGUUUGUAAAACAUUGUAUGAUCUGCCUGACUUUGGGAGUAGCCGUGUCCCUUUAUAACAUUACCAAAGCGUUCAAACCAUGCUCUAGGAGACUGUUUGAGCCCAUACAAAGACUUAUGUAGUUUACACACUUUACUGUUGCCAUGAUUUCCCUCAAAACCUAGUGGUAAAUCCAUAAAGACUUCUUCUUCUAGCUCCCCAUUCAGAAAAGCAUUUUUAACAUCUAACUGGUAUAGAUUCCAAUCAGAAUGUACAGCCAAUGAGAUAAGGACCCGGAUGGAAUUUAUCUUUGCAACGGGGGCAAAAGUUUCUUGAUAAUCAAUUCCGUAGGUUUGAGUGAAUCCUUUUGCUACAAGCCUUGCCUUAUAUCUCUCAACACUCCCAUCAGCAUUACAUUUAAGUGUAAACACCCACUUUCAACCCACAGUUUUCUUUUCUUUUGGUAAAUCCACAAUCUCCCACGUACCAUUCUUCUUUAGAGCAUUCAUUUCCUCUAAAACUGCUAACUUCCAAUCUGGGUGGUCUAGGGCUUCUUUUAUGGUUUUAGGAAUUGGUAUUUGAGAGAUUUUUGUGGUAAAGGCUCUUUGUUUAUUGGACAACUUUUCAUAGGAAACAUAUCUAGCAAUGGGGUGCUUAGUACAGGUUCGGGUUCCUUUCCUAUGUGCUAUGGGUAAGUCAAGAUCAGGAAAAAAAGUGCUGAAAUGUUUAGGAGAAGAAAUGUUACCUGAAUUUUCUGAGGAAUCAGUGCUUGGAGGCAACGAUUGAGGCUGUAUCGAGUUUAUGAGAGGGUCUUUACUGUUGUGAUGAUACUUUCGAGUAUAAACACGCAGCUCUGGUGGUGGAAUUUUAUCUUGUAGUAUUUCUCCCCCUGUCUCUGGUACAUUAACACUUGGUUCCUGUAGUUCAAGGUUUCCUAGGUUUUCAUUAUUAGAAAUAUCAGUUUUUUGAGUUUGAGUUGGAGUGCCCAGAUCAGGUAAAAACUGAUUAGGCAUAGGUGUAGAAGUAUGCCAAAAAUGAUCUUCACUAUUUUCUUUCUCCCCCUGAAGAGAAUUUUGGCCAAAAAAAGGUUGAUUUUCGAGAAAUAUAACAUCCAUACUGACAUGGAAUUUCUUUGUUUGAGGAUUGAAACAUUUGUAACCUUUUUUAUUAGGUGCAUAGCCCAAGAAAACACAUUUUUCAGAUCUAGGAUCCAAUUUAGAUCUAAGAUGGUUAGGAACAUGAACAAAUACAGUGCACCCAAAGACUCUUAACUGAAUAUUGGAGGUAAUCCUACUAGAAGGAUAUAUAAGUGUGAAGUAUUCUAAAGGUGAUUGAUACUUUAAAACACGGGUAGGCAUCCUAUUAAUCAAAUAACAUGCUGUUAAAACAGCAUCACCCCACAAAUAUUUAGGAACAUGCAUAGAGAGCAUGAUAGCCGACUAACUUCAAGUAAAUGGCGGUUUUUUCGUUCCGCAAUUCCAUUUUGUUGUGGAGUAUCACGACAAGUGGAUGUGUGAAUUAUACCCUUUUCCUUACAAAACACCUCUAGAUAAUUAUUAAAAUAUUCAGUACCAUUAUCUGUAUGGAGUAGACUUAUUUUUGUUUGAAAUUGAUUUUCAACCAUGUUAUAAAAAUCUUUGAAUAACCCCUCAACUUCAGAUUUUUCUCUCAUUAAAUAAACCCAACAAAGCCGAGUAUGAUCAUCUAUGAAUGUUACAAACCAUUUUUUUCCAGUUAAAGUGUUGAUUUUUGAGGGUCCCCAAACAUCACUAUGAAUUAAAUAAAAAGGUUUUGAGGCACGAUAAAUAAGUGCUUUAUAUGAAACUCGAUGACUUUUAGAUAAAAAACAACUUUCACACUGAAAAGUAGUACAAUCAACAUUUUUAAAUAAAUUUGGAAACAAAUAUUUCAAAUAAGGAAAGCUAGGGUGUCCUAGUCUAAGGUGCCAAAGCAUUAUUUGAUCCCUAGCAGAGUUUGAACUAAUACUACUGCUCAAACCUUGAGUUUGUUUAUUCCUUGAUAAGUAGUCAUCAAAAUAGUAAAGACCUUCUCGCAAACUAGCACUGCCAAUCAUCGUCCCCAAGUCCCUGUCCUGAAAUUCACAAUGGGAGUCAAAAAAGACAGCACAACAAUUAGAAUCUUUGGUUAAUUUACUGACAGAUAACAGAUUGCAAGAAAGUUUAGGGACAUGUAGCACAUUUUUAAGCUCAAUGGUUCCAGAGAUUUUUAUUGAUCCUUUUCCAGCUAUGGAAGAUAAGCUUCCAUCAGCAACUCUUACCUUUUUGUUACCAGGGCAAGGAUAAUAGGAAUCAAAUAAACUAGAAAUGCUAGUCAUAUGAUCAGAAGCACCCGAAUCAAUAAUCCAUGGUGCAGUAGUUGAGUGGCUAAAUAGAGCAUUAAUAAUACUACCUGUUUGGGCUAGUGAACCACUAGGAGUACUAGGUGGAGGAUUAGAAGUCAGCAGCUUUAUGAGAUGGUCAAUUUGCUCCUUGCUGAGAUUUUUUUCUAGAUUCUCCACUUCAUUGGCAGACGCACGGCUAUGCUUGCUGUUUUUCCAAUCUGCAGGCUUUCCGUGGAGUUUCCAGCAAGCCUCCCGAGUAUGGCGUGGUUUAUUACAGUAAUCACACCAUACUCGAGGUUUUUGUUGCUGUUGAGUGAUGGAGCGGGUAGCAUUAUCUGCUGUAACAAGGGCAGAUUUUUCCACAGAGACAACGGAGUUCUUUUUUCCCAACAUAACACCUCGACGACUUUCUUCUCUCCUUACUUAAGAGAAAACAUCCUCAAGAGUAGGAAGUGGCUUUCUCCCAAUAAUUCUUCCUCUUACCUCAUCAAAUUCAACAUUGAGCCCAGCCAGGAACUUGAAGAUUCGCUCAUUAUUGACAGUUUGUUUGUGGUGUUUAAAAUCUUCCAUGCUCUCCCACUCGUAGUCGUUGAAUAAGUCCAGAUCUUGCCACAAUCUCUUUAGAGUAUUGAAGUAUUUUGUUAUACUAUAAUCUCCUUGACGGAUAUCUCCAAGAGCAAGCUGCAACUCAUAGAUCUGGGACUGAUUUCCAUAGUCAGAGUACAUCUGACUCACAUUAUCCCAGAGUUCUUUUGCAGUAGAGUAGCACAUAUAAUUUGCACCAAUGUCUUCAUCCAUGGAGUUGACUAACCAUGCCAUAAUCAUGGAGUUUUCGGCAUCCCAAACACCAUAAGAGGGAUCAGAUAUUUCAGGAGCCUUAACAUCUCCGGUAAGAUAACCAAUCUUCCCUCUUCCCCUAAUAUACAUUCUAACCGACUGAGACCAUCUUUGAAAAUUUCCUUCAUUCAGCCGGAUAGUUGUAAUCUGGACAGAAUGAGAUUCAGAAUGGGAAAUUUUUGGUUCUAGUCUUUUUGAGGUGACUGUGGUUUCAGAAGAUUGGUCAGACAUGGUAGGGAAGAGAUCAGAAAGAAAGGGAGCCUAGCUCUGAUACCAUGUGAAAAUAGGUAGAGAAAAAGUUUAUGGAAUAAUUCUCUUAUUUCAUAUGUUCAUGAGACUGUACACAGUCUUUAUAUAGGGAUACAAGAGACUAAGAAAGGAAAGAAAAAAUUAAAGCAGAAUAUUACACAUUGAUUUUUAGGAAGCAAUAACUCUAUAUUUACACCAAAUAUACACCUAAAUAUAUAAGGAAAACCAAAUCAAUUUGAUUUGGUCAACCUUUCAACAUGUGUGCUAGCAAGUCAUGUCUCUAAUAAUUUCAUAGUUUGCUUGAUUGGAAUUUUUUAUCUUGAUAUGGAUUGUUUAUUCUAGAUUCCUUGGUGCUGUAGGUUGAAACAGCAAAAGAUUCAGCACCGAUUUUGUCACUGCUUGCUCCAUUAAAUUCUGGAUCAAGGCACUCAUAUUGGAGAGCUCCACCUUGUACUACUUCUGUUGAAUUUGUUAUUGUUCUCUGUUCUGUUUCUGAUGUCAGUGGGGUUAUCUUGCUUGUUAGUCCUUGCGGCUAUUCUGUGGGUGACACUCCGAUGGUAAGUGCCAUAUUUAUUCCCUUAUUUCCUUGUUGUUCAAUAAAUUUGGUGAUAAGCCAAGUGGCCUUAAUAAUGAAGCCCAGUACCAGGGGUGGUGGGUAAUCGAUAUUCAACUUGUGAAUAUUCCUAAGCAAGCACUGAAUCAACAUAGACCUCGGCAAAAGUUCUCCAUGCUAUUAUAACGAAAGUCAUAUUUUGAAAUGAUUAAAAGAGUCCCUGUGUAGUGCUAUUUCCAAAGAAAUUGCAGCUGGAGGUUUAGUUUCAUGUAGGUUAGUUUCCGAUAAUAAACUUUCCAUUUCAUUAAUUGCUGAUGAAAAAACCAAGUAAGAACAGUUUUGUUGCUCGUCAUUUAUGUAUAUUUUGGUAAACUGUAAUUUUAAAUUCUCAACGAUCUUCCCUUUGUAGGUAAGAAGAUGGUCCACUCACUUGAUAUUUAUGAUUGUAGAUCAGGUUUCUAUUGGUUUGCCUUUAUCAUUCGGAACCCAAGUUUGAUAUUAACAGAGAUCACGUCAAUAAUAUCCUAUUUGGGUAGAUGUGGGUGAGGAUUUAAAAUCAAAUUUGAAAUUGAGGGCAAAGAAGAGAAAAGAAACCGCAAUAAUUAAACAAAAUAUUAGGAACUAUUCUGAUGAGUUUUAAUCUCGAGAGGAACAAUUUUCAAAUGCAAAAUUUAACUGCUAGAGAAAUUGUAGCUUUUUGUCAUUAGUUAAGAGGAAAGAGAAUAAGAACUAUCUGGCCCUUUCCUUCAUGAAUGUGUGUUGAGGUUGCUGUAUUAUUUAGUCAGUAUUUGUAAUUUUCUUCCCUGCAGUGCUCUCUGCCUCCUGAAUUUGCUACUGAGUCCAUAUUUUUCUUUGAGCUGUUGCUUCCUAUUGCUGUUACAGGUACAAAUCUGGGCAAGCAAUAAGAUACACCGGGAGGACAGGUCAUCAAUGGGAAAAUGGGAUGUCCAAUCCCUCAUCACAUCUUCUUCAGAUUUGUAUGGUCCAGAAAAGUCUGCUAGUGUUGAAAAAUUACCUAGGCAUGUAAAAUUUACUUUUAAGAAUCCUGUUAGGUGCCGCAUUGUUUGGAUCACAUUACGUCUUCAGAGACCUGGUUCGGCUUCAGUUAAUUUCGGGAAUGACUUCAGUCUUUUGUCUCUUGAUGAAGAUGAAAACCCCUUUGCACAAGUAGACAGACGUGCUUCAUUUGGAGGAGCAGUUGAAAAUGAACCAUGUAUUCAUGCCAAAAGAAUUCUUGUAGUCGGAAGCCCAGUAAAAAGGGAGGGGCUUACCACAUCACAGAGCUCUGAGCAGCUAAGUAUUAGAAACUGGUUGGAUAGAGCUCCACAAAUGAGUAGAUUCAAGGUAUUAGUUGCUUUCACUCUUUGUUCAUUCAUAAUUCCAGCUUUCUGCUUGAUGCCUUGCCUCUGAUAAACCUCUUUUUUCUCUUCAGGUCCCAAUUGAGGCCGAGAGAUUGAUGGACUACGAUCUCGUCUUGGAACAGUAUCUACCUCCAGCGUCACCUUCGCUUGCCGGAUUCCGUCUAGAUGCUUUCAGUGCAAUAAAACCUAGGGUUACCCAUUCACCUUCCUCAGAUUCAGAUAUCUGGGACAAAUCAGUAACAUUUUUAGAAGACAGGUACAUCUCUCAAGCUGUGUUGUAUUUACAAGUAUCCGCACUCCAGGAACCACAUAACAUGGUAACUAUUGCGGAAUAUCGACUGCCGGAGGCUAGAGCCGGAACGCCAAUGUACUUUGAUUUCCCACGACCGAUACAGUCCCGACGAGUUUCAUUCAAGCUUCUUGGAGAUGUUACAGCAUUUGCAGAUGAACCUUCAGAACAAGAUGAUUCAGGAUUGAGAGCUCCACUUGUGGCCACAGGUUUGUCUUUGUCAAACAGAAUCAAGUUAUAUUAUUAUUGUGAUCCUUAUGAGCUCGGAAAAUGGGCAAGCCUUUCUGGAGUUUGAUCGUUAUUUAUAUGUCAGAGAAAGGGUUUUGGGUUUGAUUUUGAUUUUGAUUUGUAAUUUUUGUCAGUUUAUUGAAAUUUUUUGUUGUAUAAAAGCAGAAUGUAAAGGUAUAAAAAUUCAUUGAUGCUGCAAUGUCUGUGCUUUUGAGAAAGAAAGAAUUCUAUGGCUUUUCUAUGCCAUUGGAUUUUCCACUGCCUGUAAACUUGGGCUGUCGAAUGCUCUGUGAACCUUAAGGGCUAUAAAGUAAUUUUCAAGACUGAAGGAUUUAUUAAUCGAGUUCAAAAGAUUGCAAGUUGGUGAGCGUUGGCAUUUAAAAAAUCAAUUGUUAUUCUCUCAAUAAUCUCUGUCUUCUGCCGACACCCCAUGCUCAGAAACCCAUUGUUCCGACGGACGUGUAACACUUCUAGAAAUUGUUUUGAUCUCUCCUCGUGAAGUGUUUUCUUUUUCGAGUGAAGGUGGUUUUCUACUUGCAUACGUCGGGGGUCUUAUGAUAUGUAAUGUGUGAAAUUUCUUUCUCAUUUUACCAUAAAGAAAAAUGUUGUAAUAAUCUAAAGCUCGAGUCUUAAAUUAUCUUAAAUUUAUAUUUAGAGUGGAGCUAUUCGCAAUCCUACAUUAAAAUUACAAAUAAAAAUAAUUGAAAAUUAAACACUUAUAGAUUUUUUUUACAACAAAUUAUUUAAUUCAUAAUCAAUCCUUUAAAAAAAAAAAUCCAUAUGUUACUUGCUAUCUAACUAAAAUAAAUUUUACAAAUUUAGAAUAAUCUAUUGAUUUCUUUUGAUUUCUUAUUAAUUAAAUAUUUUUAUACAUAAAAUUGCUUUGAAAUUAUAAUUUGAAAUAUGUGUUAUUUCAGCCAAUGAUUAACACUAAAAAACUUAUCACCCAUAUAACUUUUUAAUUUGUGUGUAGGGUAAUAAUAAAAUCAAAAAUAAUUAAAAAAAUAGUACAAUAAUGAGUUUUAACAAUAAAACAAAUCAAAUGAAAAUUGAAAAUUUAGAAAAAAUGUAUCUAAAAAAGGGAACGUUUUUUAAAAUAAAAUGAAUAUAACUAAAAAGGGGUUUUAUGAGAAGAGCAGAGGGGUGCCAAUAGUCCAACUUGUAAUUAAGAAUCUCCCAUUAUAUUGUCAACCAAAAAGACACUUGAAUAAGAAGAAGAAUUUAUCAGUUUGAUUUUAUUUAUAGAUCCAACAUUUCUCAUAUCCUAAACGCCUUUCCGUAUCAAAUUAAAACAGUAGUCGCAAAAUCGUAGUAUUAAAAUCGUAGUGCACAUUCAAUUAACCAACUAAUAGUCUUUGGUAUAAGAUUUUAUAUUAGCUAGCCAAGUAGGUUGUCCAUCCCACUCAGACAUGAACGAAAGCUAAAUUCAUCAAAUGGUGUUAUACUAUUAAAUAUUUUUAUAUUUAAAAUUACUUUGAAAUUAUAAUUUCAAAUUAAAAUAGUAGUAGCAAAAUCGUAGUGCACAUUCAAUUAACCAACUAAUAGUCUAAGAAGCAAAGAGAGGAUUACAAGUUCACAACACCAUUACAAAGGAUUCAAAAUUCCCACACGAAAACAUCAAUGUACAGAUUAUAAACAAUCCGAAUUGGACACAAGAAAAAGCCCUUCAAUGGAUUGCUUUCCUUCCCAAUGCUAUAUACUGUGCAAACUCCGCACUGGCCAAGAAAAUGUUUUCAAUUUAGUGUAUUUUCAAAUUGCUUAUUUUCUCAUAAUAUAAAAAAUAAAAAAGAAUCCUUACAUGUUUCAUCAGCAUGAUUAAAAUCAAAGAAGAAAGCGAAGACGUAAUGUCUCUGACAUAAUAAAAUUACAAAAAUUUCAAGGAAAAAAAAAAGGUUAAAACAUGUAAUCUUCAGAAGCAUAUAAUAAAAGAACACUUCCACAAAUUACUACAAUUUCAUGCAGUAGAGAUUGAAGAGUUGAAUUCCACUAAUUUUAAUAAUGAAAACAACAACAGAGGAUUAACUGAUGCUUUGACUUAUUAGCAGGUUGCUUUGACUUAUUAGUUCUGCAGCUAAGUUAAAUAAAAUAAGCUAUUUUCAAAAGCAAAAUGGAAUACAUAGAUAAAAACAUCAUCUUAAACAAAUCACAAUCUAGAAUUAGAGCAUUUUCGACAUACCUAAGGAACACGAAUACGUGAAAACGGGUGAUUUAUUUGUUAAGGAGUGUUGAUUUGGUCGUCUCUGCAAAUUCUUUAGGGACUCGGUUCCAAUUCCUCUUCAUCAAAACUGUAAUAUAAUUCCCCUUCAUCAGAACUCGAAUCGAUGCAAUAUAAUUCCCCUUCAUCAGAACUCGAAUCAAAUUCACUUGCAGCAGUUCCACUCGCGCUUGGCAAAUCAUCCAAUUUCCAAACUUCGGUAACAAAAUUGAGAGUAAAAGUGUUGGCUUUGAUCUCGCUGGGAUUUGCAUAUACUGGACAUACUCCGCAACGUUUUAUCUUCUGACCCUUUUGGACCUUUAUUAUGUUUCGGUGACACUCAUUGAAGAACUUAAAUGUGGCAGUUGAAUGAUGGUCACCAUCAGGAAAGCCAACAUUCAAGCAAGGUUUAAAACCAAGUAUGACAUGAUCUGAAUCAUGGGGGUCUUGAAUUGAGUGCAAAUUGUAACCCAGAUGAACAUGUUUGGUUUCAGAGAGAGUCUUUAUUUCUAAGUCGGAUCGACAGUAAACGUAAAAAUAACGAAAACGAUCAGAAUAAAGUUGCUUAAAAUCAAGAACAGCACAAAAAGCAAACCCGAUUAAGUUUCUGCAAAAAGAGUGCGGUGGCAGUUGAAUACGUAUCGAAGAUCCUGAACUUUGAUUGCUGAACCAGUCAGGAAUUUCGCUCCCAGGUAAAACAAUUUGGGAUCCCCUGAGUUCAGAAAGUUUCUGCGAAACGACAUUUAAAAAAAGAAAAUUGUAAAAUGAAAACCAUGAUUUCAGAUAUAACAAAGAGGGACAGAGUAAACAAGAGAGGGAAUUUGAUACCUCGUUGUAUGCAUUUUCAUAGCCCAGUCUCAGUGAUGCUGCAAUUGCCAUACGUAGUGAAUCUGCCAAAAUCUUGUUGUUUGCUUUUCCAUCAAGUUUCAAGCAGUUAGUAAACUCAAAACAAAUUGGUUGUGGCGUCACAUAUUCCGGAUGCCAUUCACGAAGGUCAGGAGAGGGUUUGGAUAGCUUUUCGAGUACGGAUGCAUCUAGUUCUUGUACACAUGACGGAAUCUCUGGCAAAGAUUGAAGCCGGUUGCAGUUCAUUGCUUUUAGUGACUGUAGACACAAUGGAAGUUCUGGUAAUGACCGAAGCAUGUUACAAUCCUCCAAGUGAAGAGUUUCUAGACCCAAUGGAAGUGCUGGUAAUGACUGAAGCAUGUUACAACGCCUCAAGUAAAGAGAUUUUAGACACAAUGGAAGUUCUGGUAAUGACUGAAGUAUCUUACAAUCCCUCAAUUCAAGAUAUUUUAGACACAAUGGAAGUUCUGGUAAUGACUGAAGCAUAUUACAAUCCUCCAAGUUAAGAUAACUUAGCCACGACAGUUGCUUGAUACUUGCAGGUAAACUCUCAAAGUUAUUUCCACUUAAAUUGCCAAUGUUAUCCGGCAACUUGUCAAGUAUAGAGCAACCACUUACGGACAAAAAUGAAAGCCCCGGUAGAUUUUCAAAUGGCGAUGGCAGCUCUGUAAUUGCCGUCCAGACUAAAUAGAUGCAAUUUAAAUGUUCCAUUUUCUCCAAGAUUUCUGGGAAACGCUCAAGGUUCAAGCAGCCAAAAAGAAAAAGAUCAACCAAAGAUCUCAAUUUACAGAACCUAGUUGAAAUCCUCUUCAGCCGUUUGCAAUGCCCCAAAUCCAACACUUCAAGAUCAGUUAGGCACUCUAUUGAUGAUGGAACUUCUUCUAUUGCAGACUGGCCUAAGGAUAGCUCUGUGAUUUUCCCAGAAAUCCGUGGAAACUCUUUGAGAUUAACACAAUAGGAGAAAUUAAUAGUUACUGGACAAACAAAAUGAAGAUUGCUUGGAAAAGACCUAAGACUUUUGCAGCCCUCAAAAGACAACGCACUGAGAUACUUGAAAUUCUGGAUAGAUGAGGGAACACAAGCCAAGUUUGUAUAAUCCAAAAGAUUUGUUUCAACAUUUGGGGUUUCUAAUGGGCCUGGCAUCUUAAUGAAAUGUCGAGAAUGAUUGAGGUUAAUAGAUUUUAACUUGAAAGCUUCCUGCAAUAACAGAUAUAUAAAGACUAUAUUAAUUAAAAAGCAACAUUGAAUUCAACAAUUAAUUGCACGUAUGUUUAAAGAAAGAAAAAAAUUAAUGUUUUAGUUUUAGUACAAAACUUACCUUUUCUCCUUCCCAAAGUUGCUCAACUUUACUAAAACGCAAAUUCAGUUCAACAAGGUUCAUUGGCUUGAAAUUUGAUGGCAGUGUCCUUAAUGGAUAUGUGUCCCAAUGAAGAUAUCUCAAUUUUUUAGGAAGAUAAUCUAGGCCAUUUGGAAGCUGCACUUUAGAGUAUGAAAGUUGCUCUUCAAUGCUCAUACUUAGAAACCUUUCAAUCUCAGGUACAUAAAAUUUGAGCAAUCUUAGAUUAGACAUUUUUGUGAAGGCUCCUGGGUCUAAAUUGAUGCCUUUUAUUUUGGACAAAUCCAGAAAUAUGCCUUCAAUUGCAUCGGUCCCCUUAUUAAAAAAAAAAAAAACAAAGAAUGAGUAACCCUAAAACAGAAAAGAAACAUUCGUAAACUUUAUUAACUAAGAGCUUCUUAAACAAAAACAAAUUCUGCAAUCUUUGAUUUUAUUUUUUUAAUAUAUUAAAUAUCUAUAUACGAGAAAAGAAAAUUUUGGGGACCAUUGCAAAAUUAAACUAACCGAAAAAAAAUUCAAAAUUUCUCUAAUUUACAAACCUGUUAUCUUAAUAACUAGAAGUUGAGAAGACAAGGCCUAUUUGAUUGGUAUAAGAUUUCGAUUUGUUUUUUAGUCCAUAGAAUCCAAAAUGUUAGUUCAAAAUUAGGGAAAAAAAAUGAAAGUUAUUUUUUUUCCACUAGUUGUAAUUGUUUCCAAGUCAAAUUGAGAUACGACCCUUUUCGAAAGGAUUUAAUCAUCUUAUAGCCUCCUUAAGAUACAUUUAAGCUAAAAGGAGUGAUUGGAGGCAGAACUAGGUGGGCCAAUCAGUCCCUUUUAUUAGUGACUGUUGCUUAAAAAAAAUUAUACUCUAAAACACACUUACUUUUUUGAAAAAAAAUAUAAUUAUAUUGAAGUAGAACCAGGUGGGCCAAUCCUCAUGGCACUCACUUUGUUCUGACACUCUUCACUAAAUUUGAAGAAAAAUAAAAUUAUACUCUUCACACUCUUAUUCAACAUUCCAAAAUUGAUAAAAUCUAGAGUUUUCUUUAAAAAUUUAAAAUUUGAAGACUUGUUCUCUUGACAUCCUCAGUCAUUAAUUUCACCUAAUUAUGGUUUUUAUGAUUUUGGUUGUUUUGUUCAUAAAACAAUUUUACUAAAGGAUGUUCUCGUAAUAAUAAAAAUUAUAAAAAAAACAUGGGUGUGCUGGUAUGGUUGGGAAAAUACGAGUACAGAACUCCAAACAAAUAAAAGAUUUAUAUAAAAAAAAAUGGAGGAUUCUUACCAUAUUAUGCUUUAGUACGCGGCGGAUUUCCUUAGGAUCCCACAACCUACUACGUCUGCCUGGCACUUCCUCAGAUUCUUGGCGAACAGUCUCUUGGCCCAUUUCUUGCAAUAAAUCAUGCAUUUGCAAGCGGUUAUCUGACACAGUUAUGAGUGACUUGUCGACGAGGACAUCCAGUCUGUGAGACCCAGAAUCAUCAAGUAUCCUUAACACAAAAUCUUUAUCCUCUCCCUCAAGGAAACACGCAAUAUCUAGAAACAUACUCUUCACCCUGGGCGUUAAUUCUUUAAAACUAAUCUUUAAUGUAUCAUAAAUACCAUGAAUAUCAGAUUCACAAAUCCGAUUUAAGUCGUGCAAUACAUUUUCCCAAUGGCUUUUCCUCUUGAGAUACAGGGAGGAACCCAACACUUUAAGAACUAAUGGAUUGCCAUCAGCAUACUCUACAACUCUCCACGAGUCACGUUUGAAAUCUUCAGGACGAUGCUUUUCUUUAAAAGCGAAGUUACAAAAGUGCUCGAAAGCCUCAUCAAAUUUCAAUCCAUUGACCCUAUAUAUUUUCUCCACUCCAAAUUUUUCGAGGACUCGUUUAUCCCUGGUGGUUACAACAAUUCUACUUCCUGGACCAUAUUGAUCAAGCCCUCCAAUCAAACCCUCUAAUUGUUCAUCUUUAUUCACAUCAUCGAGUACAAUCAACACCUUCAUGCGUCGGACCCUCCCUUUAGUAAAUUGUGGAAUAUUGGGACCAGCUACUUCAAGUUUUUCACUUAAUAUUGUCGAAAGCAUUUCCUUUUGUAGGUCUUCUAGGCCACCCUCUGUUUCUGAUUUUCUCCUAACAUUUUUUGCAAAGUAUUUACCAUCAAACUCACCAGCGAAUUGAUCGAAAAUAGCUUCAGCAAGGGUAGUUUUGCCUAUACCGCCCAUACCCCAAAUUCCAACAAUUUGGACAGUAUCCGACAAAUCCAUACACAAAAAUGGUUUAAUCUGCUCAAUUCGUGAAUUUAAUCCAACUAGGCCGUUGGAUGAGUCCGUUGAGACUGUUAUUUUUUCCAACUUCUUCAAAACAUCUUCGACAAUUUUGUUUACAAGUUGCGCAUCAAGCCUAAUAUGAAGGUGCAAAGAUGCAAAAACAUUGAGUCAAAUCGGGCCAAGACAGAAACAGAGAAAAGAUGAAUUAGGAAAGAGAGUUACCUGAAUUUCGUGGAUUCAUGGCCGGCUAGAUGGGAUGUUUCUGUCAGUGCAUCCCUCCACUUCUGAACCAUUUCUUGUUUAUCUUUGAACUGUUUUUUGAGCUCAUCAAAACGGUCUCCAAAUGUUCCGUUUUGAUGCCGCACAUCAGAUGGACUUACUCCAUAGAAGAAUGGAAUAAUAAUUUGGCCGUUUGUGUUCUUGCAUUCAAGAAUCUUGACAAGUUCAUUCAGGCACCAUUUUGAAGAAGCGUAGUCCUUCGAGAAAAUGACCACCGAAAUUUUUGAACCUUGGAUUGCGUUCAAAAGGGCGGGUGAAAUCUCAUCUCCUCGCCUAAGCCCUUCAUCAUCAAUAAAUGUUUUGAUUUUCUUUCCUUCAUACAAUUUAUCAUAGAGAUAGCAAGUAAAGCUCUUACGAGUGUCCUCCCCUCUAAAGUUGAGGAAGACUUCAUAAUUGGCACAAGAAGAAGAGGAAGCCAUGAAGGAAAUUUUAGAAAAUUGGUGACAGAAACAGAGAAUUAAUCUUGAGAGUUGAGAGAGGAGAUGUAAGAAUGAACAUGUGCGAAGAUUCUUGCGAGUACAUAGUAAAUAAUUGAAUGGCUGGAGCUUUCUUAGUUUCCUGGAAAUUUCCUGGAGCUUUCGUAUACAUGAUUUGUCAAGUCAUGAAACAUAAUCAUGAUAAUGGGGCAGACCGAAAAGAAAAGCAACAAUUCAAAUAUUUGAUUCAACCAGUAUAAAAAGGAAGGAAAAGCAAAGAAAGGAAAUGUUGAAAGUAGAGUUAGGGAAUUAUAAAAAGCUGAAGGAAAUUGGAAUUUUGUACAAUUUCUCCAGCGAGGAACUUUCACAGUCGUUACCUCAUUGUUACAGUUUAGAUUAAGAUUUGAGGGUGCAAGCAUUUACCUAGAUUUUACCUCCGCACUAAAUUCUUAAGUUUGAAAAAUUAUGAGACCUUUAUAUUGGAAGAUAUUAUAAUCGAAUCAAAACUUAAAAUUUUAAUAUUGUUAAUCUUUAAUCUUUAAAAAAAAUUACCUUGCCGUUACAAUUUGGAUUAAGAUUUGAAUAAGCAUUUACCUAAAUUUUAUCUCCGCCUGUAAAUUCUUAUGUUUUAAAAAUUAUGAGACCUUUAUAUUGGGAGAUAUUAUAAUCGAAUCAAAAUUUUGAAUUUCAAUAUUAUUAUUCUUUUAAAAAAAAUUUGAGAUAACAGAGUGAUUGAUAAUAGAGAACUUGUCUAGGCAAACACAUGCAUACACAAAAAUGUGAUGGAUUCAAAAAGAAAUUAAAGUGAUAAUGUACGUGGAUCCUUAAAACAAAAAGCGAAAUCGCUUGGUGGCCCAGUAAAAUUAAGACUGAAUAUUUUUUACACGAGAAGUGUAGCUCAUAAAUGGCAAAAGCCAUUUCAUUUCACUUUUACGCGUCAUUGACUUUUGUAACAUGGUGCAUGCAUCGUCAAGUGAGGCAAAAGGGUUUCGAUUACAGUGGGAAAACAUGAACAAGAAUGCAUAAUGAAUAAUUCCUUUGAUAAAGCGAAAAUUAAACACAGAAUAAUCCUAAAAUUUAAACUCUAAUAUCUUAUAAUUUAAUGAUUAAAAAUAAUCCUAAGAGUUCCCAAUUGAAACUUUCAGAGAUAAUAGAAAAUAGCUAUGCUUUAAAAGGCCAAAGAUUAGAGAACAAAGAAGAAUUAGGUAUUGAUAUAAAAAUUAUUAAUUUUUUUGAUUUCAAGCAAAAAUAGUUUCAUAUACCAUUUCGAUUUUGGUAGGGGUGAGGUUUUGAACUUCAAUAGUUUCCUCUAAAAUCAAAAGGUAGUAAUUAAGUUAGAAAGAGCAAAGAAGACUUAUCGGUACCUUAUUGAAGGUAAACAUUAUGGAACUUUCAAUGUCAUUACCCCACUGUUUAAUUUUUAUUGAGAUUUGUGCAAGCAUUUACCUAAAUCUUACCUCUGCCUGUAAAUUCAUAAGUUUUGAAAAUUAUGAGACCUUAUAUCGGGAGAUAUUAUAAUCGAACUAAAACUUAAAAUUUCUUUUCUUUUUUUUUUUUUUUAUCAUAAAAGGGCUCUUAAGAGAGCUAAGGCAACACUAAAUGGGAGUGUGCAACCCCAUGAACAUCAUUAAUCAAUAUGUUUAGCGUAUUUGGAGGAAUAGAUUGAAAGCAAUGUAAACCCAAAGGAAAAGAAAAGCUGUACGAAGUAAGGAAAUCUGCUGCUACAUUGGUUUCUUGGUAGAUAUGAUCCACUUUGAUCAGCCAAUCACGCCGAAGGAGUUCUUCGAUGGCCUGAAUGAGAGUAAAAUGCUCAUUGACGGGAGGGUUUGAGUUAGAGAUUAACUUCAUAACACACAUGCUGUCCACUUCCACGUAAAACUUAAAAUUUCAAUAUUAUUAUUCUUUAAAAAAAAAUUGAGAUAUCAGAGUAAUAUCACAUAGAAAAACUUGCCCACGGACGGUAAGCCAAAAGUCUAGUCAACCACAUGCAUAAAGCUAAGUAGAACAAGAGAACAGAGAAACGCGUGGGUCCCUAAAGAAAAGGCAAGCACAUAAAUGAAAAAGCCAUUACAUAUCUAUUAACACGGUGUGGCAGCAUAUGCACAAUCAAGUGAGGCAAAAGGGAUUCGAUUAUCGUGGCAGAACAUGGACGAGGACGCGUGAUGAAUAAUUCCUUCGUUAAAACCAAAAACAAACGCAGAGAAAACAAUUUCUUAUAUGACAAGAAAUCAAAGUAAUGUGAAGGAACAUGAUGAAGAAAUUGCAGACUGAUCAAUUAUCCCCAUGGACUCCUAUAAAUUCAACCAAAAUAACAAUUCGAAUCUUACCAAAUUCUUGAGUUAAAUUUAUUCAAUGCUUUUAUUUUUUUAGAAAAUUUUUUUCCAAUGCUACUUUUCCUUUUUUGGGGAAAUUAGAACCGCGGCAUGUAUAGAAAACAUUGAGGUGUAAAGCAACAUUAAUUUCAUGGGAUAUGCGUUAUACGCAUAAUAUAUUUUCAGUCCAAAUUCAACUAUACAAAGAGGCUUGAGAACUUAAAAUUAAGCACAAACUAAACAGACGAAGUAAAUACAUGAUUAUGCAACAUAACAUUAAUUCUCUCAAUUGAUAACUGUUUUUGCUACAUGAAUCUUGCACAGUUAAUCCUAAUUGAAGACUAAAAAAGAGCAAUUGGAAGAAGGUUUUGGAAUAGAAUGGUAUACAAUCGAUAUGAUCCUUUUCCAGUAGUCAACGCUAAUUAACUGCAGUUUCUAGACUCCUAAUUAUACUAGCCAUAGCAAACUAUUUAGAAAACUGGUGAUCAAAUUAGAUUUUGAAAGGAAAUAAUGUUCAUUUUCCCUUCGCUGCCUUUUCUUUUCUUUUCUUUUUAUAGCAAAGAAUUAUAUCAUGAAAAGAAUCAAUUUAAUCACCUUUUCCAGCAGCCCAAUUUUUCUUUUAUAAAAUUUGACCACGGAGACAAAGAAGAAUUAUUCAUAACUUCAUCACUAAGGAAAUACUUUUCGGUAUGGCUAGGGUGAGAAAAUGCUUUCCACUAACACUUGUACUUUGUAUUCUUGUAAAUUUUCUUUAAAGUCAAUAAAAACCAUAAGUUCUUUGCAAUAACCAUCUCUUUGAUCAAAAAGUGCCGUAUUCCUUUAGAAUUUAAAACCGGCAAAACCGAAUCAGUGUCUUUGAAGAGACAUAAUGGUCGUAAUUCUUUAAAUGAGUUGGCUAUGGAAAUCCUUAUCCAAGAUUCUUUUAUGCCAUAUUCUUUCGUAAACCAAAAUUCAUUUUGAAAUACUCUAUUGAAAAUGUCAAAUAAAACGGCAUUGAAGGAAGUUUUCAAAGGCAUAAUCCGCACUUGUCAAAGGGAUGAUCUGCACUUGUCAGAGACACGAUCCGCGUCGAACGAAUCGACACAUUUCCUUUCGUAUUCGCAUAUGUAAUCUUUGAAAAAAUGUAGCUUCCGCAUCUAUAAAUAACGCUCAGUGUAUAAUGUUUUAUUCAAGAAAAGAAAACAAAUUUCUUCAUACUCCUUGUCCGAACAUACAGAGACAGUCUCUCAUAACUUCAGCCGAAUACUUAUGAUGAUGAUCAUUUGUGAUUUCAUCAGGCAUAGGGUUGAUGGUGAAAAAUUUUGUAUGUGUGAAGAAUUGAGCUGUGGAUAUAGGGGACUUAAGUGUAAUCGAAAGAGAGUUAUUAGGCCAUAGUGCAGAUUGCAUUCAGUUUAUGGGUCGAUAUGCAAAUAAUUUGUUGACGUGGCGAAAUCUGUUAUGGUCGUUACUAUUGUUUCUGGAAAUUUUCUAGAAACCUCAGCAUAAAAGGGGCUUUUGCAUAGCCUCUGGUGUGCGUGUGAUUUCUCUUUCGUUUCCUCAUCAAAUUCUGUAAUUCUUGCUUUGAUAAAAAGCUUGUAAUCAUUUCUGUAAUGUGUGAUCAGUGCGUAAUCAUUUUGAGCAAUAAAAGCUUGUGGGUUUUUCCUUCAAACAGUGUCGUUUUGGUCAGUUUGUUAGUUUGAUCUGUUGGUGGAAUUUUCUUUGGUUAUUUGUUCUCAAAUUUCAACCGUAUAUAAAGUUUGAACUCUAAUGGCUUAUAAUGUAUUGAUUAAGAAUAAUCCUAAGAGUUCCCGAUUGAAAUUUUUAAUGACUAUUUUUAUUGUUUUGGAUAUACAAAUUGCAUUAAGAAAAAAUAUUGUCAAAUUCAGAGGAUAACGGGAAAUAAUUAUGCUUCAAAAGACCAGAGAUUAGAGAAUAAAGAAGCAUUCAUUACUGACAUACAAAAGAGAAACACUCCAAAAUUGCAAGCAAACUAGUUUCAUAUACUAUUUGGAUUUUGGAAGGGGUGAAGUUUUGAGCUUCAGUUGUUCCUCUAAAUAGCAAAGAAGACUUAUUGGUACCUUACUGAAGCUAACAUUGUGGCACGGUUGUUCAUAUGUAAUGGCUGCUCUGUUAUGGUAGCUUCUCUGUUUUUGCUCACAGUUUUGAACAUGAAUUCUUGCUCAAAUAACCCAUAAUUAAUUAACAUUAAAAUGGCUCGUGAAAUCCCAUAAUAGCUAAUUACGCAACUUUCUCCUCCUCCUCAAUUAUGUCUUCCCCUGCUCGUACAAUAAAUUCAAAAUUCAAUGCCCCGAAAAACAACACAAGAAAUCUUUGAGUUAGUUCGUGACCAGUUUAUAUAUAGUAGCAAUUGAAAAAAGAAAAAGAAGAAAAGAGUUAAUUAUUAUUCAGACCUUCACUUAUUAGGAAGUUUGUUCUGCUAUUGGGUGAGGUCAAGCUCUCAGCAUAUACUUCCACAUGAUACUUUCUAACAUUUUCUUGAAAGCCAUCAAUCAUAAAAUCUUCAUACUUUUUUCCAUCCUUUGGAUCAAUGAGUACAAAUUUCUCAUCUAAAACAGACAAAAUAAAAUCACUGUCCUUCAUGGAACAUAAUGGCUGCAAUGCCUGAACUGAAUUGGCUAAUGAAACAUAGUCUUCUUUUCUUUCUCGACAUGGAACAUAGUCUUCUUUUCUUUCUCGACACAUGUCUCUGUACUUUUCUCUCUCUACUGAUCCACACUUUUUCAUACUUCUAACUAUCAUUUUGUUUUUUUUUUUUGAGUUGUGAUUUAUUCAAUUAUUUUGUAUUUUUAAUGACAAUUAUUUAAUAUUUAGUUAGUGUUGAUAUUGAUUAGUGAUUGAAAGUGUAUUUUAGAAGACUUCCGGUCUCUUGAAAAAAGGAAAAAUGGAGAAGAAGAAGAAGUGUUCUUGAUUUUUUUGUAGGCAUUAAAGUUAAACGGUUUGAAAUGAUAUUUUGUUUUAAUUUCACUCAUUAAUCUCAUUCAGGAUAAAAUUAUAAAUGCAAAUAAAUGGGGUUUCAUAAGUAUUUUUAAUAGUGUUAAAAGGUCUACUAACUAAAUAAACAUGUUUUACCCAAACCAAUCCGAUUAAUAAGUUAUUGGGUUGGGUUGAUCAGGUUAAAAAUCAAAAUUAAAAAUUAAAUAAAUAAAUAAGGCAUAAAAACUAUAUGUUACUUGAAAAUAAAAAGAAUUUCUAAUAGUUAGUUCUAAUGUCCCAUAUCCAAAACAUGCAUAUUAAAUAAAUAUUAUAAGUUAGAAAUAAAAUAUCCAAGAAAUAAUGAAUGAAAUACCAUAUUUUUGUUGAGAAUUAAGAGUGUGAUUUUAAUUUUGAUAUUGGAGUCUAAAGCAAUAGAUAGUACAAUGAAAUCAUGAAUGCUACGUUUAAAUAAUCUCUUUUAUAAAAUAAUAAAAAGAGGUUAAAAAUUAGGUUAGCAUUUAGGGUUUAGCAGUUAAGGAUGAACAUAUUAUUAUUGUUGUUGUUGUUGUUAUUAUUAUUAUUAUUAUUAUUAUUAUUAUUUACAUAUUAAUUAAUCCAACCCAACUCAAUUAUUAACGAAUUUGAAAAAAAAUGACCAAAUUAAUCCACAAUAAUUCAUUCAACUCGUCUAAAUUAGAUUAGAUUGAAUUUGAUUUGCUACACCUACAUUGAGCAACAAACCUCAACGCGAUUCUAUGAGCUCUUUGAUUGUUUAUAAAAUUGAUUUAGAGUACAUAAUGGAGUGUAUCGACAAUGAAAGUGCAAAACAAAUUAUUGUAUACAUUAAAAUCUGCAAAACAAUGAAUUAUAUGUACGAACGAGUGCAAACACAUUUUUCAAUAAGAAGUUAAAAGAUAUUUAUGCAUGAAAAAGCAUACGUUUGUAGUUACUCUAAAUUUUUUAAAAAAAAUUUACAUUUAGAUCCCUAAAAUUUACGUAUAAGUACAAAAGUUUCAAAUAUUGUCUAUUAUUUUUUAACAUAUGCCUAUUCCUUGUGGAUAAUUCUGUCUCAUCACUAAUGUUGUUUCUUGCUUACAAAAAACAAAUGUCAUCUCCUUUUACAAUUUUUAUAGCGUCUCAAAAUAGACAAUGGGGGGAUUUUGAAUUUUUUAAGUCUCAAGAUAGUCUCUAAUCUUGUGAGAAAGAUUUUCUUUCAAUAAUUUGGAGGUAAAGAUAACAUAAUUUUUUGGAUAGUGUGCAUGUGUAUUUAAUUAAUAAUUUUUUAAAAAAAUACAUCAAAUAUUAAUAUCCAUGACAUAAUUUAGUUCUUAAUUUUUUUUAAAUACAUCAAAAACAUAAUUUUUUUUAACAACUUAUAGGCAUGACAAAUUUCAAGAUAUAAAUAUCAGUCAAAAUAAGUGAAAGAAAUAAUGGUGCCAAUUCUAAUUUCUUAACUAAAUUAAUUAGUGCAUGAGCCCCGAAUACGACACGAGAGUUUGAUGGGCUAACUUGGCACAAGAACGUGAAUAAAUAAUUGAUUUAAGAAAUAAUUCAACGAAAAAUAUAAUUGAUAAGAAUUCAGUAUUGAAAUGAGUUUUUUUGUGAAACACUGAAUUAAUGAUUAUUAAGCAAGAACAAUAAAAAAAUAAAUAUUAAUCAUUGAUAAGUUUCAACAAAAACUUAACACAAUCCUCAAUCCUCAUUCAAAUGAUAAAUGUCAUUCAUAUAUUCAUUAUAAAUCAACAACAAAGGUUAUAAAUGUUUAGAAAUUCUAGAGGGAAGGAAGCUAUCGCCGGACAAUCAACAACUAAAUUUGAUGUAAUUGUGGCACGAGAUGGAAUAUGGAAACUACACCAUAAUUUCAAAUGCCGCCAUAGACAUUGACUUAUCAUAAUAACAAUGAUCUAAUUAAAAUAAAAACAAAGUUUAUGGGCAUUUAUUAUUUUGCCAUUCCUCAUUUGCAAAUAGGGAUAUAAUUAUAAUUUUACCUAGUCAAAGCAAUCGGUAGUUUUCUUCAUUAUAGGAGUGAAGUAAAAACAUUUAGAUUUCAAUGUAUGUACGGAAAAAUUUGUCUUUAAAAAUACUUUCUUAAUGUGUGUAUGCAUAUUGAAAUACUCAAACCAAUUUUGGUUAUAUAUAAUUAAACAAAUUUUAAAAUAUGAAAAAUAUAAUGUAGUUAUAGUGGAUAAACAAUAAGUGAGCACAAUAUAAUUAAUCAAAUAUUAUGCCAUCAAAAGUUAAUUUUAGAAAUUCCAAAUCCAAUAGCCAACACAAUUCUUUUUUUUUUAAAAAAGUUGACACAAUUAAUAAAAUUAGCGACAUGAAUUUCACGCCAUUGAUAAUCAGCAAUUAGUAUUACUUUCUAAACUUGCUUCAACUGGUCGUUGAUGUCCGGGUCACCAAAAGUAUAAGCGAUAAUAAGGGGCAUUGGGCAAGAGUGAUGAAUGUUUAGUCGGUGCAUUUGAUUGAUAGAUAUAUAAAGGGCCGAAACUUGAGAUUAUAUUACUUUUACAAAUUUUAAUCCAAUCACAUAUUUACUGAAAACAAAAUGAGUUAGGAUACUUUAUUUAGAACCCACAUUUUAAUAAGGCUUCAUUUGAUGUAGUUUUUCAAACAGUGAUUAUUUGAGUAAAGUUUCCUCAAUAGAGUUUUUAUCAAAUAAAUUUUAUUUAUUUGGUUGUCGAUAAGAACUUUUAUUAAAAAUUAUAAAAUUAUUUAAAUAAACAUAUUUUUUAAAAUUACAUUAUAAAAAGAAUUAAAUAAAGUUAUAAAAGUAAAAUAUAUUUUAGAUAUUUUAAUAUUUAAGAAAAAAAUUUUGAAUCUCUACUUUCAGAAGCUCAAAUUUUUAGUUUUUAGUUGUAGAGACAAAAUAUCUUAUUUAAUCUUUAAAAGUUCUGCUAAAAACAAUCAAAUAACUAUAAAAUUUUUAAUAAGAGUAUAUAAAAUUAAAUAAGCAUUUAUUAAUAAUCACUUUAGUGUACUUAUCUAAUGACCAUAAGUGUUUAUUUAAUCUCAUAAGUUCUUAUUUAAUCUCAUGAGCUCUUUUCAAUUUUUUUUGUUGUUUGCUUUUUUUAGUAGAGUUUUUGAAAAUUAAAUAAACUAUUUUGUCUCUAUUAGGAAAAACUCAAAUUUUAGGUUUUUGUGAGUAAAUGUUUAAAUUUUUUUUAAAAUAUUAAAAUAUUAAAGUAAAAGUUGUAGAGACAAAAUAUCUUAUUUAAUGUUUAAAAGUUCUGCUAAAAAUAAUCAAAUAACUACAAAAAUUUUAAUAAGAGCAUAUAAAAUUAAAUAAGCAUUUAUUAAUAGUCACUUUAGUAUACUUAUCUAAUGACCAUAAGUGUUUAUUUAAUCUAAUGAGCUCUUUUUAAUUUUGUUUGUUUGUUUUUUUAGUAGAGUUUUUGAAAAUUAAAUAAACUAUUUUGUCUCUAUUAGGAAAAACUUAAAAUUUAGGUUUUUGUGAGUAAAUGUUUAAAUUUUUUUUAAAAUAUUAAAAUAUCUUUUCUUUAUUUCAUAAUCUUAUUUCAUUCUUCACAACAUAACUUUAAAUAACUCACCUAUUAAAAUAAUUUCACAAUUUAUAAUAAAAAUUUUAAUUGACAAUCAAAUAACAAAUUUUUUUUUAUAAAAACUCUAAUAAUAAAAAUUCUACUUAAAUAAAUUAUAUUUGAAAAGGUAUACCAAACGAACCUAACAUAAAAACAAAAAUUUUUACAUCCACACAAUUAAGCUUAAAACAAUUUCAAAUGAAUUUUAGACUACUCAAAGUACAAUACGUACCAAGUUUGGUAACUUAUUGGGGUCCGCUUGUAAUACAGCGUCUGUAUCUCAUACAGCCAAAUUUAAUAAUUUAUUAAGAAAAAGGGCAACCAUUAGAUAGAAGUAGAUACAUCCAACGGUUAAAAUGUUUGAUUACUCAUUUUGGCGACCGGAUAUGCCAGUUAUUAUUUCAUCAAUUAACUUACCUAAAAAAUCACAGCCGUUGGAUUGAGAUGCCUCUCUUUCCCUCAAAAUAACAGCCUUCGUAUUCUCUCUGCUAUUGUUUUCUCCUACAUCCAGAAUUUUGGAUGAAUGAACUUGGUAUUCAACAAUAUUCACCACCCAUCACAGCAAAGAGCAAAGAUGUAGUCAAAGGAGUGCCAUUUAUUCAGGCUAACUCGAUCUGUCACUCUCGCUUCAAUUCGUCACUCAUUUUCUCGCGCUCAGCUUCAAUCUAUCACUCUCAGCUUCAGUUCGUCACUCACAGCUUCAAUUUUUCACUGUCGUGAAUCAUCUCUCUUGCUGUAUCUCUCUCUUAUGUCUUCCAAUAAUUUCGGUGAGCUCUCUCUCUAAUUUAAUAUAUGAUUAAAAAUCUUAUCAUCUUAUCAUGUCAUUUAAAUAUGCUUGAAGUUUCAAUUUAGUUUAUGAAUAUUACUUGAAAUUUCAGUUUCAAUAAUUUGAUUUUGCAAUUGAGAAAUUAUUACUUGAAAUAUUGAGAUGAUUUCUAGGGAUUGAUAAUUGAAUGAUAAUUGCUAAGGCUUGUCAUUUUUUGUUUUUGAACAGAUAGAGUUACAAUUAAGUCAUACUGCAAUAUUUUAUCUUGAGAUUCUAUUAUUCACAAAAAGAAAAAAAUCAUAAAUUGAAAAAAAAAAAAAAGAGGUUACGAGCAUCAAGCAACUGCAAGUAAUGGGGUUUGUUUUGAUGAGCUGCGAAUUGGGGCCUGUCAUUUUCUUGAAGUAUCUUCAAUAUAAGUGGAAGGAGAUUUCUUCUCUCCAAAAAAUUAUUGUAUAUUUCCUUUUAAAUUCUAGAUUCGCAUGUAGCUGAUUUUUUAUGUUUGAAGGAUUUUAUUAAAGAAUGUGCUGCUGCUAGUGGCAUGAAUUAAUGUAGUCUCGCUAGUAUUCGUGAUUUGGGGUAAGGAUCGAAUUGAACAAUUAUAUUUCUAUUAUUCUUAUAUUCGAAUCCAGUGAUAUUGUGGUGGUUUUAUGAUAAUAUUCAAUUGUUUUGUGCCUCAAAUCAGCCAAUGAGUUGGGUAUGUGCUGGGUAUAUGCCGUAUGGGCUUGUUGUUGAAUUUGCUUGACCUUGGAUGUGAUUCUUGCCGUGUUUAUAAGAAAUAGACACAGGUCUUUGUGUGGUAAUAGAAUUGUCUAAGGUGCCUUACAAUAAAUUUAAGAGUCUUAAGUAACUAUGCUUUGUAACCUUAAACCUUUAUUUGUACGACUUGGUGUUCUUGGUUGUGAAAGAAUGUUAAAUGUUGACCUAUUUUCAUCGGUGAAGAUAAAUGAAGUUAGGGAAGGUUUGUAAUCACUAUAACCCUGACAAUUUUUUUGGUGGGCCGUGAUAAUUUUAUUCAUGGCAUGUACUUUGUUUUUAUCAGAAGGCCCUGUUUGCUUGUAGUCUCAAAUCUAGGGUAAUAUUUUAAAUAAGUUCUGCAAUAUAUGUUUUGCUAUUUUUCUUUUUUGUUUUUAUUUUAAUUAGUUUUAGUAUUACUUGGAGGGGAAUUCUGAUCUGCUGAAGUUUAUCAAGCUGGUGCAGUGGUGCAGCAAGCAGACCUUUAUCUUAAUCUUAUGAUUGUGCUAAGUGGAAUUUUGUGUAAGUUACAACAAUAUAAUUUUUUAAAGAGCUGACAAGACGCUCUCUCUUUUUUUUGGAAUGUUGAGCAAAACUUUUCUUUCUUAUUAGGUGUUUAUAAUAAUUCAUAGCAUGGGUUUUGUCAUAUUGGUUUCAAUGCAUUGAUUUGAUCUUGGUUACAACCCAUCAGCCCUUACUCCUCAUUCCCAGCAGCUUUUAAUGCCUUUUUUUUAAGCAUUGUACUUUGUUUCAUGAUGAAAUUUGUUUAUAUGACGCAAAGUUGAGGACACGGUAAUAGUCAUUAUUUUAAUUUAUGCAACAAAGAUCAUUAUCCAUUAAAUUUUAUGUUGUUGAAAUAUUUAGAUUUUGUAAAUUUUGUUGUAAGAAAUGAGGGCUCUUGAUCCCAUCCCUUUAUUAUAUACAAUUUUUUUUCACUCUGUCAUUCAUUUAUUGUGUGUUAGAGGUAUUAGUCAUGUGCAAAAGUAAAGAUCUUUAUUUUGUUAUUUUUGUCAUCUUGUGCUUCAUUGGUAUAAAUGAGGAAAAAAAAGAAUAAAAUAAAAUAAAAUUAUAGUUUGUGCAUGAAUUCCACCAUAUAUGAAAUGUUUAAUAGAUUAAAAAGUAAGGAGUACACAGUGACUUUGAAUAGCAGGUGGGGGAACUCAUUUUGUUUUAAAAAAAAUUAAUACAUAUUGAUAGAAUAAUUAUCCUUCACUUAAUUAUUUAAAAAUUUUAUUUUGGAAGAAUACAAAUGGACAGUCACCAAUGAAAGCGUAAACGACUACCAGGGGGCUUACAGAAAAAAUUGCUCCUAUUCUAAAAGUAGAUGGUCAGGACAAAGUUCCAACAACUUCAACUUAUGGAUUUGUCUCUUACUUGUAAGGUAAUCUCUUCUUGUAGGGUGUUUAAUUGAAUUAAAAACAGAAUAUUAUUUGCAUUAUAGAGUACAGGCAUAAAUUCAUUAUCUAUGUCAGUUCAUUCAUGAUUUUACUCCAAAUGGAGUAAUAGAUCACCAUUAAUUUAUUGAUACAUCGUCCAUGUUUGUUUUCGUCUUCAAUUUUUAUAUUACAAUAUCUAAUCUAUUUAGUAUUCGUAAAAAAACAUACGAGAAAAAGUUGGAAAAACACUUUAGGGGUGAUUGUGUACACUUUCGUAUGGCACAAAUAGCGUUAGGCUUUGUUUUUUAAGUGGACGACGUGUCCAUUUUUUGUGUUACAUCUUACUCAUUAAUAUAUUUUUGAGUUUCUUAUGGAAAAAAAAUUGAAAAAACACUUUAAGUGAAAAAAAUUUGUAUUUCAAUUUAUAUGUAACAGUGAAUUGGAAAAUAAAUUCUACCAAUAAUUAAAAGAAUACUUUUCUUUUAAUUAUUAAAAAGAUAAGGUAGUUACUCAUUACCCAUAUAAAUGGACAGUUUUAAUUUGUUCCAUAUCUAUACAACAGAAGAGCUUCAGACACGGUUUGCAGCGUUCCACGAUCACUUCCAUUCUAAGCAGCAGCGUCUUCCGUCUUUUUGCACACCAACAGCAGAUUCUAGAUGGCCAGAAGCUCAUCUGCCGCACUCUCGGGAUUUCGCUGCCAUCCUCAUCUUCAUCUCCACUACCUCCUCAGUGAUUAUCCCCUGGUUUUAUGCUCAGAAAUUAUGAUUAUUAUGUAUCUUGUUUUCAGAUUUGUCAAUACUUGUUAUAUUUUGAUUAUGCAUUAUGGACAUUUUUCAUAAGAUAGCUUAAUUUUGUGGUUUGUGUUGACGAUUUCCAUGUAUGGAUGUUUGGAUAGGUAAUUUCGCCUUCCAUGCAUUCUUCAUUCCUGCAUCCUGUGGGAGAAAAUUGGAAAAAGUGGUUUUUGAUGAGAAACGGGGAGAAGGAUGAGAUAUAUAUUUUUGAAGUGUCACAUUAUUUCAAAAACAAACCCCAAAUUUAAUUUCUCUUACCGAUCAUGAGUUAAAAUAUAAAAAUUAACGUUUACUCAUCACACUGUUAUAAGUAUCAAAGCAUUACUUAUAGAAAAAUUAUCGUCACCUAUCCUACAUUUGUGAUUGAAUAGUGGCACAAUUUUAAUUGGGAUAUUUAACAUUACUCUUUGUAAUUGUUUGGUCUUAUUUGAAGUUUGUAAAUUUUUCAUAACUAUGACUUCAACAGCAUAUUUCAGGUUGCAUUUAAUCGUUGCUAUAAUUAGGUACUUUGAAAUAAUUUAUUGGCCACGAUUACAGUCAUUGUUAUUAGUCACCCCUCUUUUUUCUCUUUUGGCCAACCAGCUCUUGGAUAUUUGGGAACCGAUGACAAUAGUUGGGAAAUUAUGUAAUAUUGGUGUGUUUGCGAAAUAAAUCAAGAGAUUUGCCUUGCCGAAGUUAAAAGAGAUAUUGUGGCCUGAAUUUUUUUUUUUUUUCUCUAGGGGCCAUGGCUCUCAAGGACAAGGCAUGAAUCAUGCAUUAUAAUUGCUCGAAAGGGUUAGUAAAAUAGCAAUCUAAAAUACCCAAGUUGGAUCUGCUGUUGAAUCACAAAAAGAACAUAAUUGGGAUAUGAAGUCAUGGUUGCAAGUGUUGGACCCUUAGGUUACGUUUGGCACGUAGGAUUGGAUUGAACUAAUUACUAAAAUUGGAUUGAAUUAUAUUCGAUUGGAUUAAACUGGAUUAUAUUAUAUAGUUCUAUGGUUAGUACAAUAUCGGAUUAAACUAUGUUAAAUUAUAUUUAAAUAAUAUUAAAUAGCAUUUAAGUUGGUAUUUUAAUAUUAAUAUCAAUUAUUCAUGAAAUUUCAUAAUCAUAAUUAAAAUAAAUUUAAAAAACAAUUACCAGGAAAAUUAAAUAUAUUGUAAAUAAGUUACUGGGUAGUCAUAAUACAGUAAACAAAUGAACAUAGAUAAAAAAAUUAAAUUUUAAAUAAUUUUUAUCAAAUUUUAAAAAAAAAUUAUAUAAAAUCAAUUAUUUAAUGGUAUUAUUAAUUUUCAUGAUUAUUUUUAAUAGUAUAUAACAAUGAUUAUUAAAUUUAAUACAAUCAAAUAAUGCAAUAAAUAAUUAAACAUUUAAUUUUAUCAAUAAAUUACUAAAUAUACAAGUGGUGAAAAUUUAAUCUCCAGAGUUAGUACAAGUAAAGGUAUUAAUUUAAUUAGAUCAUAGAUAAUAAAUAAAAAUAAGUUUUAAGUAAAUCAUAUUAAAAAUUAAUUAAUUAAUUAAUACUAGGUGUAAAUAAAAAAAAUGAUAUAAAUAAAAAUCUCAUAAAUGGACAACUUUUUUCUUUAAUCUUAUCCCAACUAAACCCAUGCGUAAAUUAGGAUUAUCAAUUCCAUGAUUUUAGGAUUAAAUUUAAAUUACUACCCCCUUAAUCCAAUCCAACUAAGCUUGCCAAACAUUGGAUAAAUAUUUAAUUCCAAAAUUAGUCUAAUCCCAUACUUAAUCCUAGAAUCCAAACAUGGCAUUAGCACCUUAUAUAACAAAGUGUCACUGAAAUACAGCAAAACGUUAUAAACAAGAACUUAUUUCUGUACAAAAUGUUAUUUACUUUUUGUGAACUUCCAAAUACCUACUAUAUGAUUUGCAAACCCUACAAAAGUCUACCUUGCAUGCUCUUUCUAACGUGAAAUUUGAUUUUUAUUAAAUUUUUGAUGUGUUCACUAAUAAAUAAUUGGAAUCUAAAAAAAUUAGAAAAAAAUAGAAUUAGAAUGAGCUACAAUAAAAAUGAGGAAUAACAAAAAAAAUGAUAUUUGUUGAGAUGAAUGAAACACAAUUGAAAUACUCUAUAUCGCUCUUAAUAUGUUCACUUUGUGAACAUAAAUUAGAAUUAGUUGUUAUAACUUAGUAAUUUAUCCUCAAUCAAUUAUUAUCAUUAUUACUAUUUGUUAUAAUAAUUGUAAUUAUUAUUUUUGAUAAUUUUAAUACUAAGAAAAUUAUUGUUAGGGGUGGAAACACCAUAUAGAGAAGGAACAAUUAAAUUUAUAAAAUUUAGUGGGGAUAAAAUAGUCACUUAAGACAGCAAGCGUCUCCCAUUCUCACCUCCACGAGCAUGAAAACACUAGUAAUCAUUCUUAAAUUUUGAUGGAAUCUGUUGCUUUUAUUCUAAUAACGAACGCAAAACCUAUGGAAUUAGUUGGAAUAACGAAUGCAAAACCUCUGGAAUUACAAUUGAAAUACGUCAACCCAAAAUGGAGAAAGCACAACUAAAAUUAGAGACCUACAAAACCAAAAAUAAACUUAUAGAAAACAAACCCGGUACCUAAUCUCAAUAAUUGGAAUCUCAACCAGUUAAUGGAAAUAUUCAACUCAAAAUUAGGGAAAAAUUAGAUGAAACACGUGAACCAUUGAGAGAGAAAGUAUGACGAAAAUUAGAAACUCAUUUAACGAAAAAUAAUAUUUACUUGGAAUCUAACCCAUGAUACUGGUACCUAAGGAACUUUAUAGGAAUAUGAAACGCAAAACCAGUGGACCAAUAAGUUGAAACAUGUGAACCAAAAAAUGAAAAACUAUAACCAAAUCUUGAGACUAAUCAAACCAAGCAAAAGUAAUAUUGAUAUUUAACCCAUAUAAUUGGAAUUUUACCAAAUUAGUUGGAAUAACGAAUGUAGAACUUGUGGAAUUACAAUUGAAAUACAUCAACAAAAAAUGGAGAAAGCACAACCAAAAUUAGAGACCUACAAAACCAAAAAUAAAUUUAUAGAAAAUAAAUUUGGUACCUAACCACAAUAAUUGGAAUCUCAACCAGUUAAUGAGAAUUCUCAACGCAAAACUAUAGGAAAAAUUAGCUGAAACACAUGAACCAUUAAGAGAGAAAUUAGAACGAAAACUUGGAACUUAUCCAACGAAGAAUGCUCGUGACUUGGAAUCUAACAACAAAUAUUGGUACUUGACUAAUUUAGUAGGAAUAUCAAAUGCAAAACUCAUUGACCAAUAAGUUGAAACAUGUAAACCAAAAGAUGAAAAAGUAUAACCAAAACCUGAGAAUAAUCAAACCAAGAAAAAGUAAUAUUGAUUUUUAACCCAUAUAAUUGGAAUUUUACCAACUUAAUUGGAAUAACGAAUGCAAAACCUGUGGAUUUACAAUUGAUAUACGUCAACCCAAAAUGGAGAAAGCACAACCAAAAUUAGGGACCUACAAAACCAAAAAUAAAGUUAUAGAAAACAAACCUGGUACCUAACCUCAGUAAUUGGAAUCACAACCAGUUAAUAGGAAUAUUCAAUGCAAAAUUGGGGAAAAAAUUAGAUGAAACACGUGAACCAUUAAGAGAGAAAGAACAACGAAAACUAGGAACUUAUCCAACAAAGAAUGAUAGUUACUUGGAAUCUAACAGUAAAUAUUGGUACUCGACGAAUUUAAUAGGAAUAUCAAACGCAAAAAUAGUGGACCAAUAAGUUGAAACAUGUGAACCUAUAGAUGGAAAAGAAUUACCAAAAUUUGUAACUAAUCAAACCAAAAAAAGUAAUAUAGAUAUCUAACCCAUAUAAUUGGAAUCUCGACAAAUUAGUUGAAAUAUUAAACAAAAAACUAGUGGAAUAAUAGUUGAAACACAUGAACCAAAUGUGGAGAAAGUUUAACCAAAUUUUGAAACUUAUCCAAUGAAGAAUGCUAGUUACGUGGAAUCUAACAACAAAUAUUGGUACUCGACGAAUUUAAUAGGAAUAUCAAACGCAAAAAUAGUGGACCAAUAAGUUGAAACAUGUGAACCUAUAGAUGGAAAAAUAUUACCAAAAUUUGGAACUAAUCAAACCAAAAAAAGUAAUAUCGAUAUCUAACCCAUAUAAUUGGAAUCUUGACAAAUUAGUUGAAAUAUUAAACGAAAAACUAGUAGAAUAAUAGUUGAAACACAUGAACCAAAUGUGGAGAAAGUUUAACCGAAUUUUGAAACUUAUCCAACGAAGAAUGCUAGUUAUUUGGAAUCUAACAACAAAUAUUGGUACUCGAUGAAUUUAGUAGGAAUAUCAAACGCAAAAAUAGUGGACCAAUAAGUUGAAACAUGUGAAUCUAUAGAUGGAAAAGCAUUACCAAAAUUUGGAACUAAUCAAACCAAAAAAAGUAAUAUCGAUAUCUAACCCAUAUAAUUGGAAUCUCGACAAAUUAGUUGAAAUAUUAAACUAAAAAUUAGUGGAAUAAUAGUUGAAACACAUGAACCAAAUAUGGAGAAAGUUUAACCAAAUUUUGAAACUUAUCCAACGGAGAAUGCUAGUUACUUGGAAUCUAACAAAAAAUAUUGGUACUCGACGAAUUUAGUAGGAAUAUCAAACGCAAAAAUAGUGGACCAAUAAGUUGAAACAUGUGAACCUAUUGAUGGAAAAGCAUUGCCAAAAUUUGGAACUAAUAAAACCAAAAAAAGUAAUAUCGAUAUCUAACCCAUAUAAUUGGAAUCUUGACAAAUUAGUUGAAAUAUUAAAUGAAAAACUAGUAGAAUAAUAGUUGAAACACAUGAACCAAAUGUGGAGAAAGUUUAACCGAAUUUUGAAACUUAUCUAACGAAAAAUAAAUUUAAUUGGAAUUUAACCCAAAAUAUUAGUGUUUAACGAGUUUAGUGGGAAUAUUAAACAUAAAACUAGUGGAUCGGAAAAUGGAGAUAAGCAAACCAAUUAGUGAGAAAGUUGAAUCAAAAUUAGGUAUAUGUGAAAUUAACUUGGAAUGUCACCUAAUAUAUUGAUAUUUAACCAAAAGAAUCGAGACAUGCUCAUUUUAAUUUUUUUAAACUUUUGUUGCAAUUAAAAAUAAUUUUUUCACUUAAAUAUUGUUUGUGUUAAAUAUUUACAAAAUUUCCUUAAUUUUUCCUGUUUCAUUUUAUUUUUUCUACAUUAAAAAUAAUUUUUUAAAAAUUAUUAAAUGAACAACCGGUAAAAUACCGGUUGUUCAAGUUUCCUUUUUACUGUUGAAGGGGCUGUAUUUUAUACAGCACUGUACUAUAGGAAGACUCAACUUAUUGACAUCUUCUCAUAUAACCUUCGAUCAAGUCGAUUCUGACCUGACGACUAAUUGGUACAUCACCGUUGUUCUCUAUACUCGCAUGCAUCGGAUCACAAAUCUCACUCCAAUUGUCGUCUUUCUUCGCCGUUUUAGCGCAUACUUCUUGAAUUUCCCGCAUUUCGUUCCCUCCUGUUACAAGUCUCCGGUCAGGUCAGUGAUUGAAUUUCCCGCAUCUCUAUCCCUCCCGUUUUCUCGCGUCGUUUCACUUCAAUUUCUCGUGUCUCCUUUCAGUUUAAGUGAUUGAAUCAAUUUUAUCGCAGUCAUAAGAGAAAUUAAGUAAUGCUCUUGGAUUUAAAAUUUUUUUGCUUUCGACUUUAGAUCUCGAAAGUCAAACUCUGCUACGAAUCCAUAGAUUCUCAAUGCUCAUAAUCUUAUUUGUGUUUGACCAGGUAACUGGAUCGUGAAAUUCGUCGUUUUGUAUCAAUUCAAGCUUUCGCGAGCUCAUGGAAUCACCUGGUGAGUUGUGGUGAAACGUUAUCGUUUCAAUUUUCGCUUAAUUCUUUAUUGCAUAUUUUUUUCUCUAAUGUUUCAGUUUAAUUUAGAAAAGAAAGAGGCCCCAAAAAGAGAGAGAGAGAGAGACUCUACCAUACUCAAUUCCUUGCUCAUUCUGAUUUGGCCUGAAUGUUGGCAUUGACUAUUAUUUGUUUUCAUUUCGAUUUAAUUCUCAUUUAGACAGUCUUUACUAACGGUCAAUAAUAGUUUAAGGAAAAUGAUCAUAGGGAUUCUGCAAUAAUCUUUCUGCAUUGUUCAAGUUAGUAGACAAUGAAUAGGAUGUUUAUGUUUACCUCAUUUUGAACCCUGAGGGCUUCGUUGAGUAGUUGAUUCAACAUAUCCAGCAACGGUUGAUGUGAGAACAGAAUGCCACUUAGAUAGGCUUAAACUGAUUUUGGAGGUUUGUAUUGGUUCUAUUGUACGUCUUGCUUACAAAUUUUUAAUUUUUAAUUUUGUAUAAUAUGCUCUUUGUUGGUAAAUCUCAUUUGACUUAGAAGAGAUAGUUUUAUCCCAACAGUGGGAUAAAUCAUUGAGAUGCAUGGCAGUGUGAAUAUAGUAGACAAAAUCAUUGAGACACAUGGUGGUGUGAACAUAGUAAACUUUGUCAAACACAGCUAAGAUAAACAAAUUGUUUCAUUAGCCUUUACCUUAUCUGCUGUGAUGAUUCAAAUUAAUGCUGUUUGGUAGGUUGCAAAAAACGAAAUGAGCUGUCUGUUCGUAUUAUUUAGUCAGAUCUAUUGCAAUAAGUUGAAGUUCAUUGUCACAUGGGUUGGGAGUAGCGUGGGCUGUGAGUAGUAGAAUGGAUUUAUGGAGUUGAUACAAGUGCCCAUAAUCUAUCAUGUCAUUCUAGGAUUAAAUGGAUUGCACAUUACUGUAAAGAUGGAGGUUAAAUUUAUAUAAUUCGGAUUGAUUGUAAAAUGGGAGGCAGAGAUGAGUUAGAAAAAGAAUGACCUGUGUCCUUUUUGAGCUGUUUCUAAAUCUCCCUGGUGUGCUUCAUGCUUAACACGUGUCUUUCCAAAUAAUUUUGCUUAACCUGUGCUUGUCUACUUCUUGUGCUAUUCUGUGCCUGGUCCUGAGCUGUGUUGGUAGAUUGACAUAAUUUUGCUCUGCUAAAUGUAUAACUUAUUAAUCAGAGUCCUGUUAUUAUGGUUUGACACUACUGACAUAUUGUGUUGGUAUUUAUUUGUACUUCCCUUGGUUGAAUUAUUUGCUGUCUCCAUGCAAUUCGAUAUGGUGCUACUUGGUUUUUGAUCAUCCAUGACGCUAUAUAUAUGUAAAGGAUGAAUUGAUUGUUUUGGCUUGUAUUCUCACAUUUUAUGAUUGAUCGAUGGAAAGGUUUUCAUGCAUUAAAUUCAACCUCACAAGCGUAAGAUUGACAGAUUGUGGGCAAAUUUUCAGGAAAAGAAACUAGACUUCAUGGAAGCAAUGAAGCUUGAAAUUGAACGUCUGCAGCUGAAUCUUUCUGCAGCUGAAAGGGAUAGAACUUUAUUGUCAAUUGGAACUGAUCCUGCCUCUAUAAAUCCAAAUGUAUUGCUUGAUGAAUCUUACAUGGGAAGACUGUGUCGAGUAGCAAACACUCUUGCAUUACUUGGCCAAGCUUCCCUAGAAGAGAAAAUUGUUGGUGCAAUUGGCCUUGAGAAUAGUGGUGAUAGUGUUUUAGACUUCUGGAAUAUUACUAGAAUCGGAGAGAGUUGUUCUGGUGGUGGGUGCGAGGUUUGUGCAGAAACUAAGGUGCCUGCUCUUGCUUCCUCAACUGCAACAUCUGUUGGAUCUUCACAAUCCCCUUUGUUGUGUUCUCAAUGUGAAAGAAAAGUUUGCAAAGUUUGUUGUGCAGGAAGAGGAGCUCUACUGUUUUCAAAUUAUAAAUCAAGGGAUGUGACCAACUACAAUGGCUUCUCAAGUCAGAGUGGAUCAAGCCAUGGAAGCCAAGUUGAUGUAGCUACCAGUCGUUCACUAACACUGGAUGGCGUUAUCUGUAAACACUGUUGCCAUGAGAUGGUGCUUGAUGCAUUGAUGUUGGACUAUGUUAGGGUCUUGAUUAGGUUGCGAAGAAGUUCCUGUGCAGACAACGCAGCAUACAAUGCUUUGAAUGAGGUUGUUGGAUCCUGCUUAAAGGAUAGUCUUUCUGAGAGGAUUCAGUCUUCCGAUAAUGCGCAAGCAGCUAAAGUCCUGCACCAAUUAUGUGGUGGACAGGAAGCACUUGCUGAAUUUCCAUUUGCUAGCUUUUUGCACUCGGUAUGUUCUUGGUUUGUAUUCAGUUCUCAUCAUAUUAUGUUUUCCUUUUAAAUUUCAUUUCUUGAUUAAAAUUUUUAGAAAUGUGUUUUAGCAUUUAUUCUUAUGAUAUAUGCCCGGAACAUUCAUCCCACUUAUCCAUGAGAAUCCUUGUCUGGUUUGAUUUUCAAUUGAGACAUUUUUGGGAACCCUGCGCAGGUUCCAUAUGCUAAUAAUCUUUGAGGUAAGGUGUUGUAGGAUGCCUUGAGAAGCUAAAAACCCAUUACAAGGAAAAGGUCUUGCAUUGUUUUGUGCAAUCUGUGUGCGAGCUAGUCAUGUCUCUAAUAAUUUCAUAGUUUGCUUGAUUGGAAUUUUUUAUCUUGAUAUGGAUUGUUUAUUCUAGAUUCCUUGGUGCCACUGUAGGUUGAAACAGCAAAAGAUUCAGCACCGAUUUUGUCACUGCUUGCUCCAUUAAAUUCUGGAUCAAGGCACUCAUAUUGGAGAGCUCCACCUAGUACUACUUCUGUUGAAUUUGUUAUUGUUCUCGGUUCUGUUUCUGAUGUCAGUGGGGUUAUCUUGCUUGUUAGUCCUUGCGGCUAUUCUGUGGCUGACACUCCGAUGGUAAGUGCCAUAUUUAUUCCCUUAUUUCCUUGUUGUUCAAUAAAUUUGGUGAUAAGCCAAGUGGCCUUAAUAAUGAAGCCCAGUACCAGGGUUGGUGGGUAAUAGAUAUUCAACUUGUGAAUAUUCCUAAGCAAACACUGAAUCAACAUAUACCUCGGCUAAAGUUCUCUAUGCUAUUAUAACAAAAGUCAUAUUUUGAAAUGAUUAAAAGAGUCCCUGUGUAGUGCCAUUUCCAAAGAAAUUGCAGCUGGGGGUUUAGUUUCAUGUAGGUUAGUUUCCGAUAAUAAACUUUCUAUUUCAUUAAUUGCUGAUGAAAAAACCAAGUAAGAACAGUUUUGUUGCUCGUCAUUUUUGUAUAUUUUGGUAAACUGUAAUUUUAAAUUCUCAACGAUCUUCCCUUUGUAGGUAAGAAGAUGGUCCACUCACUUGAUAUUUAUGAUUGUAGAUCAGGUUUCUAUUGGUUUGCCUUUAUCAUUUAGAACCCAUGUUUGAUAUUAACAGAGAUCACGUCAAUAAUAUCCUAUUUGGGUAGAUGUGGGUGAGGAUUUAAAAUCAAAUUUGAAAUUGAGGGGAAAGAAGAGAAAAGGAACCACAAUAAUUAAACAAAAUAAUAGGAACUAUUCUGAUGAGUUUUAAUCUCGAGAGGAACAAUUUUCAAAUGCACUGCUAGAGAAAUUGUAGCUUUUUGUCAUUAGUUAAAAGGAAAAAGAAUAAGAACUAUCCGGCCCUUUCCUUCAUGAAUGUGUGUUGAGGUUGCUGUAUUAUUUAGUCAGUAUUUGUAAUUUUCUUCCCUGCAGUGCUCUCUGCCUCCUGAAUUUGCUUCCUAUUGCUGUUACAGGUGCAAAUCUGGGCAAGCAAUAAGAUACACCAGGAGGAAAGGUCAUCAAUGGGAAAAUGGGAUGUCCAAUCCCUCAUCACAUCUUCUUCAGAUUUGUAUGGUCCAGAAAAGUCUGCUAGUGUUGAAAAAUUACCUAGGCAUGUAAAAUUUACUUUUAAGAAUCCUGUUAGGUGCCGCAUUAUUUGGAUCACAUUACGUCUUCAGAGACCUGGUUCGGCUUCAGUUAAUUUCGGGAAGGACCUCAGUCUUUUGUCUCUUGAUGAAGAUGAAAACCCCUUUGCACAAGUAGACAGACGUGCUUCAUUUGGAGGAGCAGUUGAAAAUGAACCAUGUAUUCAUGCCAAAAGAAUUCUUGUAGUCGGAAGCCCAGUAAAAAGGGAGGGGCUUACCACAUCACAGAGCUCUGAGCAGCUAAGUAUUAGAAACUGGUUGGAUAGAGCUCCACAAAUGAGUAGAUUCAAGGUAUUAGUUGCUUUCACUCUUUGUUCAUUCAUAAUUCCAGCUUUCUGCUUCACUGAUAAACCUCUUUUUUCUCUUCAGGUCCCAAUUGAGGCCGAGAGAUUGAUGGACUACGAUCUCGUCUUGGAACAGUAUCUACCUCCAGCGUCACCUUCGCUUGCCGGAUUCUGUCUAGACGCUUUCAGUGCAAUAAAACCUAGGGUUACCCAUUCACCUUCCUCAGAUUCAGAUAUCUGGGACAAAUCAGUAACAUUUUUAGAAGACAGGUACAUCUCUCAAGCUGUAUUGUAUUUACAAGUAUCCGCACUCCAGGAACCACAUAACAUGGUAACUAUUGCGGAAUAUCGACUGCCGGAGGCUAGAGCCGGAACGCCAAUGUACUUUGAAUUCCCACGACCGAUACAGUCCCGACGAGUUUCAUUCAAGCUUCUUGGAGAUGUUACAGCAUUUGCAGAUGAACCUUCAGAACAAGAUGAUUCAGGAUUGAGAGCUCCACUUGUGGCCACAGGUUUGUCUUUGUCAAACAGAAUCAAGUUAUAUUAUUAUUGUGAUCCUUAUGAGCUUGGAAAAUGGGCAAGCCUUUCUGGAGUUUGAUCGUUAUUUAUAUGUCAGAGAAAGAGUUUUGGGUUUGAUUUUGAUUUUGAUUUGUAAUUUUUGUCAGUUUAUUGAAAUUUUUUUGUUGUAUAAAAGCAGAAUGUAAAGGUAUAAAAAUUCAUUGAUGCUGCAAUGUCUGUGCUUUUGAGAAAGAAGAAUUCAAUGUCUUUUCUAUGCCAUUGGAUUUUCCCACUGCUUGUAAACUUGGGCUGUCGAGUGCUCUGUGAACCUUAAGGGCUAUAAAGUAAUUUUUUAGACUGAAGGAUUUAUUAAUCGAGUUCAAAAGAUUGCAAGUUGGUGAGCGUUGGCAUUUAAAAAUCAAUUGUUAUUCUCUCAAUAAUCUCUCUCUUCUGCCGACACCCCAAGCUCAGAAACCCAUUGUUCCGACGGACGUGUAACACUUCCAGAAAUUAGCCUUUUCUUCUAUAUGAAGGUUGAUCUCUCCUCGUGAAGUGAAGGUGGUUUUCCAAUUACAUACGUCGGGGGUCUUAUGAUAUCUAAUGUGUGAAAUUUCUUUCUCAUUUUACCAUAAAGAAAAGUUCUGUAAUGAUCUAAAGUUGGGAGUCUUAAAUUAUCUUAAAUUUAUAUUUAGAGUGGAGUUAUUGGCACCCUACAUUAUUCUUACAAAAUUCUAUUUUAAAUAAAAUUAUAAUUAAAGACAAUUGAAAAUUAUAGAUUUUUUUACAGCAAAUUACUUAAGUCAUAAUUAAUCCUUAAAAAAAAAUCUAUAUGUUACUUCUUAUUUAAUUAAAAUAAAUUGUACAAAUUUAAAAUAAUUUAUUGUUUUCUUUUGAUUUUUUAUUGAUUAAAUAUUUUUAUACUUAAAAUUACUUUGAAAUUAUAAUUUAAAAUAUGUGUUAUAUGCAAUAGUUCGAUUUACCGAACCACAAAGGGAGCCAAUGUGGUUUUGCCAAAAUCACAUACUGUAGCAUAAUAACAGAUAUUAUUAUUGUAUAAUAGAUGGGUUUAGAAAAAUUGAAGAACCAAGUAAGUUAUUUGAAAAAUGUCGAUUCUCGUACCAAACCCAUGUUUUAUGCCAAUUGUUUUUGGAUUGGAGUGCAGGCAUUAACAAUGAUGGAGAUGGAGGAACUGUAGCAUUAGUCAUAUGAAGAGUACGUGUCAGGUUUGAUUUUCAUGUGAUUUGGUUAGUGACGACGAAAACGACGACGUCGUAGUUGAAAAGCGUUUGAAUUAAUGUUGCGUUAAAAAAAAAAUUUAACUUGUUCCACUAAUUAAGUCAACAUUACUGAUGUCUUAUCACCCUCGGCCAACUUAACAAUUGGUGUCCUUUGGACAAUUAAAUAUGAUUUAUUCAAAAAAAAUAAAACUAUUAAAUAUUAAAAAUUAGGUCCAUUAAUAAUAAUAAUAAUAAUACUAAGAAUUAAGAAGAUCUAAUUACAUAUCAAAAUGACUCAAACAAAUUAAUUAAUUUCAUAUUAGCUAGCCAAGUAGGUUGUCCAUCCCACUCAGACAUGCACGAAAGCUAAAUUCAUCAAAUGAAUUACUUAAGGAGUAUUUGAUAAUUUUGAAAUUAUAAUUUCAAAUUAAAAUAGUAGUAGCAAAAUCGUAGUGCACAUUCAAUUAACCAACUAAUAGUCUAAGAAGCAAAGAGAGGAUUACAAGUUCACAACACCAUUAAAAAGGAUUCAAAAUUCCCACACGAAAACAUCAAUGUACAGAUUAUAAACAAUCCGAAUUGGACACAAGAAAAAACCCUUCAAUGGAUUGCUUGCCUUCCCAAUGCUAUAUACUGUGCAAACUGCGCACUGGCCAAGAAAAUAUUUUCAAUUUAGUGUAUUUUCAAAAUGCUUAUUUUCUCAGAAUAUAAAAAAAAAAAAAACAAAAAAAGAAUUCUUACAUGUUUCAUCAGCAUGAUUAAAAUCAAAGAAGAAAGCGAAGACAUAAUGUCUCUGACAUAAUAAAAUUACAAUUUCAUGCAGCAGAGAUUGAAGAGUUGAAUUCCACUUAUAGACACCGACCUCUUGUUUUGUCUAAUGUUAAUAACGAAAACAACAACAGAGGAUUAACUGAUGCUUUGACUUAUUAUCAGGUUGCAAUGAAUUAUUAACUGAUGCUUUGACUUAUUAGUUCUGCUGCUAAGUUAAAUAAAAUAAGGUAUUUUCAAAAGCAAAAUGGAAUACAUAGAUAAAACAUCAUCUUAAACAAAUCAUAAUCUAGAAUUGGAGACAUACCCAAGGAGAAAGAAUACGUGAAAAUGGGUGAUUCAUUUGUUAAGGAGUGUUGAUUUGGUCGUCUCUGCAAAUUCUUUAGGGACUCGGUUCCAGUUCCUCUUCAUCAAAACUGUAAUAUAAUUCCCCUUCAUCAGAACUCGAAUCGAUGCAAUAAAAUUCCCCUUCAUCAGAACUCGAAUCAAAUUCACUUGCAGCAGUUCCACUCGCGCUUGGCAAAUCAUCCAAUUUCCAAACUUCGGUAGCAAAAUUGAGAGUAAAAGUGUUGGCUUUGGUCUCUCUGGGAUUUGCAUAUACUGGACAUACUCCGCAACGUUUUAGCUUAGUGAAGAACUUAAAUGAGGCAGUUGUAUGAUGGUAACCAUCAGGAAACCCAACAUUCAAGCAAGGUUUAAAACCAAGUAUGACAUGAUCUGAAUCAAGGGAGCCAGUGCACACCAUGAAACCCAGAUCAACAUGUUUGGUUUCAGAGAGAGUCUUUAUUUCUAAGUCGAGUUGAAAGCGGACGUAAAUAUUGCAGCAAUAACAAGAAUGAAGGUGCUUAAAAUCAAGAACAGCACAAAAAGCAAACCCGAUUAAGUUUCUGCAAGAAGACUGCGGUGGCAGUUGAAUACAUAUCGAAGAUCCUGAACUUUGAUUGCUGAACCAGUCAGGAAUUUCGCUUCCAGGUAAAACAAUUAGGGAUCCCCUCAGUUCAGAAAGUUUCUGUGAAAUGACAUUUAAAAAAAAAAAUUGUAAAAUGAAAACCAUGAUUUCAGAUAUAACAAAGAGGGACAGAGUAAACAAGAGAGGGAAUUUGAUACCUCGUUGAUUGCCUUUUCAUAGCCCAGUCUCAGUGAUGCAAUUGCCACAUGCCGAAUUCUUAGUUGUGAAUCUGCCAAAAUCUUGUUGUUUGCUUUUCCAUUCAGUUUCAAGCAGUUAGUAAACCCAAAAUAAAUUGGUUGUGACUCCAGAAGUCCGGUUGCCCAUUGACGAAGGUCAGGAGAGGGUUUCGAUAGCUUUUCUAGUACGGAUGCAUCUAGUUCUUGCAGACAUGACGGAAUCUCUGGCAAAGAUUGAAGCCGGUUGCAGUUCGUUGCAUCUAGUUCUUGUAGACACAAUGGAAGUUCUGGUAAUGACCGAAGCAUGUUACAACCCGUCAAGUGAAGAUAUUUUAGACACAAUGGAAGUGCUGGUAAUGACUGAAGCAUGUUACAACGCCUCAAGUCAAGAGAACACAGCCGCGACAGUUGCUUGAUACUUGCAGGUAAACUCUCAAAGUUAUUUCCACGUAGAUCCAAGCUUUUCAGUGAGGAUAGAUAGGCAAUCUCUUGUGGAAUUUCCAUUACAGCACAGUUCAUUAUGUAUAGAAGUCCCAAAGAAGAUAAACCUAAUAAUAAUGAUCGAGGCAAUGAUACCAAACCUUUGCAGCGAGAGAAAUCAAGAAUUAAAAGUGCGUUUGAAUCUGCAACAGAGGAUGGUAGUUGACUAAUAGCUGAUCCAGCUGCUGAGAUGUGACGCAAAGAUUCUAAAUUGCCAAUGUUAUCCGGCAACUUAUCAAGUUUAGAGCAAUCACUUACGAACAAUUCUUCAAGCCCCGGUAGAUUUUCAAAUGACGAUGGCAGCUCUGUAAUUGCCGUCCCGUCUAAAUUGAUGCGUUUUAAAUGUUCCAUUUUCUCCAAGAUUUCUGGGAAGCGCUCAAGGUUCAAGCAGCCAUUAACAAAAAGAUCAACCAAAGAUCUCAAUUUACAAAACCUAGUUGAAAUCCUCUUCAGCCGUUUGCAAUCCCUCAAAUCCAACACUUCAAGAUCAGUUAGGCACUCUAUUGAUGAUGGAACUUCUUCUAUUGCAGACUGGUCUAAGUAUAGCCGUGUAAUUUUCCCAGAAAUCUGUGGAAACUCUAUGAGAGUAACACAAUAGGAGAAAUUAAUAGUUACUGGACAAACAAAAUGAAGAUUGCUUGGAAAAGACCUAAGACUUUUGCAGCCCUCAAAAGACAGCGCACUGAGAUACUUGAAAUUCUGGAUAGAUGAGGGAACACAAGCCUUUUCUCCUUCCCAAGGUUGCUCAACUUUACUAAAACGCAAAUUCAGUUCAACAAGGUUCUUUGGCUUGAAAUUUGAUGGCAGUAUCCUUAAUGGAUAUGUGUCCCAAUGAAGAUAUCUCAAUUUUUCAGGAAGAUAUUCUAGGCCAUUUGGAAGCUGCACUUCAGAGUAUGAAAGUUGCUCUUCAAUGCUCAUACUUAGAAACCUUUCAAUCUCAUAAAACUUACUUGGAAACCUUUCAAUCUCAUAAAACUUAGGUACAUAAAAUUUGAGCAAUCUCAGAUUAGACAUAUUUGUGAAGGCUCCGGGGUCUAAAUUGAUGCAUUUUAUUUUGGACAAAUCCAGAAAUAUGCCUUCAAUUGCAUCGGUCCCCUUAUAAAAAAAAAAAAACAAAGAAUGAGUAAGCCAAAAAUAAAAAAGCAACAUGCGUAAACUUUAUUAACUAAGAGCUCCUUAAACAAAAACAAAUUCUGCAAUCUUUGAUUUUAUUUUUUUAAUAUAUUAAAUAUCUAUAUGCGAGAAAAGAAAAUUUUGGGGACCAUUGCAAAAUUAAACUAACCGAAAAAAAAUUCAAAAUUUCUCUAAUUUACAAUCCUAUUAUCUUAAUAUCUAGAAGUUGAGAAGAGAGUGCCUAUUUGAUUGGUAUAAGAUUUCGAAAUUUUUUUUUUUUAGUCGAUAGAAUCCAAAAUGUUAGUUCAAAAUUAGGGAAAAAAAUAAAAGUCAUUUUUUUUCCACUAGUUAAAACUGUAUCCAAGUCAAAUUAAGAUACGACCCUUUUUAAAAAGAUUUAACCAUCUUACAGCCUCCUUAAGGUACAUUUAAGCUAAAAGGAGUAAUUUGAGGCAGAACUAGGUGGUCCAAUCAGUCCAUUUUAUUAGUGUCUGUUGCUUAAAAAAUUUAUACUCUAAAACACACUUUUUUGGAAAAAAAAAUAUAAUUACAUUGAAGUAGAAUCAGGUGGGCCAAUCCUCAUGGCACUCACUUUAUUUUGACACUCUUCACUAAAUUUGAAGAAAAAUAAAAUUAUACUCUUCACACUCUUAUUCAACAUUCCAAAAUUGAUAAAAUCUGGAGUUUUCUUUAAAAAUUUAAAAUUUGAAGACUUGUUCUCUUGACACCCUCAGUCAUUAAUUUUACCUAAUUAUGGUUUUUAUGAUUUUGGUUGUUUUGUUCAUAAAAAUGAUUUUACUAAAGGAUGCUCUGGUAAUAAUAAAAUUUAUAAAAAAAAAUGGGUGUGCUGGUAUGAUUGGAAAAAUAUGAGUGCAUAACUCCAAACAAAUAAAAGAUAUAUAAAAUAAAUGGAGGAUUCUUACCUUUUUAUGCUUGAGUACGCGGCGGAUUUCCUUAGGAUCCCACAACCUGCUGCGUUUGCCAGGCUCUUUCUCAGAUUCUUGGCGAACAAUCUGUCGCCCCAUUUCUUGCAAUAAAUCAUGCAUUUGCAAGCAAUUACCUGAUAUUGAUAUGAGUGACUUAUCAAUAAGGACAUCCAGUCCAUCAGACUCAGAAUCAUCAAGAAUCCUUGCCACAAAAUCUUUAUCCUCUCCCUCAAAGAAACACGCAAUAUCUAGAAACAAACUCUUCACCCUAGGAAUUAAUUCAUUAAAACUAAUCUUUAAUAUUUCAUAAAUAUUAUGAAUAUCAGAUUCACAAAUCCGAUUUAAGUCGUGCAAUACAUUUUCCCAAUGGCUUUUCCUCUUGAGGCACAGGGAGGAACCCAACACUUUAAGAACUAAGGGAUUGCCUUUGGCAUACUCUACAACCCUCCGUGAGUGCCAGUUGAGAUUUGUAGGACAAUGAUUUUCUUUAAAAGCGAAGUUACAAAAAUGCUCGAAAGCCUCUUCAAAUUCCAAUCCAUUAACCCUAUGUAUUUUCUUCUCCUCCCCUCUAAAUUUUUCGAGGACUCCUUUAUCCCUGGUGGUUACAACAAUUCUACUUCCUGGACCAAAUUGAUCAAGCUCUCCAAUCAGACCCUCUAAUUGUCCAACUUCAUUCACAUCAUCGAGUACUAUCAACACCUUCAUACGCCAGACCCUCUCUUUAGUAAAAUGUGGAAUAUUGGCACCAGCUACUUCAAGUUUUUCGCUUAAUAUUGUGGAAAGCAUUUCCUUUUGGAGAUGUUCUAAUCCACCUCCUGUUUCAGAAUUUCUCCUAACAUCUGACAUAAAGCAGCUACCAUCAAACUCACCAGUGAAUUGAUCGAAAAUAGCUUCAGCAAGGGUGGUUUUGCCUAUACCGCCCAUGCCCCAAAUUCCAACAAUUUGGACAGUAUCCGACAAAUCCAUACACAAAAAUGGUUUAAUCUGCUCAAUUCGUGAAUUUAAUCCAACUAGGCCAUUGGAUGAGUCCGUUGCGACUGUUAUUUUUUCCAAAUUCUUCAAAACAUCUUCGACAAUUUUGUUUACAAGUUCCGCAUCGUGCCUAAUAUAAAGGUGCAAAGAUGCAAAAACAUUGAGUCAAAUCGGGCCAAGACAGAAACAGAGAUAAGAUGAAUUAGGAAAGAGAGUUACCUGAAUUUCGUGGAUUCGUGGCCAGCAAGACCGGAUGUUUCUCUCAGUGCAUCCCUCCACCUCUGAACCAUUUCUGGCUUCUCUUCGAAGUGUUGUUUCAGCUGAUCAAAACCGUGCUUAAAAAUUCCAGUUUGAUGCCGCACAUCGGAUGGACUUACUCCAUAGAAAACCGGAAUAAUGAUUUGGCGGUUUGUGUGCUUGCAUUCAAGAAUCUUGACAAGUUCAUUCAGGCACCAUUUUGAAGAACCGUAGUCCUUUGAGAAAAUGACCACCGAAAUUUUUGAACCUUGGAUUGCGUUCAAAAGGGCAUCUGAAAUCUCAUCUCCUCGCCUAAGCUUUUCAUCAUCCAUAAAUGUUUUGAUUUUCUUUUUGUCAUACAAAUCAUCAUAGAGAUGGCAAGUAAAGAUCCUACGAGUGUCCUCCCCUCUAAAAUUGAGGAAGACUUCAUAAAUGCAAGAAGAAGAAGAAGAAGAAGAAGCAGCCAUGAAGGAAAUUUUAGAAAAUUGGUGACAGAAACAGAGAAUUAAUCUUGAGAGUUGAGAGAGGAGAUGUAAGAAUGAACAUGUGUGAAGAUUCUUGCAAGCACACAGAAAAUAAUUGAAUGGCUGGAGCUUUCUUAGUUUCCUGGAAAUUUCCUGGAGCUUUCAUAUACAUGAUUUGUCAAGUCAAGAAACAUAAUCAUGAUAAUGGGGCAGACCAGGAAGAAAAGAAAACUUGAUUCAACCAAUAAAGGAAGGAAAAGCAAAGAAAGAAAAUUUGAAAGUAGAUUCAGAGAAUUAUAAAAAGCUAAAGGAAAUUGGAAUUUUGUACAAUUUCUCCAGCGAAAAUUAAGCAUAGAAUAAUCCUAAAAUUUAAACUCUAAUAUCUUAUAAUGUAUUGAUUAAAAAUAAUCCUAAGAGUUCCCAAUUGAAACUUUCAUAAGUAUUUUAAUUGUUUUGGAUAAACAAAUUGUACUAGGAUAAAAAUUUGGCAAAUUCAGAGGAUAAUGGAAAAUAGUUAUGCUUCAAUAGGCCAAAGAUUAGAGAACAAACAAGAAUUAGUUAUUGAUACACAAAAGAGAAACACUCCAAAAUUUCAAGCAAAAAUAGUUUCAUAUACCAUUUCGAUUUUGGAAGGGGUGAGGUUUUGAACUUCAAUAGUUUCCUCUAAAAUUAAAAGGCAGCAAUUAAACUAGAAAGAGCAAUGAAGACUUAUUGGUACUUUAUUGAAGGUAAACAUUAUGAAACUUUCAAUGUCAUUACCUCAUUGUUCAAUUUUUAUUGAGAUUUGUGUAAGCAUUUAGCUAAAUCUUACCUCCGCCUUUAAAUUCAUUAGUUUUGAUUAAUUAUGAGACCUGGGAGAUAUUAUAAUCGAACUAAAACUUAAAAUUUCAAUAUCAUUAUUCUUUAAAAAGAAAUUGAGAUUUCAGAGUAAUAUCACAUAGAAAAACUUGCCCACGGACGGUAAGCCAAAAGUCUAGUCAACCACACGCAUAAAGCUAACUAGAACAAGAGAACAGAGAAACGCGUGGGUCCCUAAAAGAAAAGGCGUGGGUCCCAAAAGUCUAGUCAACCAUACCGAUGAAAAUCACUGAUUAAGAAUAAUAUAUUAUGUGGUUGAAGAUUUCUUUUUAUCAAUCUUCUUUCUACCCAUUAAUUUUCCCACGACUUUCCGGUUUCAUUUCUUGAAUCUCCAUGGAUUAACUUUCAAUAAACCAUAAAAUAAACUAAGGAAUCAUUUUCUCGAACACAGCUAUGAUUUUAAUAAAUGGGCGGACCAUCUAGAAUAGUAUAUAUAAUUCUGUUUAAUUAAUAAGUUGAAAAAACCAUAAAGAGAAAUUCUAAUAUUAUGAGCUUGACACGAAUUCUUCACUAAUUCCAAAACAAGGAGCUGUUUUAUAAGAACUGUGGUUGGAUUAUUAAGUUUUACAAUUUGAAUAUAAAUAAGAAAAUAAAAUCAGUCGCGUCGAUGUUUUCGAUACAUUUCGAUGCUAACUUAAUUAAUUACUUUACUUCAACUUUAUUUCCUGACGGACACUAUAUGGUGGGUCCAAGAUGGGACCUACAAUAAUCAAUCCUAGAAUUUAGUAUGGUUACCAAAUAGCUAGUGUUAUUUUGUGUUUGGUGGAAGAGAUUGAAUAUUUAGUUUUAACAUAACCAUUCAACUAAUUAGAAAAUAAAUAAAGUUAAAUGAAAUGUUUAGAUAUCAAUUUAAAUAUUAAUAUCCGGGAUAUAAAUUAGUUAUAAUAUAGUUCAUUACAUAAAAUUGAUUAAAUUAAUAAUUACACAUGAACAUAGAUGUAUAUGCUUUCCAAUUUCCAAAGUGCUCAAAGCACUUUUCUCACCAAACUUUCCUCUGAAUUUCCCGUAGCUGACUCCAUUGUUUGCGUUUUGUGAAAUUUCUAGGAACUUUUUCUAUUUAGAAUAUUGUACAUUUUUCUUUUCAGCUGAGAUUAAUUUAACUUAUAGAAAAUCUUAUCCUUUUUUUAAUAUUAUUUAAAUAAAAUUUGUCUAUCUUUCAUUUUAUCAGUCUACUUUUUACCCAUUAAUUAAGACUUUUCGAUUUCUUUUUUUCCUGAGGUUUUCAGUGACUAUCUUUCAAUAAACCAUAAAAAUUAAUGAGUCAUUUAUCGAACAAUUAGAUGACCAUAUUUCAAAAUAUCAACUAGAAGUUGCCCUGAAAUAUUUAAUUAAUAGUUGAAGAAUUGUGAUUAGUGUGGGCAUCUACAUAAAAAUUAUAUUAAAACACCGCUAAAAGAUAAAAAUAAAAUAAAAUAGUACAAACAUACACCCAUAGGUUAAAACAAAGAAAAAACACGAACCAAUACACUAAAAUGUUUUAGCUGUAGUUAGUUUUCAGUUUCAUUACUUAAGUCCCACGUGCAUGUCACGUGACUGAGGUCAAAAAAUGAUUGUCAGAUUAAAGUUCAAAGUACGGAGCAGGGUAAUUAAGGAGUGGAGCUAUUGGCACCCCUCCAUUAUUCUUACAAAACCCCACUUUAAAUCAAAUUAUAAUUAAGAAUAAUUGAAAAUUAAACACUUAUAGAUUUCUUUACAACAUGUUUAGUGAUAAAAAAGCACCAGUCGGGCAUGUCCCCAUUUCUUACCCGGGGCCGAAUCUCCUCGGCCGAAUGGUAUGAGUAGACUCUUGGUGAUGUGUUCUAUGUGGAGCACGUAAAACAGACCAGGAACUAGUACCAACCAGAAACGAGUACUGAUCAGAAACAAGCAUGACCAGAAACGCAUACCGACUAGAGACUUGUGGGUCCCUAAAAGAAAAGGCAAGCACAUAAACGAAAAAGCCAUUACAUUUCUAUUUUACAUGUCAUUCCUAAUUUUUGUAACACGGUGUGGCAGCAUAUGCACAAUCAAAUGAGGCAAAAGGGAUUCGACUAUCGUGGCAGAACAUGGACGAGGAUGCGUGAUGAAUAAUUCCUUCGAUAAAACGAAAAACAAAUGCAGAGAAAAGAAUUUCUUAUAUGACAAGAAAUUAAAGUAAUGUGACGGAACAUGAUGAAGAAAUUGCAGAUCGAUCAAUUAUCCCCAUGGACUCCUAUAAAUUCAACCAAAAUAACAAUUCCAAUAUUACCAAAUUCUUGAGUUAAAUUUAUUCAAUGCUUUUUUUUUUUAGAGAAAUUUUUUCCAAUGCUACUUUCCCUUUUUUGGGGAAAUUAGAACUGCGGCAUGUAUAGAAGACAUUGAGGUAUAAAGCAACAUUAAUUUCAUGGGUUAUGCGUUAUACGCAUAAUAUAUUGUCAGUCCAAAUUCAACUAUACAAAGAGGCUUGAGAACUUAAAAUUAAGCACAAACUAAACAGACGAAGUAAAUACAUGAUUAUGCAACAUAACAUUAAUUCUCUUAAUUUAUAACUGUUUUUGCCACAUGAAUCUUGCACAGUUAAUCCUAAUUGAAGACUAAAAAAGAACAAUUGGAACAAGGUUUUGAAAUAGAAUGAUAUACAAUCGAUAUGAUCCAUUUCCAGUCGUCAACGCUAAUUAACUGCAGUUUCUAGACUCCUAAUUAUACUAGCCAUAAGAAACUGUUUAGAAAACUGGUGAUCAGAUUAGAUUUUGAAAAGAAAUAAUUUUCAUUUUCCCUUCGCUACCUUUUUUUUUUAAUUAUUUUUAUACCAAAGAAUUCUAUCAUGAAAAGAAUCAAUUUAAUCACCUUUUCCAGCAGCACAAUUUUUCUUUUAUAAAAUUUGACCACAGAGACAAAGAAGAAUUAUUCAUACCUUCAUCAGUAAGGAAAUACUUUUCAUUAUGGCUAGGGUGAGAAAAGGCUUUCCACAACACUUGUACUUUGUAUUCCUGUAAAUUUUCUUUAAAGUCAAUAAAAACCAUAAGUUCUUUACAAUAACCAUCUCUUUGAUAAAAAAGUGCCGUAUUCCUUUAGAAUUUAAAACCGGAAAAAUUGAAUCAGUGUCUUUGAAGAGACAUAAUGGUCGUAAUUCUUUAAAUGAGUUGGCUAUGGAAAUCCUUAUCCAAGAUUCUUUUACGCCAUAUUCUUUCGUAAACCAAAAUUCAUUUUGGAAUACUCUGUUGAGAAUGUCAAAUAAAACGGCAUUGAAGGAAGUUUUCAAAGGCAGAAUCCGCACUUGUCAAAGGGAUGAUCUGCACUUGUCAAAGACACGAUCCGCGUCGAAUGAAUCGACACAUUUCCUUUCGUAUUCGCAUAUGUAAUCUUUGAAAAAAUGUAGCUUCUGCAUCUAUAAAUAACGCUUAGUGUAUAAUGUUUUAUUCAAGAAAAGAAAACAAGUUUCUUCAUACUCGUCGUCCGAACAUACAGAGACCGUCUCUUAUAACUUCAGCCGAAUACUUAUGAUGAUGAUCAUUUGUGAUUUCAUCAGGCAAAGGGUUGAUGGUGAAAAAAUUUGUAUGUGUGAAGAAUUGAGCUGUGGAUAUAGGGGACUUAAGUGUAAUCGAAAGAGAGUUAUUAGGCCAUAGUGCAGAUUGCAUUCAGUUUAUGAGUCGAUAUGCAAAUAAUUUGUUGACGUGGCGAAAUUUGUUAUGGUCGUUACUAUUGUUUCUGGAAAUUUUCUAGAAACCUCAGCAUAAAAGGGGCUUUUGCAUAGCCUCUGGUGUGCGUGUGAUUUCUCUUUCGUUUCCUCAUCAAAUUCUGUAAUUCUUGCUUUGAUAAAAAGCUUGUAAUCUCUUCUGUAAUGUGUGAUCAGUGCGUAAUCAUUUUGAGCAAUAAGAGCUUGUGGGUUUUUCCUUCAAACAGUGUCGUUUUGGUCAGUUUGUUAGUUUGAUCUGUUGGUGGAAUUUUCUUUGGUUAUUUGUUCUCAAAUUUCAACCGUAUAUAAAGUUUGAACUCUAAUGGCUUAUAAUGUAUUGAUUAAGAAUAAUCCUAAGAGUUCCCGAUUGAAAUUUUUAAUGACUAUUUUUAUUGUUUUGGAUAUACAAAUUGCAUUAAGAAAAAAUAUUGUCAAAUUCAGAGGAUAACGGGAAAUAAUUAUGCUUCAAAAGGCCAGAGAUUAGAGAACAAAGAAGCAUUCAUUACUGAUAAACAAAAGAGAAACACUCCAAAAUUGCAAGCAAACUAGUUUCAUAUACUAUUUGGAUUUUGGAAGGGGUGAAGUUUUGAACUUCAGUUGUUCCUCUAAAAUCAAAAGCAUCAAUUAAGCGUUCUCAAUUAGAAAUAGCAAAGAAGACUUAUUGGUACCUUACUGAAGUUAACAUUGUGGCACGGUUGUUCAUAUGUAAUGGCUGCUCUGUUAUGCUAGCUUCUCUGUUUUUGCUUACAGUUUUGAACAUAAAUUCUUGCUCAAAUAACCCAUAAUUAAAUAACACUAAUAUGGCUCGUGAAGUCCCAUAAUAGCUAAUUACGCAACUUUCUCCUCCUCCUCAAUUAUGUCUUCCCCUGCUCGGACACUAACUUCAAAAUUCAAUGCCCCGAAAAACAACACAAGAAAUCUUUGAGUUAGUUCGUGACCAGUUUAUAUAUAGUAGCAAUUGAAAAAAGAAAAAGAAGAAAAAAGUUAAUUAUUAUUCAGACCUUCACUUAUUAGGAAGUUUGUUCUGCUAUUGGGUGAGAUCAAGCUCUCAGCAUAUACUUCCACAUGAUACUUUCUAACAUUUUCUUGAAAGCCAUCAAUCAUAAAAUCUUCAUACUUUUUUCCAUCCUUUGGAUCAAUAAGUACAAUUUUUUCAUCUAAAACAGACAAAAUAAAAUCACUGUCCUUCAUGGAACACAAUGGCUGCAAUGCCUGAACUGAAUUGGCUAAUGAAAUUUGAGUCCAGGAUUCUCUCAGCCCAUAUUCUUUCAUAAUCCAAAAUUCUUUUCUUUCUCGACAUGGAACAUAGUCUUCUUUUCUUUCUCGACACAUGUCUCUGUACUUUUCUCUCUCUACUGAUCCACACUUUUUCAUACUUCUAACUAUCAUUUUGUUUUUUUUUUUUUUUGAGUUGUGAUUUAUUCAAUUAUUUUGUAUUUUUAAUGACAAUUGUUUAAUAUUUAGUUAGUUUUGAUAUUGAUUAGUGAUUGAAAGUGUAUUUUAGAAGACUUCCGGUCUCUUGAAAAAAGGAAAAAUGGAGAAGAAGAAGAAGUGUUCUUGAUUUUUUUGUAGGCAUUAAAGUUAAACGGUUUGAAAUGAUAUUUUGUUUUUAUUUCACUCAUUAAUCUCAUUCAGGAUAAAAUUAUAAAUGCAAAUAAAUGGGGUUUCAUAAGUAUUUUUAAUAGUGUUAAAAGGUCUACUCACUAAAUAAACAUGUUUUACCCAAACCAAUCCGAUUAAUAAGUUAUUAGGUUGGGUUGAUCAGGUUAAAAAUCAAAAUUAAAAAUUAAAUAAAUAAAAGGCAUAAAAACUAUCUGUUACUUGAAAAUAAAAAGAAUUUCUAAUAGUUAGUUCUAAUGUCCCAUAUCCAAAACAUGCAUAUUGUGAGGUUUGCUGGUGAAUCAAACUCAUCAGAACCAAAUGAUGACGUUUUGGCAAUUGAAGGAGCACUUAAAAGACACGUGAAACGCACGUCUGUUGUCACUUAAGAUUAAAGCUUGAAACGGCAGUUCAACCAUGUCGUUUAAAGGAAGCUUAGAAGUGAUGCACGUGACAGAUGUGUGAAGCAGCUCAUCUCAGUUCGUUAAGUUUGUUAUGCUACGUGUAAGCAAUCAGUUCGAUCUGGGUUUAGCUGGUUAGUUGCUCUGUUAGUUAUAAGAGCAGGCUGAUGAAACGAUUUGGGUUAAGCUUGUGAAUUCAUAUCAGAGAGAGAGAGAUUUCAGUGAAAGGGUUAAGAGUUCUCUGAAAUCUUGUAAACCAUUCUCUGUAAGAAAGAUCCUCCAUUGUUGAAUAAUAAAAGCUCUGCAGAAAACUUUUCCUGUGGAUGUAGAUUGUACCAAUUUGGUACAACUGAACCACGUAAUUGAUUCUUGUGUUGUCUGUGAUUUGUUUGUUUCUUGAUUCUCUAUUCUUUCUAGUUCUUGGGUACAUUGUUUUCACUUGGCUAGAUUCAUUCCUCAAUCUGUGCAUCUUGUAUAGUUCUUUAUCAAAGGUCCUGGGAAGUGUUUUAUUUGUCUUGCAUGUUAUAUAGCAAAUUAAAACACUACACAUAUUAAAUAAUAUAUUAUAAGUUAGAAAUACAAUAUCUAAAGAAAGAAUUAAUGAAAUAACAUAUUCUUGUUGAGAAUUAAGAGUGUGAUUUUAAUUUUGAUAUUGGAGUCUAAAGCAAUAGAUAGUACAAUGAAAUCAUGAAUGCUACGUUUAAAUAAUCUCUUUUAUAAAAUAAUAAAAAGAGGUUAAAAAUUAGGUUAACAUUUAGGGUUUAGCAGUUAAGGAUGAAUAUAUUAUUAUUGUUGUUGUUGUUAUUAUUAUAAUAAUAAUUAUUAUAAUAAUAAUUAUUAUUUAUAUGUUAAUUAAUUCAAUCCAACUUAAUUAUUAAUGAAUUUGAAAAAAUUGACCCAAUUAAUCCACAAUAAUUCAUUCAACUCGUCUAAAUUAGAUUAAGUUGAACUUAAUUUGCUACCCCACAUUGAGCAACAAACCUCAACGUCAUUCUACGAGCUCUUUGAUUGUUUAUAAAAUUGAUUUAGAGUACAUAAAGUGUAUCGACAAUGAAAGUGCAAAACAAAUUAUUGUACAUAUUAAAAUGUGCAAAAACAAUGAAUUAUAUGUACAAACGAGUGCAAACACAUUUUUCAAUAAGAAGUUGGAAGAUAUUUAUGCAUGAAAAAGCCUACGUUUGUAGUUAUUCUAAAUUUUAAAAACAAAAUUUACAUUUAGAUUCCUAAAAUUUACAUAUAAGUAUAAAAGUUUCAAAUAUUGUCUAUUAUUUUUUUAACAUGCCUAUUCCUUGUGGAUAAUUUUGUCUCAUCACUAAUGUUGUUUCUUGCUUACAAAAACCAAAAGCCACCUCCUUUUUGCAAUUUUUAUAGCGUCUCAAAAUAGACAAUAGGGGGAUUUUGAAUUUUUUAAGUCUCAAUAUAGUCUCUAAUCUUGUGAGAAAUAUUUUCUUUCAAUAAUUUGGAGGUAAACAUAACAUAACUUUUUGGACUAAAGCCUAACUCUGCUAAUAAGUAAUUGGUGGUAUCCUUUUCAAGACUUGAGUCUUUAGAUUCGAGUUUUAUAUAGUGUGCAUGUGUAUUUAAUUAAUAUUUUUUUUCAAAAAAAAUUACAUCAAAUACUAAUAUUCAUGACAUAAUUUAGUUCAUAAUUUUUUUAAAUACAUCGAAAAAUAUAAUUUUUUAACAACUUAAAGGCAUGACAAAUUUCAAGAUAUAAAUAUCAGUCAAAAUAAGUGAAAGAAAUAAUGGUGUCAAUUCUAAUUUCUUAACUAAAUUAAUUACUGCAUGAGCCCCGAAUAUGACACGAGAGUUUGAUGGGCUAACUUGGCACAAGAACGUGAAUAGUUAACUCAUUUAAGAAAUAAUUCAACAAAAAAUAUAAUUGAUAAGAAUGCAAUAUUGAAAUGAAUUUUUUACGAAACAUUGAAUUAAUGAUUAUUAAGCAAGAACAAUAAAAAAAUAAAAUAAAAAUAAAGAUUAACCAUUGAUAAGCUUCAACAAGAACUUAACACAACCCUCAAUCCUAAUUCAAAUUAUAAAUGUCAUUCAUAUAUUCAUUAUAAAUCAAUAACAAAGGUUAUAAAUGUUUAGAAAUUCUAGAGGGAAGGAAGCUAUCGCCGGGGAAUCAACAACUAAAAUUGAUGUAAUUGUGGCACGAGAUGGAAUAUGGAAACUACACCAUAAUUUUAAAUGCCGCCAUAGACAUUGACUUAUCUACAAUAACAAUGAUCUAAUUAAAAUAAAAAUAGAGUUUAUGGGCAUUUAUUAUUUUGACAUUCCUCAUUUGCAAAUAGGGAUACAAUUAUAAUUUAUUUAGUCAAAGCAAACAGUAAUUUUCUUCAUUAUAGGAGUGAAGUAAAAACAUUUAGAUUUUAAUGUAUGUAAGGAAAAAUUUAUCUUUAAAAAUACUUUCUUAAUGUGUGUAUGCAUAUUGAAAUACUCAAACCAAUUUUGGUUAUAUAUAAUUAAACAAAUUUUAAAAUAUGAAAAAUAUAAUGUAGUUAUAGUGGAUAAACAAUAAGUGAGCACAAUAUAAUUAAUCAAAUAUUGUGCUAUCAAAAGUUAAUUUUAGAAAUUCCAAAUCCAAUAGCUAACACAAUUCUUUAAAGAAAAAAAAAAGGUUGACACAAUUAAUAAAAUUAGCGACAUGAAUUUCACGCCAUUGAUAAUCAGCAAUUAGUAUUACUUUCUAAACUUGCUUCAACUGGUCGUUGAUGUCCGGGUCACCAAAAGUAUAAGCGAUAAUAAGGGGCAUUGGGCAAGAGUGAUGAAUGUUUAGUGGGUGCAUUUGAUUGAUAGAUAUAUAAAGGGCCGAAACUUGAGAUUAUAUUACUUUUACAAAUUUUAAUCCAAUCACAUAUUUAAUGAAAACAAAAUGAGUUAGGAUACUUUAUUUAAAAUACACAUUUUAAUAAGGCUUCAUUUAAUUAAAUAAAAUUAUAAAAGUAAAAUAUAUUUUAGAUAUUUUAAUAUUUAAGAAAAAAUUUUCAAUCUUUACUUUCAGAAGCUCAAAUUUUUAAUUUUUAGUUGUAGAGACAAAAUAUCUUAUUUAAUGUUUAAAAGUUCUGCUAAAAACAAUCAAAUAACUACAAAAAUUUUAAUAAGAGCAUAUAAAAUUAAAUAAGCAUUUAUUAAUAAUCACUUUAGUGUACUUAUCUAAUAACAAUAAGUGUUUAUUUAAUCUAAUAAGUUUUUAUUUAAUCUAAUGAGCUCUUUUUAAUUUUUUUUUAGUAGAGCUUUUGAAAAUUAAAUAAACUAUUUUGUCUCUAUUAAGAAAAACUUAAAAUUUAGGUUUUUGUAAGUAAAUGUUUAAAUUUUUUUUAAAAAUAUUAAAAUAUUAAAAUAUCUUUUCUUUAUUUCAUAAUCUUAUUUCAUUCUUCACAACAUAACUUUAAAUAACUUACCUAUUAAAAUAAUUUCACAAUUUCUAAUAAAAACUCCGAUUAACAAUCAAGCAAUAAUUUUUUUUUUUUUUUUGUAAAAAUUCUAUUUGUAAAAACUCUAAUAAUAAAAAUUCUACUUAAAUAAAUUUUAUUUGAAAAGGUAUACUAAACGAACCUAAGAUAAAAACAAAAAUUUUUAGAUCCAGACAAUUAAGCUUAAAACAAUUUCAAAUGAAUUUUAGACUAAUCAAAGUACAAUACGUACCAAGUUUGGUAAUUUAUUGACAUCUUCUUAUAUACCUUCGAUCAAGUCGAUUCUCACUUGACGACUAAUUGGUAGUUUGGUACAUCACCGUUGUUCCCUAUACUCGCAUGCAUCCGAUCACAAAUCUCACUCCAAUUGUUGUCUUUCUUCGGCGUUUUAGCGCAUCCUUCUUGAAUUUCUCGCAUUUCGUUCCCUUACAAGUCUCCGGUCAGGUCAGUUCACUUGACGAUUAAUUCGGCAAAUCUUGAAUCUCUUCUCUAUCCCUCUCGUUUUCUCGUGUCUCCUUUCAGUUAAAGCGAUUGAAUCAAUUUUAUCGCAGUCUAAGAGAAAUUAAGUAAUGCUCUUGGAUUUAAAAUUUUUUUGCUUUCGACUUUAGAUCUCGAAAGUCAAACUCUUCUACGAAUCCAUAGAUUCUCAAUGUUUAUAAUCUUAUUUGUGUUUGACCAGGUAACUGGAUCGUGAAAUUCGUCGUUUUGUAUCAAUUCAAGCUUUCGCGAGCUCAUGGAAUCACCUGGUGAGUUGUGGUGAAACGUUACCGUUUCAAUUUUCGCUUAAUUCUUUAUUGCAUAUUUUUUUCUCUAAUAUUUCAGUUUAAUUAGAAAAGAAAGAGGACCCAAAAAGAGAGAGAGAGAGAGAGACUCUACCAUACUCAAUUCCUUGCUCAUUCUGAUUUGGCCUGAAUGUUGGCAUUGACUAUUAUUUGUUUUCAUUUCGAUUUAAUUCUCAUUUAGACAGUCUUUACUAACGGUCAAUAAUAGUUUAAGGAAAAUGAUAAUAGGGAUUCUGCAAUAAUCUUUCUGCAUUGUUCAAGUUAGUAGACAAUGAAUAGGAUGUUUACGUUUACCUCAUUUUGAACCCCGAGGGCUUAGUUGAGUAGUUGAUUGAUUCAAUCUUGCAAUGUGUUCCCACAAGGUUUUGAGUUUGAUUCCUAAUUAUGUGGACCUUAGUUUCGAAUUUGAGUUUGUUAGGUGGGUUGAUGGGGUUUUUGGGUAUUAAAAAGGGAGAAGAAAAAAGUUGCUUGCUUCAUUUUGUACAAACCUGUUGACUUUUUAUUUUUUUCUUUUUAUUUUUGUACUAUUUUGUUUUACAGUUGGUGGUUCAAGACAGACAUCUGUUAUUGUUGUAACUUUGGAUACUGGUGAAGUAUAUAUUGUAACCAGCUUGUAUUCUAGGACUGACACUCAAGUGAUAUAUAUUGAUCCAACUACUGGUGCACUUCGCUACCAUGGGAAAUGGGGCUAUGAUGUUUUUGGAUCUGAAAAUGAAGCAGUAGAUUACAUAACAAAUGGAUCACGAUGGAUGUGCAAGAGUACAACUUUUGCCAAGGCGAUAUUGGGUUAUACUGCCCUGGGAAGCUUUGGGCUGCUUCUUGUUGCCACAAGGUUAACUGCCAGCAUUCCAAAUCUUCCUGGUGGAGGAACUGUAUGCACGGUUACAGAGAGCCAAUGGAUCAAAAUUCCACUUCAAAAUCCUCAACCCCAGGGUAAAGGAGAAGUAAAGAAUGUUCAAGAGUUGCCUGAUCUUGACAUUGAUGGGAAGCACUACUUUUGUGAGACAAGAGAUAUCACUCGACCUUUCCCCAGCCGCAUGCCUUUGCAAAAUCCUGACGAGGAAUUUGUUUGGAAUGAAUGGCUUUCGAUGCCUUUUAAAAGCAUUGGUUUACCUCAGCAUUGUGUCAUUCUUCUGCAGGUUUUGCUUCAUACUCGGUAUCUUCAAAAUUUAUGCUCAUUAAACUUCUUUCAUUCCCCACCCUCUCACUAUCCCUCCACCUAAUUUUGUUUCCAAAAGUUUGUUUGAUAGUCUAUUGCCACUAUAUGUAAAUGUAUCAUUUCCAUUCUGAGCAUGAUAUUUUAUUCAUCAUCACUUGUUAUUCUAAUCUUUAGAUGAAAGAAUAUUUCGUAUUAACAUUUUUCAUGGGCCAGUACCUAUUUUAUGGUCCAUUGUAGAUACUAAAAUGACCAACUUUAUUUCUUGGUCAUAAAAAGUUGCGACAGAAAUUUUAAACAUGUGAAUAUUUAAAUCUGAUAAUUCAUUAAAGAUUUCAACCUAAUAGAUUGAAAACUUAGAUUCAUUCCAUGAAUGAAAGAUAAUAAAGCAUCAGCCGAUGGAAUAUGGGAAAUAGAAACACUUUCCCUUCUAUUAAGAAGAGCCUGCUUCAGAUGAUCCUCAUUUUCUUCAUCCACAGGCCAACCUAGAACAUACCACACCAAGGUAAGAAAGAAAAGGGGUAGCAGGAUUGCCUAGUUUGACAAUUAGCAAAGCCCCAAAUGUUCCUCUUUUACUUUUCUUUUAGAAAGGUAGACAUGUUUGACAGAUUUGGGACAUUGCAUCAUCCCUUUCUGCUGCACAUGGUUGCAAUGUUUUACUUCUCACGUGAAAGCCUAGAAAUCCCAAUCCAAUAAUAAAAGGCCAUUUUAGAGUCAAUGUACAAAAACUUCCUUCCUUGUCUCUAUAUCCUCUUUUACAAUCCAUUCUUAGUUGAAUUGAGAUUAUGCUACAGCUGCUUCUUCAAGUUAACAUUGUUAUGCAAUUCAAUGGUGAUUUACGUGUGUACUUGUCCUAAGCAUGUGAUUUGAAAAUAAUAUGUUAAUAUUGUUUUCACUGGAUAUUAAUGUAUAGGGAUUUGCAGAAUGUCGAAAUUUUGGAAGAUCAGGUCAGCUAGAAGGGGUUGUUGCUCUUAUAGCUCGUCGUAGUAGGCUGCAUCCUGGUACUCGAUACUUGGCUAGGGGGAUUAAUUCUUGUUUUAGUACAGGUAAGAUAAUCUUUAACAUCUCCAGACCUGGAAAUUACAUUUUUGUUGUUGAGAUUCACUUGGUUCUUCUAUACAAUCAAAAAAAUUAAGGAUUUAGUUUUUUUUUUUUUUAAACGGAAUUUUCUUUUCCUUUCAGUACUCUUUGCAUUCUGUGUAUGCUGUUUAUUCUGAUUGUCAUUGAUCUCAUGCCUUUACAAGGAAACAGGUAAUAGUUUCAGUGGUAAAUUCAAGUGGAAUUGGUUUUGAUUCUGUUGUUUAGAAAGAUGGAUUGUAGAACUACAGAACAUUAAUCGUGCCACCUCAUGGCUCAUGCAUGCUUUUGGAGUAUUCUUUACCUGUAGAAUUUUUGUUUUUGUAGUUGACUUGGAAUAUAACUUUACCAUUUUUUUCAAAUAAUAAGAAUCAAUGAGUCUCAUCAAUAUUAAUCAAUAAUGAGCUAAAGAUAUAUAACUUGUGUCUCAGAACUAUAUAUGAUAUGCUUGUGAAGGUGUAUUAUUUUAAGUAGAGAUACCAAAUGCUACAGGGAGAAGCAAAAAAGAACAUUCUCCAGUGAAAACCUUCUGACAGAUUACAUUUUUGGGAUAAAAAAGAAACAUUGAGAUCAUCAGCCACACUUUUUCUUCUUGUACUGUUUAAUUAGUUUAGAGGCCUUUUAGUUGGUUUUGCUUGCCUGGAGGUGUCAUACAGUUCACUUUUUGAAUACCCUGGUUUUCUACAGAUUAGAACUUGGUUUCCUUUCACUCCACAGCUUUUGCUUUCCUACAUCACGUCCUUUGGGAUAAUUGAAUAAUGAAUGAAUGAAAACAAUCAAAUAAUUUCUGACAAUUAGUUAAUAACUUUUAUUUUGUAUGACCCUUUUGAUAUGUGUGGUCCUUUAAUUUACGGUUGAAAUAUAAAUAUGAAAAAAGUCUGCCAAUUAGUUUUACAAAUGACUUUUGUGCCAUAGAAUAUAUAUAUUUUUUUUUUGCCGAAAAACAAAACAAAUUCAUAAACAACAUUGUAUUUCACCAAUUAACAGUGCAAGUGUCAUUAUAGUUUCCACAUAUUAGUUCUGUUUUCGUUAGUUUCAUUUUCAUUCUGUUAUGUAACUGAUGUUUCAUUGCUAUAAAAUUAAUUGUCUGUUUCUCUUCACAACUGUUAUUUUGAAUGAUUUUUUCUGAAUUUUAUAAAGAAUUUGUAUAUGACAGGAAAUGAAGCAGAGUGCGAGCAACUUGUAUGGAUUCCUAAAAGGUCUGGUCAGAGUGUUCCUUUCAAUGCAUACAUCUGGCGGCGAGGGACUAUUCCAAUAUGGUGGGGUGCAGAAUUAAAGCUUACUGCUGCUGAAGCAGAAAUUUAUGUUGCAGAUCGGGAUCCUUAUAAAGGAAGUCUGAAGUAUUAUCAGAGGUUGAGUAAUCGAUAUGAUGCUCGAAACUUUGACUUAGCUGUUGGGGAAAAUCAGAAGAAAAAGCCUUUUAUUCCAAUUGUAUGCAUUAACUUGCUUAGGAAUGCGGAAGGGAAAUCAGAAUCUAUUUUAGUUCAGCAUUUUGAGGAAUCUUUGAACUAUGUCAGAUCAACUGGAAAACUUCCUUAUACUCGAAUAAUUUUAAUAAAUUAUGACUGGCAUGCCAGUACAAAAUUAAAAGGUGAACAACUUACAAUUGAAGGAUUAUGGAAGCAUCUAAAAGCACCCACUCAGGCCGUAGGCAUUUCUGAAGGGGACUAUUUGCCAUCACGGCAACGACUUAAUGAUUGCCGAGGUGAAGUCAUCUGCAAUGGUGACUUUGUGGGUGCCUUUUGCUUAAGAUCCCAUCAGAAUGGAGUGAUACGCUUUAACUGUGCAGACUCUCUUGAUCGGACCAAUGCUGCUAGUUAUUUUGGUGCUCUGCAAGUAUUUGUGGAGCAAUGUAGGCGGCUUGGGUUCUCCCUUGACAGUGAUUUUGCAUAUGGCUAUCAGUCAGCUAAUAACUAUGGUGGAUAUACUGCUCCUUUGCCACGAGGAUGGGAGAAACGAGCUGAUGCAGUGACAGGAAAAACAUAUUAUAUCGAUCACAACACUAGGACCACAACAUGGAUUCAUCCAUGCCCAGACAAACCUUGGAAGAGAUUUGAUAUGACAUUUGAGGAGUUCAAGCAAUCAACAAUUUUAUCACCAGUGUCUCAGCUAGCAGAUCUUUUUCUGCUUUCUGGUGAUAUCCAUGCAACCCUUUAUACUGGUUCAAAAGCAAUGCAUAGCCAAAUUCUUAAUAUAUUCAAUGAAGAACCAGGAAAGUUCAAACAAUUUUCUGCAGCACAAAAUAUGAAAAUUACCCUGCAGAGAAGAUACAAAAAUGCAGUUGUCGAUAGCUCUCGUCAGAAACAGCUGGAGAUGUUUCUUGGAUUGAGGCUUUUCAAGCAUCUUCCAUCUGUUUCAGUUCAACCUCUACAUGUAUGAUACUGUAGAACUUCAGAUUACCUAUUCAUACAAUCUGAGUUCAAUGAUUAUCAAUUUUCAUGAGGGAUGGAGACAAUAUUACACUAGCUACUUGUUUCUAACCUAAGCAUCCCUAACUUCUGCACAUAAAUAAAUGAUGCGCAAAGCAUACCAUAGCUAUAUCAAUGCCCAUUUCCUGUUUGAUGUUGACCAAUAAUGUUUGGAAGUUAGCUAUUGCAUGGUAAGAUGAUUUGAAGCUUCAUUUAAAGCUUCUAAGCCAGAGCUUCUAAGUCAUCUGGCUUAGAGAAUUUAAAUGUCCUCCAAAAGUCUGGAAUCACUGUUGCAUCUCAGCCUGAUUGAUAUUUGUUAUUGUUAACUUGGAAAUAUUUUGUUAAUCUUUCGGAUUGAACAACGUCGUGCUAUGAUCAUUAUUCAAGAAAUGACCUCAAGAACUUGUUGCAGUUGAGUGAUUUUUUGGUAAUGAUGAAAAUUAUUCAUGUUUAGGAACAGCUCUUUAGGGGAAAAGCAUAUAUGGGCUGGCUGGCCCUUUUUGGUGUAUUUGAUGAACCAUUUCAUAUCAUGCUGGUAACUGCAGGUUCUUUCUCGACCAUCUGGUUUCUUUCUCAAGCCAGUUCCCAACAUGUUCCCAAGUUCUGAUGGUGGAGCUAGUCUUCUAAGCUUCAAAAGAAAAGACAUGAUCUGGGUAUGGGUUGCAGCUAAACUUAGUCCUUUGUAGCAUUCCUAAUUCUCUGAUUGUCUUUUCUUUGUAGCAUUCUUAAUUCUCUGAUUGUCUUUUCUGUCCUUAAUGGAAUUCAUGCAUUUUUGGUUCUUUAGGUAUGUCCACAAGGCACAGAUGUGGUUGAACUUUUCAUCUACCUUGGUGAACCUUGUCAUGUCUGUCAGCUUCUUCUCACCAUAUCCCAUGGUGCAGAUGAUUCAACAUAUCCAGCAACAGUUGAUGUGAGAACAGGACGCCACUUAGAUGGGCUUAAACUGAUUUUGGAGGUUUGUAUUGGUUCUAUUGUACACCUUGCUUACAAAUUUUUUAUUUUUAAUUUUUAAUUUUGUAUGAUAUGCUCUUUGUUGGUAAAUUUCAUUUGACUUAGAAGAGAUAGUUUUAUCCCAACAGUGGGAUACAUCAUUGAGAUGCAUGGCAGAGUGAAUAUAGUAGACAAAAUCAUUGAGACCCAUGGUGGUGUGAACAUAGUAAACUUUGUCAAACACAGCUAAGAUGAGCAAAUUGUUUCAUUAGCCUUUAUCUUAUCUGCUGUGAUGAUUCAAAUUAAUGCUGUUUGGUAGGUUGCAAAAAAACGAAAUGAGCUGACUGUUCGUAUUAUUUAGUCAGAUCUCUAGCAAUAAGUUGAAGUUCAUUGUCACAUGGGUUGGGAGUAUCGUGGGCUGUGAGUAGUAGAAUGGAUUUAUGGAGUUGAUACAAGUGCCCACAAUCUCUCAUGUCAUUCUAGGAUUAAAUGGAUUGCACAUUACUGUAAAAAUGGAGGUUAAAUUUAUAUAAUUCGGAUUGAUUGUAAAAUGGAAGACAGAGAUGAGUUAGAAAAAGAAUGACCCGUGUCCUUUUUGAGCUGUUUCUAAAUGUCCCUGGUGUGCCUCAUGCUUAACACGUGCCUUUCCAAAUAAUUUUGCUUAACCUGUGCUUGUCUACUUCUUGUGCUAUUCUGUGCCUGGUCCUGAGCUGUAUUGGUAGAUUGACAUCCAGCUUGAACUUUUAGGUAUAUCUUUUGUACAUAAAUUCUGAAUACCCAUGGACUUAGCGUGAUAUAAAGUCAAGGAUCCAUUUAGCUGAGUCCUUCAAGUUUUGUUAGUAUGUCUUCGGAUUAUAAAUAUGUAACAAAAUGAGGUGUAGAAUACAUUUAAAAAGAAAAGGAUAAAAAAACAAAAGAAAUGAAAAGAGGUGUUUAGAAGUAAUAGCUAAACUAGAUACACUCUCACUAAUUAGCGAUUCUGAUGAACAGUGCCCAUAGCUUCUUUUAUACCUUGAAGUUGCAGAAAUUGAUUCUUGGUGAAUUAAGUCACUUACAGACAUAACUUUUUCUUCCAUCUAAUUUUUAUUAGGUUAGAUAGGAGAAGACUUGUUUCAGGGUGUCCUGACCCUAGUAUUAGUUUUCUUGUCAGAUUUUUCAUGAAAAUUUACAAUGCACGUGACAUACAACUUCUAGUAAUCCUAGGACUUUGUUCACAGGGUGCUUCUAUUCCUCGUUGUGGAAAUGGGACAAACCUUUUGAUACCUUUACCAGGAUCAGUUAGUGCUGAGGAUAUGGCUAUUACUGGAGCUGGUGCACGACUUCAUGAUCAAGAUGCACCAACCCUUCCACUGUUGUAUGAUUUUGAAGAAUUAGAGGGAGAAUUGGAUUUUCUUACUCGUUUUGUGGCAGUUACCUUUUAUCCUGCUAUUUCUGGAACAAGUUCCAUGACUCUUGGUGAGGUAGAAAAUAUUUUCAUAAAAUGUUAAUUGAUUUAUCUACGCACUUUAUUCUUAAAUUAGUAUUUUAGACCAUGAGCUUUGUGGAGUGGGUUUGCUGUAACUGCUGCUGGUGACAACAUAAUUGUUAAUAUUAUUACAGAUAGAGAUUCUUGGAGUUUCUCUUCCAUGGAGGGGGGUAUUCAAUAAUGAAGGCCCUGGUGCUAGAUUAAUUGAGCUUGGCAAAAAGUUUCAGAAGGAAACCGAUCCAUUUUUGUCAAAUUCAGUUACAAAUACGGUUCUGUUUUCCAAUGAAAAUGUGUCAACAUCAAUGCAAACAGAAGCUGCUUCCAAUCCUUGGGUUGACCUGUUGUCUGGAGGGGACACAUUUUCUGAUCCUCUUUCAGAGCCGUUUUCUAACCCUCUUUCUGAGCCGUUCUCUGAUCCUCUUUCUGAGUCGUUCUCUGAUCCUCUUUCUGAGCCAGUGACAAGAAAUGUUGCAUCUGGAGGGGCUGAUUUGCUUGAUUUCUUGGACCAGCCUAUAGUUGAAGAUCAUGGUGUGGAAACUUAUAAAAGAUCUUCAACACAGGAUGGCUGUUCUCUGGCUAGUGGUGCCCAGCAGUACAUAAGCUGUCUAAAAUCCCUUGCAGGGCCACGCGAGGUAUAGUACUGCUCUCUUGUGUUUUUUGCAGCUCUACAUCUUAGUAACCUCAUCUUUUUAAUGGAGUAAAUUCUAGAAGUUCAACAAAUUUUGCUUUGCUAAAUGUAUAACUUAUUAAUCAG